This 103421-nucleotide long non-coding RNA is filed under the name Lathyrus oleraceus (garden pea). Its description in RNAcentral is "Pisum sativum (pea) long non-coding RNA (PSAT_LNC032302)". The record is from RNAcentral. Lineage: Eukaryota; Viridiplantae; Streptophyta; Magnoliopsida; Fabales; Fabaceae.
UAGAUCCAUAAUCCAUUACGAUAUAAGAAAUAUAAUAUUUUAUUGAUAUGAUAAUAAGGCAUACAUGAAAACAAUGCUAUAACAACACAACAUAAGCCAUAUAUAAUAAUUCAAACACGUUUAAAGGAAGUGAGGUUCCUUAAGUGCUUCAAUGGCUGAUCCGACACAGCAGCUUCAUAAUUGUUAGACGAUGAACCGUCUUUGGCAGAAAGAGUGAGGUGGUAGUUGGUCCCUGCAACAACCUGUGAUUCACCUUUGAUAAGUUUCUCAAACUCCAAUGUUGCUCCUUUUUGCUUGUUGUACUCGACAACUGCGAAACGGGCUAUUUCAAUCACAUAUGGAUCAGUGAUGUUCUUUAUGGGUGUCCAACCGCCUGGUAUAGCUUGAUUCAGAGUGGCCGAAGCAAACAAAAUAAGGAAGAGGAGACUAAGGGAUUGAAAUCUCAUGAUGUCUGUUAACUUGAGAAAUCAAGAUGGUGUGAGUUAAACUCUGUGGUGUGGAGGAGUAGUUAUAUAUAAUGUACAAAAGUUAUGCCAUUUUUGGUGAUAUACUCUUUUAUUCGUUGAAUUAAAUCAAAAAUUUCAUUUGAUUUUAUUUCAUGAAAAUAAAAUAAUUUUUUUUUUACCAAAUAAAUAAAAUCUCUUUAAUAAUAUAUAAUAUUUAAUAAACCUACAAUUAGUUUAAUAGAAAAGUAUGGUCAAAAGUAUUAUAUUUAAUGUCAUUCAAGGAAAAUGUUGUCAAAAGUAUUAUAAAUAAUGUUAUUCUAAAAAAUGUCAUACAAUGUUUCUGUUUUUUUAAUAUAUUUAUUUAUAUAAAACAUUUGUAUAAUAGGUUGUUCUAUGUUUUUGAUUUUAUCUUAAUAAAUGAUAAUUAUUUUUUUUCAAUUUUUUUAAGUAAUAAUGAUAAGAGAUUAAUUACUAUACACUGUCAGUGUAAAAAGUUUUACACUGUCGGUUCAUCACCAUCACCCGUUUGUAUUACUUUGUAGAUUUUUAAAAUAAAAGUCAAACAUCUUUUAAUAUUCAACGUCUAUAAUUAACUGACGGUGUAAAACCCUUUUACACUGUCAGUGUAUUUCAAUUAAUCUCUAAUGAUAAAUAUUUUUCUUCUAUAUUUUAUAAUAUUUGACAUGCACUUUCUUUCUUUGUCUCAAUGAAAUAUUUAUUCCUUGUUUAAUUUAAUAUUUAUUAGUGACAAAAUAUUUGUUCCGCGCCAUUUAAUUUAUUAUGACAAAUUAUAUAAUUCUAAAAAAAUAGAACAAUUAUUUUUUUUACAAUAAAAAUAAAUAAUCAUUAUUUAUUAUUAAUAAAUAACAAAAUAGGAGACAAAAAGUUAUCAUUCAUGUAUAAAAAAGUGCAAGAUAAUCAUUUUUUUUAAUAUAAAAAAAAUGGGACACAAAUAUUUAUUGUUGAUGCAUAAACAAAAAUGUGACAAAUAUUUUUUAUCGAUACACAAAUUAAUUAAUAAAAUGUAAGUUCAAGAAAAGGAAACAUGUUUUUAACAUAUAGGUGAAAAUUGAAGACUAUAUCAUCAUAUAAAUAAUCCGGUUUAAAUUUCUUUGGCCCAUAAAAAAAUAAUGAAAAAAAUAAAGGGAAUAUAAAGCAUUAAAUUCAAGAUGUGUGUGACUGAAACGGAGGAGGGUCUCCUUACCUUUUGUUGGUGCACAAGAUCAAGCCCAAACUCAAAAGGCAAACCACAUGAUCAAUGAGUACCAAAGACCAAGAACUAGGGUUUUGCGCAUAAGUAAAUAUCAUGAUUGUAAUAUUUAUGAACCAUGGUCCCAAGCAAUAAGAAUUAAGGUUUCACCCCUUGAUUCCAUAUUGAUUGCACCACCACAAUCUCUAGGGCUUGAUCCUCAAGCAAACCCUAGCUUUUGUCAGGUAUAUAUAACCACAAACUUUGAGUCUAUAAUGUAUGUUUGAGAGUGCUAACAUGAAUGAAUGAUGCAUAUGUAUUUGAUAUGAAUGAGUACAGAUGAAUCUCAAACCACACGUCAGAUGAAAAGUAAAAAGGGGAGGGCAAAUUUUGGGGUAUGACAGCUGCCCCUAUUUAAUCAUCUUAAACCUGAAUGUGUGAAUUGUGACACCUUUUCGGGUAUUCAAGGUAGAAGAGGAUUAAAUACCAAAAUAUUCGGAAAUUUUCCCCUUGAGAAUGGUUGUAAUGUGAGAAGGUAAGUGUAUUGGGAAUAUGGAAUGACAAGUAGACUUUUAUAGGUUCAUCUGUUGGGGAUUGACUGAAAUACUCUGUUGGGGAAAUAUAUCAGUCGAAAAGGAAAAGCAUGAUAUGCAUGCUAUAUGCAAUGUAUGUUUAAUUUUUAAUAAUACAUGAAAUUAUGUAUUCUACAUAGAAAUGUGGGUUAUUUUAUGAUAAAUGAAUGAUAUCCACAAGGGUAAGAUUUUUCUGGUGUAGAGUAGACUUCAACUCACUGAUAGUCGCACCAAAGAACAUGUAAUGAAGGAAUGCUUUAUGUUACCACCACUACUGGAUAUGUUCACUUGAUCCUGCUGGGGAGGAAAGAGUGUGAUCUGAUCGAGCAUUCAUUGAGAUGCUCUCAUAUAUCAAGCACUUUCUAGGUAAUCAAAGCAACACACAAAGCUUUGCUUGUUCAUUUUCAAGGCUUCAUGCUAUGAGCGAAGCGACAUGAUUCCACAUGGUGAUGAAUUAUGCAAUGGUUAACCAGAUGCUCAUGUGGCGGGAGGUGGGAGAUUUAAGACUAGGAUAAAGGUCAUAAAGACGUGAUUCUCCGAUGCCAACUUCAGGCUCAACAGUUUUCGUCACACCUUUGCGCUGUUUUAAAAUAGGGAGAAAACGUGUACCUUAGUAGCCUACCUCUUCCCCAGUCUGUAGGGUGUCUGCAUGAAUUUCCCCAAUCACAAAUUAUGAAGCAGUCUUGUCAUGGGAAGAUCUUGAUUUGGCUUUCCCCAGUGUCUUGAAACUGUAUCUCCUUGAUCAACCAUUUCCAGGAGUGUUUGACUUCUCGUGCUCUUGAGUUGGCAUGCCCCAUUAUGAGCCUUGAAGUGACUUUAUCCCUGGUUGGCUAAGCUAGGAGAGAUUUGUCUUCUCGAUGUGAUUGCCCCAGAUUGAAUGAGUCUUGAAGUGGUAUUCACUUCUUCUCAAGGGAAUGUUCAGGCAUUUUACCCUUUGGUAUGAUCAAACUUCCCAUUAUGGAAACUUUCUUGAUGUCAAAUGCUUGUUCGUAAGUAAAAAUGUUUAUUUUUCAAAUGAUAAUUCUAACGUUAUGUUUAUGUAAAUUUUGAAAUCCAAAUAUGGUCACUAAAAUUAUGAGAUAUAAUGAAUGAAUCAUUAGUUAAUAUGUCAUAUCAAUACCAACAUAAAGGAUAAGCAAAUCUUUAAGAGUCAGUUUUACAUGAUCCUAGUAUAGUAUGCUUUUCAAAAUAAACCAUGCUUCAAUUAGGUCUUUUGAGGGUUAUGAUGUGGCCUGGUUCACGGUUUUAGAAGUAAAGGAUACAAGGCUCGAAACCUAUUCUAACCCGCCCAUUCUCCUUGAUGUUCUACAGUCCUACGUUCAGCUCGCUCAACACAAACACUUAUUUUUCAAAAUGGAUUCUGAAUAUUAGUUGUGAUGGUUAAGGGACCCAUGAGAUUUUGAGAGUGACAAUCACCCACCUUUUACUUUUUCUUGUAGCCACACGAAUUUUCUCUUGUUGAGGAUUCUUGAUUCCUCUUUUUUUUUUCUUUCCCUUAUUUUUGCCAGGACUGAUCCCUUUUUAAUCUUGCAGUCCAUCGGGAUGCCCUAAUUUUCUCCUAAGUCACUUAUUUUCAAGUUUUCGACUUAGCAGACUUUUCUUUUGCUUUUGAUUUCUUUGCAUUUCUCAUUUUUCUUCUCUCUUUUUAAUCUUGCAGUCCAUCGGGAUGCCCUAAUUUUCUCCUAAGUCACUUAUUUUCAAGUUUUCGACUUAGCAGACUUUUCUUUUGCUUUUGAUUUCUUUGCAUUUCUCAUUUUUCUUCUCUUUUGAGAAAAAAUUCUGUGACAUUUGCUUGAUUUGUUGAAAGGGUUGUGACUGUCUCGCUCCUUUUUUUUUGUAAGGGAUAACCAUUAGGGAUCUGUGAUUCAAUCCUCGCCUGAGGGAUAUUAUGUGGUUGAUCCUUAGAUAGGAUACUCUCAUUUUUGAAAUUUCAACGCACGGUCAAACUAGAUGAAGACUACCCUACCCCUGGUUAAGACUGAGGGUUUUAUGUAUAGAAAGAAACUCCUACUCCAAGGCCCAAAGCGUUGACUAGGGAUUAUCUUCCUUAUACCUCCGGUGUUUAGGGAUUUGAAACAAUGCCUUACAUCGUCAACAAGGUUUUAUUCAAAAGCAUACAACCAGUAGUCUCGUGUACUUUGAUUUCAUCAUUCUCUUUUGAUUUUUAUUAAGCAAAAGUAUGAUAUUGUAAAAAAGAUAUGAGUGAACACGAAUGGAUUGAUUCAAAACAUGCAUAUUCAAUUCAUUAUGAUUAUUAUUAAAAAAUAAACAAGUUUUUACAAGUGGAUAUUACAUUGACAAACAAGAAAAACUAUAGAUGAAAAUGAAUGAAAAAGUGAUCUUCAGUGUUGAUUAGUCACCAUUUGUGCUAGAAUUUUCAUCAGUUAUACGUCAAGAAACCAGGUAAAUUGUAGAAGUUUCAGCUUAAUUAUGGGUAAUUCGAGUCAGUUGGUGUCUUAAUAGUAUUUUCUUUGUUUAAGUUUCUGUUAUCUAUUUUUAUGCUUUUGGUAUGUGUGGCAUGUUGGAUCUAGGUAUAAAGGCACAAGGAAUCAAGGAUCGGACGCAGGACAUGGCCAGAACAAGGAAUUAGAGAAAAAAAGAAAAAAAAAAGUGCAAGCAUCUUCCCAUAUGCAUAUGUACUCAUAUAAUACACGUAUGAACCUGCACUAUACGCGUACCUUACUGUAGCACCUCAAAUUUGCACCCAUCAUUGUACAUACAUUCUCAUAUUAGGUCAUAGCAUAUCAUGGUCCAUUGCAUAGCAUUGCAUUGCCUCAGUUGCCUCAAGUACAAGCAAGUCAAGAAUUAGGUCAAGACUGAUCAGAUCGGGGAGAUCAAGUGCACCAAGCAAGCAAGGGUGUUUCUCAAGGAGAAAAGGCCCUAGGUUUGUCCAACAAGUUCACAUGACUUGGAGGUCCAUUUGAAGUUUUUAAGUCAAGGGUGCGAUGUUCAGAACCAUCAGUUCAUGCACAGACAGUCAAAAACCUAGAAAGUCAAAGUUAGUCAACUGUGUUGAUUUUGGGGUUUUUUUUUUUCGGGGGGGGGGGAUGGAUGGAUUGGGUUUGAGAGGGCUUAUUCAUGUCCAAUAGGCCUCAUAUAUCAUGGCAAUCAACUCAUUGAAGAAUUUGAAGCCAAUCAGAAAAUUUCCAAAAAUAGAAACUGGACUGUAAUUUUAACUGCAAAAAUGGAAAACUUCUUGAUCCUCACUUGCAUCAUGAUACAAGGCUUCAAAUGAAUUUUUUGCCCAACAUGAAAGUUGAAGAAAAAAAUCUNNNNNNNNNNNNNNNNNNNNNNNNNNNNNNNNNNNNNNNNNNNNNNNNNNNNNNNNNNNNNNNNNNNNNNNNNNNNNNNNNNNNNNNNNNNNNNNNNNNNNNNNNNNNNNNNNNNNNNNNNNNNNNNNNNNNNNNNNNNNNNNNNNNNNNNNNNNNNNNNNNNNNNNNNNNNNNNNNNNNNNNNNNNNNNNNNNNNNNNNNNNNNNNNNNNNNNNNNNNNNNNNNNNNNNNNNNNNNNNNNNNNNNNNNNNNNNNNNNNNNNNNNNNNNNNNNNNNNNNNNNNNNNNNNNNNNNNNNNNNNNNNNNNNNNNNNNNNNNNNNNNNNNNNNNNNNNNNNNNNNNNNNNNNNNNNNNNNNNNNNNNNNNNNNNNNNNNNNNNNNNNNNNNNNNNNNNNNNNNNNNNCAAGGGUUGGAUGUUCAGAAGCCAUCAGUUCAUGCACAGACAGUCAAAAACCCUAGAAAGUCAAAGUUAGUCAACUGUGGUUGAUUUUGUGGUUUUGAUGGAUGGAUUUGGUUUGAGAGGGCUUAUUCAUGUCCCAAUAGGCCUCAUAUAUCAUGGCAAUCAACAUCAUUGAAGAAUUUGAAGCCAAUCAGAAAAUUUCCAAAAAUAGAAACUGGACCUGUAAUUUUAACUGCCAAAAAUGGAAACUUCUUGAUCCUCAACUUGCAUCAUGAUACAAGCUUCAAAUGAAUUUUUGCCCAACAUGAAAGUUGAAGAUCUUGUUCUCCCAUUUUCAAAAAGUCCAAGAACUCUCAAAUCCCAUGAAUGGUUUGCAAGAUAUGGUCAAAUCAUUUUCACAUUUUCAUGAACUUCAAAUGGCCAUAUCUCAUGAUUCCUUUGGCCAAAUUUGAUGGGGUUUUUUCCUACAAUCUCCAUUUAAUCCCCUCUUUCCAAAAAUUCAUUCAUCAUUCACCAAAACCUUGCCAAUCAAAAUGGCAUUUUUUGACUUGUUUCAUUAAAAUUCAAGUUUGACCAAAGGUUGACUUUUUGAUUUAAUUGUUUUCAGCACAUUUGGCCAUUUGGAAUUGAUUUAGAAUGUCAUUUGCAACAUGUUCCAAGCCCAAAUUCGUGCACUUGCUAUCACAUACCACCAUUUUGGCCAAAAGUGCAAAAUUAGCAAUUUGAUUAAAAUGAGCAAAGUUUGGUUAGCACUUGAUUAAGCUUUGUUAAACAGCAAAUAUAAAGUGUUUUUUCUGUCAUUCUAAACCCUAGUCACAGCCUCCUAACACACAGAAUUCCUUCUUCUCUCAUUUUUGCAUUUUCACACUUUGAGAAUUUCUGACCAAAAGCUUCAAAGUGCUCGAGCAACCCUUGAUUGUUUCAUCACUUGGCCAACCUUUGGAAGCUAUUUUGGACCUUAUUCCUCGACUGUAAGCAGAGGAAACUCACUGUUCUAUUGCAAGCUCUCUCAUGGCAGAUUAUGGUUCAAGCUAUCUCGUGCAUUCUUGAGCUGAAAUAACUUCAUUAUCCAUCAUUUCAAAGCAUAAAGCACAUCUGUUUCGAGCUUUGAAGGCCAAAUAACCAUUACAACUCAACUGUUCUUCAAUCUUGGUAACAUUUCGAAUCUCACCUUUUACCAAAUUAGCUAUGCUAGGAAGGUCUUUGUAAGCUGAAUGCCAUUGCAAACUUGUAACAUCAAAAAUGGUAUGAAGCGGACGAAAUCGAAUUCUAUGUGUGACGCAAACUAUUCACUCGACUUCCGCUUAGUAAUGAGUUAAUGAGAUCUGGUUUCCAUAUUUGGUGGUCGGUGGAUGAUGCAUUGAUGUAUGAUGUCAUCUGGCAUAAAAAUCNAUGCCAUUGAUGUAUUUGAUUUGCGGUUCUGGGCAUAAAAAAUUUUCGAGUUGAUUUGAAGAUGAUGAAGCAUACUGUAGCAUUAAAACCCUAGCAUUUUCCAGAAAAAACCCCUGUUUCACGUAUUGCAUGUGGUUGUUUACUGUGCAUUUCCAUGAUAGCCAAUUAAAACAUUUCAUUUGCCUGGCUGAAACUCUGCGUUUUGAUAAGUAAGGGCGGUAAUUGCAAAAUUGCCACCGGUCAACCAUGUUGACCUAGUAUAACCAUGUUCUUUGUUCAUUUUUGUCUCAAUUGUUAUUCAUCUUCCAAAAUUCAUUUCUCACUCAAUUUAACUCCAAAAAUCAUGGAAUUUUUUGCAUCAUGUUCAUGAGAAUGUCUUUUAUUUUAUCAUGAUUUUUGCUGAAUUUUUGGUUGGCUGUAUUUUUAAUGGUGCUAGUUUUCUUAACAUGUAUGCUCAUUUGACACAUGUUGCCAAUCCUUUUGUGAAAUGAUCAUGUUGCAUCCUUUUGAUCUGAAAAUUUUUGUGGUUAUUCUACACUCAUCCAUGCUUAUUUUGGUAUAAAUUUCAUGAUUUUAUCAUAUGUGGAUUGAGAGCUUUGAUUUUUUUGAAGUAAGGUGUUACAUUUGAUGUCACACCAUGAAUGUGCAAGUUCAUGAAUUUUGUUGACCUACUUCUUGGCCUCCAAUUGACCCCAAAUUUUGCAUGAUCCCUCUCAUAUAUGUCUAGUUGACUUGUGAAUUUUCUUGGAUUUAUUUGAGCCAUUUCCUAAUUACUUGAGAUUUUUCUUCCCUGCCUAGUCAUUUGUUGACUUUGUGUGACACACCUUGCCAUUUCAUUUGGGAAAUUCUCAUGCCUUAUUGUAUGAUCAUGCAAUUUUGCAUGUGCAUACUAGACAUCUUGAGAUUUGCAUUGGUGUUGAUCCCAUCCAUUUCUAAUCUGUUUUCAUUUUGUUAUGAUUUUUUGAAGAUGACACAUGUUUUGUUGACUUCUUUGUGCACACUUGAAAUUGUGUUGACUUCCUGAUUUUAAUUGACUAUCUUCCCAUGAUCCAAUUGAGCUGAAAUUUCAUAUGCAUGCUAUGUUAUGGAUUGUGAUUGAGCAUGAAUUAUUUGAUAAUUUUUGGAAUUGAUUAUGUUUGCUUUUGAGCUUGGUCUUGCUGUUGACCUUUUGCAUGUUUCCUUUUUGCCAUGUUUUGACUUCUUUGGUCUAUAAGAUGAUAAUGAUGCAUGAUAUGAGUUUGAAUCCAAUUGUGCUUGCUUCUUAAAUGCUUGAACUUGACNNNNNNNNNNNNNNNNNNNNNNNNNNNNNNNNNNNNNNNNNNNNNNNNNNNNNNNNNNNNNNNNNNNNNNNNNNNNNNNNNNNNNNNNNNNNNNNNNNNNNNNNNNNNNNNNNNNNNNNNNNNNNNNNNNNNNNNNNNNNNNNNNNNNNNNNNNNNNNNNNNNNNNNNNNNNNNNNNNNNNNNNNNNNNNNNNNNNNNNNNNNNNNNNNNNNNNNNNNNNNNNNNNNNNNUUGUGCGUGGAUCCCGUAGAGUACUACGGAUGCGUAGGGGUGCUAAUACCUUCCCUUCGCAUAACCGACUCCCGAACCCAUUCUCUUUGGUCGCGAGACCAUGUUCUUUCCUAGGUUUACUUCGAGCGUUUCCUUUCCCUCUUUUGGGAUAAAUAACGCACGGUGGCGGCUCUGUUGUUUCUUUCUUUUCCCGCCGGUUUUUCGCGUAAUGCGACACUUACGAUUUUUACCAGAAAGGAGAAAAAACGUGUUUGCUUCCCUUACGCAUAAGAACAAAGGUGUUACACGUAUGACUGUGACUAUUACUCGUACCAUGCGAGUUUCACUAGGAAGAGGAACAAAAACAAGCUUUUGUCCAUACGCGUACCGUACGUGUAAGGGCAUGCUUGAGAGGCCACUAUAUUGGCGUACACGUAAUGUAUGUCUUCAAGGAAUAAGGCAAUAUGCGUAUGACACUGGUCAUUACGUGUAUUAAAGCCCAAAUAUUCAGAAAGCCCAAAUUUUGAGUAUUUAGCUCCUUAACACGAUUUUACAAGGUUUGGACAAUUUUACUGAGAAAAAACAUGUUCUAAGGCUGGAUAAUUCAGAUUUUCAAGGUGGAUUCAAAUUUUCAAGAGUUUUCUGCAAUUGAAGACCAAUUCAUCUAAGAUUUCUGUAAUGACAAGAAUCUUUACUAUGUUUUCUUUUCUUUUUAUGAGUAGCUAAACCCCUUAUUGGUAGGUGGUGUCCCUGAUUCAAACUUGUAAUGGUUUUGAAUUACUUUAUGCAAUAAAAAUAAUUUUUAGUAUAGUUGAUUUAUUAUCAUGAACGUUCUAAUUGCUUUCUCUAACGGACAAACGGAGUUUGAUGUAUGUGAAAUAAUUAGGAUGACCGCCAUUAUUCAUGACCUGCUUGAGAAUAUAUCAUAGUAGAUGAUGCAUAGGACUAGGGAUACCAUAUAAUAACUGGAUUAUUCUUGAUAUAAUAAUGUUUAAUUUCAUCCUUGAUUUUCUAUGUACAUAGUAAUUAGGUUGAAUGAUUAAAGAUUUUCUCACUAAGGACUUAGGAGUAAACAUCCUUAAGAAUUGGUAGUCAAUUAUAUAAAAGUUGUUGUCGCACCGUGAGUUUGGAAUCGUUACAUGAUUGAAUCAUACACCUUCCCUUGCAUACUACUUAUAUUUAUCUUAACUGUUCAAGUAUUUUAUUUACUUUAUUCGCUUUUGCUUUUCUAAUUUCAUCAAAACAAUACAAAAACACCCAAGCUUUUGUUUUAAUUGAAAUUAAUCCAGAACUCUGUAUCAUCAAGCAGUCCUUGAAAUCGAUACUAGGGAUUUCCCCUUUUUGUUACUUCAUUGGCAUAUUAGUACACUUUCUAAUUUUCUGAUCAAACUUUUGGCGCCAUUGCGGGGGACUGCCAAAGAUGAUAGAGUUCAUAAAUCUAUUUCAGUUAAAGUUGUGUUGCUCUGCAACUAAAAUUUUAAAUUUCAGUUUUUUGUGUGUGGCUAUUGUUGGGUUAUAAAUAAUCUUUGUAAGUGAGAAAAGCCCUCAGCUGAUUUUACUUUUGAUGCAAAACCAAAAAGAACUUUUCACGCCAGGCUACGACAAGCUAAGGAAACAAGGUUGACUGCCACUGAAGCAAAAAUUUAUGAACACUCAAAUAUAGAAUCCCACAGAGAAAGAGAAGAUCCAAUUAUGGCUGAACCACAAGAAAGACUUCGUGGGGAUUAUGGAGGCGAAAAUGCCCCAUUGGUACAUUUAACUAUAGUGAAUCAACUAGUGAAUGUUCCAAAUUUUCAAUUGCAUCCAACAACCAUCUGUCAGCUUGAGAAAAGGCCUUUCACAUGGAAAAUCAAUGAAGAUGCAAAUAAACAUAUACAAAGGUUUCUUAUUAUGAGCACUACUUUGAAGAUUGAGGGGCACACUGAAGAAGCAAAAUUUUUUUGAGAAUGUUCCCAUUCACUUUAGCUGAAGACGCUGAAGAAUGGUAUUAUUCAUUGUCAGCUGGAAGUAUUACUACAUGGGAACGGAUGGAAACAACUUUUCUAAAUGAGUACUUUCCUGCUUCUGUUUAUAAAGAUAAGAUAUUGUGAAUUUUAAGCAGAAAGAAGGGGAAUCAAUGGGUGAUGCAUAUAAGAGAUUUAAAAGGUUACCGGUUGCUUGUCCCACUCAUAACUUGGAUCAGACUGAAUAGAUGAAAAUGUUUGUUAACGACCUCAGAUUGAAGACUAAGCAACUUAGUGAUACAACUUUCGGUGGCUCUGCCAAUUUUUACAACAUCCAUUAUUAUCAAGAAGAUAAUAGAAGCCAUUGCUGCAAAUGAACAUCUAGAGUUAUAUGACCAAAGUGCGAGUAAAAUAGAAGGUGUGAUUGACUUGAAAAGUUGUAAAUCAGAUUGUGAAGAUGGAAGACCAAGAUGCUGCUGAAGUUGAGAGAAGACUUAAGGCUAUGAAUAUAGGUACUCAACAAGUAGCCGAAGUUCAACCUGUUCAAGCGGUUGAUUGUGAGAUUUGUGGAGGGGCCUAUUUUCCCAUGCAUUGUGUUUCAACUACAGAAAAAAUUGAGGAAAUAAAUUUUUUGAAGCAAAACAACCCAUAUUCUAACACAUAUAAUCCGGGCUGGAAGAACCAUCCAAAAUUCUCCUAGCAAGAUCAGCAAGGGAAUGUUCAAAAGUAGGGUCCUACUCAGUAUCAAAACCAACCCAACAAUCUUAGAAUCCACAACAUCAACAACAGUAUCGACCACAGCAACAACAACAGUAUCGGCCACAGUACCAACCACAACAACAACAAUAUCAACAACAUGCACCCAAAAAGGCCAAUUUGGAAAUUUCCAUUGAAAAGAUGGUAGCUCAAAGUUCCCAGUUCCAAGUAGAAACAAGAAAUAAUCAAAGAAACACUAUGACUUCUAUAAAAAAUCUGGAGGUUCAGAUGCCAUAACAAAUAGCAGGUUCUCAAGCACAAGGUUCCCUACCUAGUGCAAGUAUGACAAACCCGAGAGACCAUAAUAAUGUGAGUGUAGUGACAACAAGCAGUGGGAAAUCACUUGAAGUUCCUGAAGAAAAAUCAAAGGAAGAAGACUAAUUGAUUGAAGUGGUGCUAGAAAUCAAAGAAAAUCAUACCACUACAGAGGAAUAGGUCACACCAAAAUAGGUUGUAAAAGAAAAACCCACUUAACGAAAACCAAUCAUCAAACUACCAUUUCCUACAAGGAACAUGAAGAAUGACCAAAAUGAGAAAAAAAUUGAAAAGUUCCUAGAGAUGUUUAGAAAGCUAGAAAUCUACAUUCCAUUCUCUUAGGCACUUGAGUCGAUGCUCAUAUAUGCGAAGUUCAUGAAGGAUAUUAUCUCAAAGAAAUGCACGAUUGAAACUGAACCUAUACUGCUAACUAAAACUUGUAGUGCUAUUUUAUAGGGUAUGAAGAUCUCAGUCAAAAAUAAAGAUAGAGGUUCUGUCACCAUUCCAUGCACCAUUGGGGAUAGAUCAUUAAAAAGGAACUUAUUGAUUUGGGAGCUAGUGUGAGCCUUACGCCUUUAUCCAUAUACAGGAAACUGGGAAUAGAAAUGGUACAGGAUACCAGGAUGACACUCCAGUUUGCAUAUCAUUCAGUGAAAAGACUUUAUGGUGUAGUUAAAGAUGUUCUUAUUAAGAUAGAUAAAUUUGUGUUCCAUGUUGAUUUUGUGAUCCUUGAGAUGUUGGAGGAUGAAGAGAACCCUUUAAUUCUGGGAAGACAUUUCCUAGAAAUAGGGAGGUGUAUGAUAUACAUUUAGGAAGGAACCAUGACCCUCAAAGUUUAUGAUGAAGAGAUAAAGAUUGAUGUGAGAAGUAUCAUGAGACACAAAGAAGACGUAGGGAAAAGUAAUGCAGUGGAUGUGAUAGAUAAAAUGGUAAUCAAAGUUAUUCAAAGCCAAGUCCAUAAGUUACCUUUGGAAAGAGUUCUUAGUUUGUCCGCCCAGGAAAUAGAGGAUAAUGAUGAUGAAAGAGAGAGGGAAGUUCUAGCUAUGUUUGAGGUACAACCACCGUGGUUGAGAUCCAAACCACAACGGUGGGAGGAUUUCAAAGCUCCACAAGAAGCUGAGACUAAAAAGGAAGUUAAAAUAGGUACAUGUGUAGAACUGAAGCAAUUAUAUGAAAAUAUGAAAUAUGUCUUUCUGGAUUCUGAAAAUAAUUGUCUUGUAAUAAUAAGUUCUGGGUUACAAGCAAAAUAAGAGGAGAAAUUGCUGCAGGUGUGUAGAAAUACAAAAGUGUUAUGGGAUGGACCAUUGGAGACUUGAAAGGGAUUAGCCCCAUAAUAUGCAUGCAUAAAAUAAUGAUGGAGGAUAAUCACAAACCAGUGGUACAACCCCAAAGAAGGCUGAAUUCAGCAAUGAAGGAAGUUGUGAGAAAAGAAGUGGUGAAGUUGUUGAAUGCAGGGCUAAUCUACCAUAUUUCUUACAGUUCAUGGGUGAGUUUAGUACAUGUGGUACCAACGAAGGGAGGAACAACGAUGAAUCUAAAUGAGAAAAAUGAAUUGAUUCCCUCUCGCAUGGUUAUAGGAUGGAGAGUGUGUAUUGAUUACAGGAGGCUCAACACCACAACAAGGAAAGAUCACUUUUCUCUUCCUUUUAUUGACCAAAUGCUAGAGAGGCUUGUAGGUCAUGAAUGUUACUGCUUUUUAGAUGGAUAUUCAGGGUAUAACCAAAUUGUUGUAGCCCCAGAAGCUCAGGAUAAGACAAUGUUCACAUGUCCUUAUGGUAUUUUUGCCUAUAGGAGGAUGCCAUUUGGGAUGUGCAAUGCCCCUGCUGCUUUUUAGAGAUGUAUGACAUCUAUAUUCACCGAUAUGCUUGAAAAGAACAUGAAGGUGUUUAUGGAUGAUUUUUAUGUUUUUGGAUCUUCUUUUGAUCACUGUUUAACUAAGUUAUCUCAUGUUUUGGAAAGGUUCCAGGAAACUAACCUUAUUCUUAAUUGGGAAAAAUGCGAUUUCAUGGUACAUGAAGGUAUAAUGAUGGGUGAGAAAAUCUCCCACAAGGGGAUAUAAGUUGACAAAGUGAAAGUGGAAGUAAUUUCUAAUCUCCCACCACCAGUAAAUGAAAAGGGGAUAAUGAGUUUCUUAGGACAUGCAGGUUUCUAAAAUUGUUAAGGACAUGCAUGAAUGUAAUGAUGUGUAUUAUGCAUGACUGGUUUAUGCAAUGGUAUGAGGGUUUACGGAUGCCCCAAGUUUGGGUAUGGUGUAAUGAAUACUGAGAAAAAAUUGCUUUGGUUGUAAGGCUCCUGAUUUAUAGGGUAUGAGUUACGUCUUGCAUGACUACCCGACAUCCUCAUAGUUCUUGAUAUUGCUGGAGGAAGAAUCUGACAUGGACCUUCUGAUGCCCCAAAUUGGAUCUGAAAAGCUCUUACAAGAAAGGAGAGAGACUUUCUCUCUUCAGACAGUCUUUCCCUAGUCUGCUGGGUAUUUGCAUGAAUUGCCCCAGUUACUGGUUAUGAAGAAAUCUUGCCUCUGACUGGCCGAUAUUUGAGGGAAUGCCCUUAACUAACUAAUAUUUGGAGAGAUUUGUCGAAUCUCGAUGUAACUACCUCAAAUUGAGUGAAUCUUAUAGAUACUUCUCGACAUGACUGCCCUAGAUUGACUGAAUCUUGAAGCGGCUUGUCUUUCUUCUUAAUGGAGUUUUUAGCCAUUUUGCUCCUCGACAUGAUCAAACGAAGUGGCUUGCCCCUCCUCAACAGAGUCUUUGGGAAUUCUUCACUUCUGUUGCAGUCAGGAUCCUCAAUUUAUGUUCAUUGUGGAAGAUUCCUUGAUGUCAAAUGCUUACUCACGAGUAAGACAGGAUCCUUUAAGAAAUGAUAAUGUCAAUGUUAUGCUAGUUUUGAAAUCCAAUUUUUUUCACUGGAAUUAUGACACAUAGUGAAUGAAUCACUAAUGAUAAUGUCAUAUCGAUACCAACACAAAUUAUAAGAAAAUCAUUAGGGAGUCAGUUUUAACACGAUUUUACUGAUCGUAGUACUUUUUUGAAAUAAACCUUGCUUCAAUUAGAUCUUUUGAGGGUUGUAACGUGUCCUGGUUCACAGUUUUAGAAAGAAAGGAUUUAUGGCUCAAAACCUAUUCUAACCCACCCAUUCUCCUUGAUGUUCUCCAGUCCUAUGUCCAGCUAGUUCGAUACAACCGCUCAUCUUCCAAAAGGGAUUUGGGAGUGAAGGGAACCUACAAGGUUUUUAGAGUGGCAGUCACCCACCUUCUGUUUGGUUUGUGGGAACACGAUUUUUUUUUUGCUGAUGAUUUUCUUUUUUUAUUCCUCUUUUGCUUAUUUGUGUUUUUUUUAUUUCCCUACUUUUGCUGGAUGGACUCGGAUUUGCAAUCCACAGGGAUGCCCUAAUUUUUGCCUAAGUCACUUGUUCUCAAGUUUUCGACUUAGCGAACUUUCUUUCUUUCUUUUUUUGGUGGAACAAAUUGUGUGACAUUUGUUAAUUUGAUUUGAAGGGGUUGUGAUUGCCUCGAUCCUUUCCGGGUGAGGGACAACCAUUAUGGAUUUAUGGUUUCCGACCUCUCGUGAGGGAUAAGAUAUGGUUGAUCCUCAUAUAGCACACUCCUGUUUUGAAGUUUGAACGCCUGGUCAAACUAAUUGACGACUAUCCUACCCCAGGUUAAGAUUGAGGGUUUUAUGUUUAAAAAGAAACUCCUACUCCUUGGAUUGAAGGGGUUGACUGGGGAUUAUCUUCCUUAUAACUCCGGUGUUUGGGGAUUUGAAGCAAUGUCUUACAUCAUCAGCAAGGUUCUAUUCAAAAGCGUACGUGCAGUGAUUUCAUGUGUUUUCAAUUUCAUCAUUUUCCUUUUGAUUUCGCUUAACAAAAGUUUGAUAUUGACAAAAUAAAGUAUGGGUGAACACGAAUGGAUUUAUUCAAAUCAUGCAUAUCUAUUUCAAUGUCAUUAUUAUUAAAAAACAAACGAGUUUAUUACAAGUGAAUGUUAUAAAUGACAAACAAGAAAAUUACACAUGAAAAUGAUUGAACAAACUAAUGAUUGCUGGAGUGAUCAACCUUAUUCUCUUACAUGUGGGGUCUUGAAGAAGCUGAUGGGACAGUCUGACAUAUAAAACUCCUUUAGAUCUACCAUUUAUAUAACUAUGGCACUGCAUAUGUGCUUACCUGCAUUACAUUUGGAACAACUAGCGUGAAUGAGAUAGCUUUCGAGUCGAUUAGGUCUUGGACCUUAUGCUUCAUAGCUCUGCAGUUCUCGACAGUAUGCUCAAGUGGUCCAAAAUUGAAUUCACACUUAGCAUUGGAAUCACAGCCUUGAGCGAGAGAUGUUUGGGGAGGUACUAACUCUCUAUAUUGCACCAAAGAGUCUCAAAGCAAGCUAACAAGCAGUUGACUGUACGACAUAGGGAUCAAAUUUGUCCUUAUCUUUAGUUUCCUCAGUUUCUGCUGCCCCUACUGAUAAUGAUUAUGUCAUUAUGGAGCGUAUGGUUGUUGAUACUGCAUUAGUGGAGGACCAUUAGGAAUAACAUAUAUGUUGGCGGCUGAUACAGUUUAGGUGCUACUACUGCCACCUGAUGGUAUGGCAUUUGGUAGGUUCCAACUCCCCCCUUAGUGAUUAUGGCAACAUUGGUCUCACAAUCCUUCUUCUUUGGGAAUCCGGAAUAAGAUUUCUUUGCUCCAUUGGCCGUAGCUAUUGUAUCUUGUUUCUUGACGACCUUCAAGAAGUUCUCGAUUCACUCACCAGUAAUGACCAGGUUUGAGAAUCCUGAGGAGACGCUUCCAACCAUCCUAUCGAGAUAAGGCCCCUGAAGGGUGUCCAUGAACAUGUGUACCCGUUCUCUUUCAAGAAGGGGGGUUGAACCCUGGCAGCUAAAUCUCUCCAGCAUUGGGCAUACUCUUUAAAUGAUUCAUUUGUCUUCUGAACAAGGCUUUAGAGUUGAGUUCGAUUGGAAGCCAUGUCUAAAUUAUACAGAUAAUGCUUUAGUAAGGCUUCAACAAGUUCCCUUAAGGUUCGUAUAUGUGUGCGCUCGAGUUGCAUAUACCAUUCCAGAGAAGCCCCACUAAGGUUGUCUUGAAAAAAGUGCAUUAAGAGUUUUUCAUCAUCAGAAUGAGCAACCAUCUUUCUGCAAAAGGCUCGAAUAUGGGUCUUCGGGAAGGUGACCCCUUGAUACUUUUCAAAGUUUGGAACUAGGCACAUGUCAGCAACAUCCAUCCCAAAGGUAACAGGUCUUUCUAUUGCUUUGAACCUCUCCUUCAUUAUACGAAACUUCCUUUCGAUGUCAGCAAGAGAAGGACCAAAAGCGUCAUAAACAAAAUAAGCCUUUGUAUUGAAGAAAGCAUCUUGAUUAUCUUCGUUCUCAGGUUAAGCUCUCCCAUUGAUAUGGAUAUUGAAUGUAUGACCAACAUUUUGAUAUAAUGGACCUCUUUCAAGAGGUGGUUGAGCCACAACAUGUGUACUAGGUCCUCCUAGUGGAUUUAUUGGCAUUGUCACAACAACAGAGUUAGAAGCGGCAACUCUCAGAUUAGCCUAACGCAUUUCCUCUUAACCUCUAGCCAAAGCUUGUAUGGAUUCAAUAAGAUGACCCAUAUGGGCCUUCAAAAUGGUCAUAUUUUCCCUUAUAACAGCUUGGUUCUGCUCUAAUUGAUCCAUGAGAAGUUUCUGAUUACUGCAAGUAUUAUAUGGAUGCCAGGAAGCCAGCUUGAUUGUAGCAGAUUCUGGAUAAAGGCCAAACAACAAUGAGCUUUCUGAAUAGAUAUGAUGAAAUGCAAUGAUGUAUGAAUGUAUGCAAUAAUUAUUUUUUUUGUGUUCCCAGAGGAAUGCGUAUGCUAAGUCAAUUUUAUGAUGCGAUGAGCUGGCAUGCGUCAUCAUAGAUUCAACAACUUAGUAUAAUAUAGAGAUUCUGGAUAAUCUGGCCAUAUAACACAGUAUAAAAUCAAAGGUCCGACAUGACCUAGAAAAUCCGGGUAACCUGUCCAUGUAGCUCAGUAUAAGAUCAACAGUUUGAUAUAAUUUGGAUAAUGUAACAUGUCCAUGUAACUUAAUAUAGGAUCAAAGGUCUAACGUAUAUAAGAGAUCAAUGGUAUGAAGGGUCUUGGUUUCCUGCACACACAAAAAAACAAUAGCCCCUCUCACAGGUGUGUAUUACUCCUCAAAGAUGGUCCCUAAAAGGUAUCCCAGAGUCAUUGACUCAAAUGAAAACACCAUGCCAUAGCGAAUUCUCACAGGAUAAAAGUACUUCCAAGUGAAUCUAGUCUGAGUGUGGUUCUCAUGACAACCUAACGGGAAAAAUGAAGGCCUACACGACUACCCACGAGUCUAUCCUAUGUAUAUACUUAAGCUUCAGUGUAGAGUUUCUCUCAUAUAGUAUCAUCACAUCCCAACAUAUAAUAUGACAAAUAAUAUCCAGAAUACAACAUCAUACGAAUAUUUAAAGCAUUAAGGUAAAUGCAACAAAUAACAUAAAGAAAACGAGUAAAGCAAUAAAGAUAAACACCUAAAAUACGCAAAGAAAACAAACAAAAUUGGGCUCAACUUGCUUAGGAAAGGGUCCCCGGCAGAGUCAACAGCUGAAGCUACGCGAGUUAUACCCGAGCAUAUCGCAUAUUCAGAGAAACAACAGAGUCGCCAUCGAACUUUAUUUAUUCCCGAAGGAAUGGGAAAACAUCGAUAGAAUCCGGGGGAAAGAGAAAAGGGUAAGGAAGUCAGUUAUGAAAUGGGAAGGUAUUAUCAUCCCUCAUAUCCAUGAUACUCCAUGGGAACCGCUUUGAAUUUUCUUUGCAAGAACGAGUGUUACUAUCUGAAGAUUACUCGUGAAAGGGGAAAUUAGGGGUUAAUAAUUAAUGUGCUCGCCAAGGAUUAGGGCGCUUGUGCCUACAUAUUCUCACAGUGUAAUGAGAAAGUCAGAGCUCCUUAGUUUGUGGAACUAAGACAGAUGUGUUAUUUGUUUUUAAUGAACAAUAUUAACAUUCGCGUUCUACUGUCAACUUGCGUGUAUGCUCGAGCAUGGGAGUCUGAAGCGUCUAUUUGUUUGCGAUAGAAUGGAUGAACUUGGAUCACACUCUAGUAGUUAAACAUUGCUUGCUCACACAUGAAGGCUUAAGCUUCAUUCACGGUAGAAUGGAAGUAACAUGUCCUUUCUGAAAAGGUUUUAAACUAAAAAUGAAGCUCAAAGGCAAAAUUAAAUUUGAUAAGGUGAGUUUUCUUUUAUUCUGAAAAGAGAGUCAUGAUUCGAAUCGUACUAAAGUCUAUGAAUGGAGAUGAAUACAGUGAAGAAUUGGGUCAUGCGUCUCGUACCCAAAGAUAUUCAGAAUGAGGAUAGGAAUUCUCCACUCUCAUCCCUUCUCCAUUACUUAAGACUUGUAGCGUACAAUAUUAAUCAUAUUAUUAAUUGUUUUUUGAGUUUAUUCACAAAAUGGUUUUAGUUUUACUGAGAGAGAACAAAGGGAGAAGAAGAAACCCUAAAAAGUUGAGGUCUGGUCUUCAUUCUGCAUCCCAUAUUUGUGUAGAAAAACUUAUCAAUCAUCCGAUUUAAAUUGCACUAAAGUCUAUGAAUAUAGAUGAAUACAAUGAGGGUCAUUCACCCCGUACCCAAAGAUAUUCAUAAUGAGGAUAAGGAUUCUCCAUUCUCACCCCUUUUCUAUUACUUAACGCUCAUGACGUGUAAUUUGCAUCAUAAUUGAUGAGUUUUGAAGUUGAAUUUCCUUGCAGCUUCAUGUGAGGAAAGGUUGUCCUUUAAGAAAGGAGACUUGACAAUCAACUUAUCAAAUUAUGCUAAAGUCUAUGAAUAUGGGUGAAUACGAUGAGCAACUGAGUCAUUUGUCUCGUACCCAAAAGAUAUUCAGAAUGAGGAUAUGAAUUCUCCACUCUCAUCUCUUCCCUAUUGCUUAAGGCUCAUGGCACAUAACUUGGCUCAUGAUUGAUAAGUGUUGAAUAAACCUUUGUAGUGCUUGGAUAGUAGUCUAAUAUGUCUUGUACUGAUUUGAAUUGAAUGAAGUCUUGAAUUUUGAUCUUUGAAUCUUGAAAUCUUAUACAAAUCUUGAGAUCCAGUAUCCAAUACAUAUUUAAUAUAAGAGACUUUCCCUAUCAAGUGAUCAAGGGUCUUUUUAUCACUUGAAUAUGCUUGGGGAAUUGAGCACAGUCAAAGGAUUUAAUUGAUCAAAGCAAACUUUGAUCAACUGAAUCAAUCGGGGAAAAAUCAGUUGAAAAUGAAUUGAAUCAUGUAUACAGUAAUCUAAAGGAUUAAUUACCCAAUCAGAAGAUUUUCACAAGUCCUAAACUAAGGGAACAUGCAAAUCAAGAUAUUAUACACCCUAUGGGUAAAAUGGUCAUUAUCCUUAAAAUGAAUUAACAAACCUAAUGGUCAAUUACAAUCCCAGCAUAGCAAAAUUAACCUAAUGGUCAAUUACAAUCCCAGCAUAGCAAAAUUAACCUAAAAACGAAUCAUGGAAAAAAAUCUAUACUUAAGCAUGUAAAUCCAAAUCAUGAAUAAAGUAAACAAAGUGGAUUAAUCAAACUAAAGAAAUGGGAAGUUACAAUCUAAAUAACAACUUUAUUUAAUGAACAUGAUCUUGAGAAUUAUAAUGUGAUAUACGGAUCAAAAUGGAAAAUUAACCUAAUGGAAAAAUCAUGGUAGAAUCUACAAUUAACCAUAUUAAUCCAAAUCAUGAAUAAAAUCGACAAAUGGAUUGUCAAAACCUAAUGGCAAGUGAUACUAAAUCAUGGCACGAUUAAUCAACAAUUGAAUUAUCUUCCAAAAAAUCCAAAAAAAAAGGAUGUAAUUAACAUGAUUAAACCUAAAUCAAACUCUAAUUAAACUAAUCAAUUUUAAGGAUGAAAAAUUAACCUAAUUAUGAACAAAAACUUUAUUAAUCCCUAAUCAAGAAAUCCUAAUUUUAACCAAGAUUAAAGAGUGAACAGUAGCAUGAUUAAGCACUAAAAAUAAAUAAAAAUUAAGAUUAGAAUUGGAUAAGGGAGAGAUCAUCAAGAAUAAUCAAUGGGACAUGGGGUGAAUCAAAUGGAGGGAUGUUCAUUGCAACCCAUGUCCUCAUACAACAAUACCCAGGUAAAACGUUCAGUAUCCACAAAUUCUCCUCAAGUUUCACUUCACUUCCUCAUUGCAAAAUCAUAGGUCGAACGCGCUCAACAGAAGAAUUUCAACAAGAACGUGAUUCAACAUGUUAUUAUCGAAUUUCAUACGUAAAAAAACAUAUAGCCAUCUGUCGCAACCUGAAAAAUAAAGUGCGAAAAAAAACAACCGGCGAAAGAAAAAGACAGAAGAGUCGCCACCGUGCGUUAUUCAUCCCAAAGGAGGGAAAGGAAACGCUCGAAGUAAACCUGAAAAAGGAAGGACAAGACGGGGUCUCGCAACCAAAUCUUGGGUUUGGAGUCGGUUAUACGAAGGGAAGGUAUUAGCACCCCUACGCAUCCGUAGUACUCUACGGGAUCCACUUUUUAGUUCUUGUCUAAAGGGUGUGGGUUUAUCUAAUGUACUAUUUACUAAAAAGGUUAAGAGAAAUGACUCGCGCGGAUGUCGCAUCAGCUGCAUACGUAUCUCAUCUGAAUAUGAGAAUCAGAGUCUUCGUAGCUCGGCUACCUAUGGGUUGGGGGGAUGUGUGCUCGCUAAGAACAUCGCGUCUUAUGCCUACGUAUCUCAUCUGGCCUGAGAAUCAGAGCAAAACGUAGUUCGGCUAACUGUGGGGUAUGGAUUGGGUUUUGGACAAACGACGUCACUACGCAAUCUACCGGAUGCUCGACCUUUGGAGACUUACUCGCCUGUAGUAGAAGGAGUUAACGUGUUGCUUUGGGUUUAGGGUUUGGGAUGCUCAAGGGCAAAAAGGCAGUCCUUGAUGAAGGAACCGCGCUACCUGCAGGGAUACGAACACAUACAAAACAAACAUGUAUAAAGUAAAUGUGCCAACAAGGGGCUCAGAAGUAAAUAAACAAAAGAAAAACAAAUGCCUCCUAUCGAGGUCUUCCAGCUAAGAAAGCGAUAAAUGUGGAAAAGAGGUAAAAGUACCACACGGAUGAAGAUCCGAAGUAACAACAAUUAAAGGAGUAAGAAACCCAGGGACUCCCAAGCUAAUGCCAUCAAAGAAAAGUGAGUCAGUACAGGUAAUCGGAAUGAACCUCCAGGGGGUAUCCCACAAAUAAAGUGGGAAAACCACGCAAACCAUCUCUGCAAGAGUCUGUGAGCCCUCACAAAAACUCAACAAAAGGGUUAGUGAAACACGAUAAGCAUUUUUUUCAUGAAUAACAGUAUGGUUUCAGAACUCAAACCCUGUGGCAUACAUUUCAGAAAUCAUGUGAUUAAACAUUCAAGGCAUAGGUUCACCCAUUCACAUACAUCACACAUUUAGAACAUUCAAAUUGAAGGCGUAAAAUAAUGGGAAUAGGGCAAACCUGAUUGGAGAGCUUGAUUGAAAUUGAGUUGCACCCGAGGCCCUUCAGGGUUUGGAGGCUGCUUGAGUUCUCUGUCAGGUUUCUCUUCAGGUUUUGUCCAGGGUUUUGUUCCAAGGAACCUCAGAGUAUUUUGCUUCUCUUCCUUUUUCUCAAAGUGAAGCCUUGGUAUUUAUAGACUGAAUUUCAUGGUUUUGUGGGCUCAAAUGAGAGAGACCCAAGUCCAAAUUUUUUUUUAUUAUAUUUUAUUUAUUUAUUAUUAUUAUUUUUAUUUAUUUAAUUAUUUACUUAAUUAAUUAAUUAAUUAAAAAAAUUUUAUUAUUAUAUUUUUGUAAAAAAUUAUUUUUUUUCGUUUUUUUUUUUUAGAUCUAAUUCUGAUUGACAUGAUGAAAUGCAAUAUGAAAUGCUAAAUGAAUGCAUGAAUGAGGAGGGCAAAUUUUGGGGUGUUACACCAUCGAGAAAAAUCAAGGACUCACAUCCUCAAUGCUUAAUCGAAGAACCGAGAAUGAAAAGUUGAGUUCGUAUUCUAACUCAAUCCUCAAGUUGCAAUCAACACUGAAAUCGAAAUCACUAGAGGCUUCUCCCUACGUGCUGAAUCGAGAGAUCAAAAGGAGAAGGGAAAUUUACCAGCUUGCUCCGACGUGGUGGCUCAGGUAACGACUUCCUGCGAUCUUCUUAUUCUCUUUGUUUCUACCUUUUUUCUUUUUUCUGUUUGAGAUGGUCGUCUCUGUUUGCGUAUUUAUCAUUGAUUCGGUUGUGUAUUUUGUAGAGAGUGGUUCAAAUUCUGGAAGAUUGGCUAGGUUCCAUCAUUAGUAGAAUCAGGUCAGAGCGAGUUUUUAUCUUUUGUUCUGGAAGUUUCAGGUUCAGUUUGAGUUUAAUUUAUAAUGCAGUUGCAAUUUGGUUUGAAGGUUUUUAAAGGAUGAAAAUUACCUUAUGAGUUCGUUGAGAGGUUGGUUUUUAUGCAGGUCCUCGAAGGAGUUCUUCUAGGGAGUUCUGUUAUGAGGAGGUUAUCACAAUUAGGAUGUGGAAGGUGAUUUUUGUUCUGUUAUGGUUAUGUGAGGGUCCAAAAAGUGAUUAGGGAGAUGGAGGUUAGUUUUGUUAUCACAGUUCGGUUAGGAAUUCUAGUUCAGUAAGUUGGAGAGAGAAGUUACAGUUUGUUAGAUUGGUUAAGAAGCGGUUAGAGGUCGUUAGUUGUGAAGGACUCAGUUAGUUAUUGUGAAGAUUGAAGUUAAUAAGUAAGUUGAAAUUGGUUUUUUCACUCUGUUAUGUAUGUGCUGGUGGAUCGAUUUACUGAGUUAGAAUGUUUUGCAGGGGGGUUAAAUUUGGUUUUGUUAUGUAUUAGGCAGGUUUGGACUAGUUUUGUUAUGAAAAAGAAGGUGAAAACAUGUUUUUCUUUGUAGGGUUGUACACUGAAUUUUCUGCUAUGUAUUAUGUAGGGCUUUCCUUCACAAUGACAUGCUAUGCAUUACUUCAAUGUGCUAUGUUGUGGAUCAAAGGCAAUGAAGUGUGGACUACAAUUAGGUGCAUAAAAGUUUGGAAAGUACUAUGGGCUCAAAUGUACAUGUUAUGGAAUUGGGAUUGGAAAGUGUAUUAAUGGUUGAAUAUGAAUUGUGUAUGGAAAAGUUUGAAAUUUAUUUUGAAUGUAUGGCUCAAUCUAUUUGUACAUGGAAUGUUUUUUGAUGUAAUUGGACAUUGAAUGUAUGGCUUAUGUUAUAAUUUGAAUUAAUGGUUGAAUGUAACAUUGUAUUUUUGGAAUGACAAUGGAUGUAAUGGUUAUUAUUGACAAUGAAUAAAAUGGUUAUUUGGACAUUUGAAUGUAUGAGUUACAUUGGUACAUGGAAUGGCAUUGUUUAGAGAAUUAAAUGGUGUAAUGAACCAAGGUUUAAGUCUUGGUUGUAAAUGGCUAAAAAAAUGCAAAACAGUUUAUGUAUUGUAAAAAAUGAACAUGGUUUAGAAUGGAUAUGUAGUGCAUUGAGAAAUAAAAUGGUUGGAAAAUGGCUUUGGUUAGAUGGUUGACCAAAAGGUCAACAGUUGACCAAUAGUAAACCUAGGUAAAGAUGUGUAUUUUUGUGUAAUACCUUAUGCACAAUCAUGAUGUAAUUGUAAUGAUAUAUAGUGAUACUUUAUGAUGACUUUAAUGGUAUUUACAUGUUUUUAAAUGGAUGGCUUUAGAUUGAAAUGAAAAUGAACUUGAAUCAUGACUUAAUGGAAUGAGUGAAAUGGACUUUGAAUGUGGACCACAAUGCCCUUAAACCAAAUGAAAUAUGCCAUUGAAUUAGACCUGAACUAAUGAACUCCAAUCAAGCAAUAUCAUGGACAUGUAAAACUUUGACUUAAUGCACCCUAAUCAAGGCAAUGGAACCAUAAACAAGUAUGACAUUUGAUGAAUUAUCAAUCAAACCAAUGAAUCCUCCAUAAAUGACUAAAGGACCCAGAUGACCCUCAAGCUUGAAUGCGCACAAAAUUGGUGAUAGUGCCACAACCAACAAUUAGGGUUUCAGACAAAGGUACAAGGCUCCACAAGCACUUCCCCAAACCAUGGGCCCCUAAUUAGGGUUUUAGGGACCGAAUCCAAUACCAGUGAAUCAGGGUUUCCCCUAUGCUCCAUGAUAAAGACAAACUAGGAUGAAGGGCCCACCUCCUAUUCAAUGUGUUGUGUGAUAAAAACCCUUAAAUCCAUGGCUUUGUGCUUCUCAAUGAAAAUGGAAUAUGUUAUGAUGCUAUGGGUAUGUAGAUCAAAUGAAUGACCACAAGGAUAUGCAUAUGAUUAGGGUUAGUGACCUAUAUGAAUGAUCAAUCACCAUUUUCACUAUGUUUUCAUCACUGAUUCGACAAGAAACCAUGAAUUCUGGAAUACUCUAUGCGCAUUAUGUCACAUUUUAAGUUAAUUUUCAUUUAUGUAAGUUAUUUAAGCAUUUUAUCGGUUUUUAGUUUUAUUUCAUGUAUUCGAGAUUUUAUGCUUUGGGUGCCUAUGUUUAUUUCCUCCAGGUCCAAGUAGAAGAUCCAACGGACUCAAUGCAAGAAAGUAGAGGGUUCAUACAUUCGAGGAAAGGAGAUUACUCAGUACAGGAGACCUGACACGGCCACCCGAGUCACCUGACACGAGCCGUGUCAGGAUGAAGGCAAAACAAGACAAGAGAUGGCUAAGACAGGGGCCUGACACGGCCACCCAUGUCAAUUGACACGGGCCGUGUCAGCCCCCCUGGGAUGAAGUUGAAGAGGAGGAUCAAGGCAAGAGCCUGACACGGCCACCCGUGUCAGCCCAGGCGCAAAAUAUUCCAAUUUUUUGGCUUUUUAUUUGGGCUUUAGUAGCAAGGACAUUCUGGGGUUUUCCAACCAAUGCCAAGGGAUUUUCACUAUUUUAGGAGAGUUUCUACGAGAGAAGGAGGACACUUUGGAGCGAGGAGAAAAUAUAACAUAUAGAAUUGUCAGACGAUCAAGAAUUACAGAGAUCAAGGAAUUCGGAGAGCGGAAGAUUUUCAUGAGCGGAAGCAAUUAAAGAUCCAAGUCAUCCAAUUACUUGUAAUGUCUAAUUUUUAUCUUGAAUUUGUUUUGAACAAUAUGAGUAGCUAAACCCCCCAAUGCUAUGGGGUGUCCCUAAUUUAGAUUUGUAAUGACUUUGAGUUUACGAUUGCAUUGAUAAUUGUUUUUCAUAAUUACGAAAAUCUUUUAAUGUGUUUAAAAUGCUUUCUUUUUCGGACCAAUUGAGAUUGUUGUAUGGUUAUCAAUUAGGUUGGACCGUCAUUGAUAAGGUUUUCAUAAGAUUACUUUGUAGUAGAUAUCACCUAGGACUAGGGAUACCCUGUAUUGUAUGAACCAGAGGAUUCUUGAUAUAAUAAGGCUUAAUUUCACUGGUAAUUUUCUAUGGACAUAGAGAUUAGGGUAGAAUGAUUAAAGGUUUUCUCACCAAGGACUUGGGAGAAAAUACCCUUGAGAACUGGUAGUAGUUAAUUGAUAUUUGUUGAUGCAAUAGUGACUCAGAGUUGUUACAAGGACAAAUUAUACAUUUUCCCUAGCAUGUUCCUUUUUUCCUUGAAACCCUUAUUUUUACAGUGUUUAUUUUAUUCGCCUUUAUUUUUAUAAAUCUGAAUCUAAAACCCCCCAAACACUAAUUUUUGUUUAAUUGAACGAUUAUUUGAACUUGAUAUUAACGUGUAGUCCUUGAGAUCAACAUCAGGGGAAUUUCCCCUUUAUUACUACAAAAGGCAAAAUAGUGCACUUGCUAUUUUCCCGAUUAAUGAACAUUAUGAAGGGUAGAGUGAAUUUUGGGGCAUGACAAUAUGCAUAAGACAUAGGAAUUGGAUCAUAGCAAGGAUGCCUCCUUUAUUGAUUGUGGUUUCCUUUGCUGAUUUGUUUCUGCUUCAUUUUUUGAUUUCCUUGGGCGGGUUUUUAAUGCAGUAGGAGAUAUUGUGCUUAGGGAGGAAGUUGUAGAAUUCCUACAGUUGCAUUUUGUAAGUUAUCCACCUUAAGUUUGUUCUCGGCUUGCUUACCAACUACAACUUAAUCUGAGAGAUCCAUUGUCAAGCUAUCUGGGAAGAGUCCCAAGGUCAUGCCAACUCUGCCUUCGACAUAAUCCAAACUCUUCUUUCACCUGGUAUCCUCAUGAUUACCCUGUUCCAUGAUUCUCUGAAAAUUUGCGUCGGUGAAUCGUUGUCUUUCUGUUUGAGGAAUGGGAAAUAGUGUAAGCAUGUUAUUUUAUGGUAUGAAAGGUUAUGAAUGCAUGGAUGAAUGAGAUGCAUGAAGGAAUUUUUUUUCACAUUUCCAGGGGAUCCCAAGAUUUUUGAAUGUUUAACACAAACUAAAGCUUUUGGAUUCCAUAAGAGUGUACAUGCUAAAAUUGGUUUUGAUAUGAUGUCAUGAGAUACAACAUGAUAAAUUCAAAGGUCUAACACAUCUGAAUAAUUUGUCCACACUCCUCAACAUGAGUUCAAAGGCAUGACGUAUCGACGUAUGUAGAGGCAUGUUUUCCUACACAAAACACAUAUUCCAUCACAAGGUAGGUUCUAAGACUUUAUGAAGGUUCUUAGAGUCGCGGAUCCUGAGGCAAAAAUAUCGUUAUCAUCACAAAAUGACUUGUGAGCCAACAAUACUCUCAGGACGAUCUACUCUAAGUGAGGACAAACCUCAACUUCAAAAACCAUAAGUUAACUAAAGGUCCCUAGAAUCAGCGACUCCCUUUGGAAGAAUGGUAGUCAAUGCAAAAUGACUUACGUGGCAAUGAAACUUCAAAAGGAAUAUACUCUAGGUGGGGUCUUCGUACCUUCCCAUCAAGACAACUACGUCUGAAAAGUCAGUAUGGAGCUCCCAAUCUAUCUCAGGUAUACUCUUAAAGUCUGGGUAUUGGGCUUCUCACUCAAUAGCAUCAUAAACCCAUCCCAUAAGAGAAAUAAAACAAAUAUGUCUAAGAUAUAAUAUAUGAAAGCAAUAAAGCAUGCGAUAAAUGAAAUAAUGGUAAAGCAAGUAAAAGUAGUUAAGAUAAACACCCAAACAAACAAGGAGACAAAAAAACUAGGCUCGACUCCUACUUGCAAGAGCAAGGAAUUCCCAUCAAAGUCGCCAGAUGAUGGGGAAUCCCACCGGCAAGAUUCCCCAGCAGAGCCACCAACUAAAGCUACGAGAAAAAUACUUAAGUGCGUCUCACGCUCGAAGAUACAACAUAGGUCGCCAUAGAAAUUUAUUUAUUCAAGAAGGAAAGAGAAAACAUCGAUAAAACCCGGAGGAAGAGAAAAAGGAUAAGGAAGUCGGCUAUGCAAGGGGAAGGUAUUAGCACCCCUUACAUCCGUUAUACUUAACGGGGACCGUUUUGAUUGUUCUUUGCUCGAAUGGGUGUUAUUAUCUAAAGAUUACUUGCAACAAGGGAAAAGGUAAAAAAGGAAUGGAAUAAUUAGAGUGCUCGGUGAGGAUUAGGACCCUCAUGCCUACGUAUCCUUAUAGUGCAAUAAGGAAUUCAGAGUUUCGUAGUUCAUAUAACUAAUGGUGAGGGAUGAAAGAGAGAGUGAUGUAAUGAUAAUAUGGUUUGAACCAAAGGACAAUGUUGUUUGCACCCGUAGGAUAGUUAUGUCUGAACCAAUGAGAAAAGGUGGCAUAUUGGACGAAAAUAAAGGGUUUUAUCCUAUAUAAGGACUUUCAAGGUAACAAAAGGAAAUGUUAGUGUAAACAACGAGAGGACUUACAAGACAAACAAAAAGGGCUCUUGGUUCAGAGGCAGGCGUUGGUUAUUGCCCAAAAGUAUAUAUGGAAUCCAAAGAAAGAUUGUAUUUGGUUCAAAGAGAAAGUAUAUAACUAAUGAAUGAUUGGAGGUUGGGGGUAGUGAAUGAUAUAAAAGAUAUUUAAUGGUGAAUGACGGAGGGUGAAUGGAAGGAUAAAUAAGAAUUAAUAAAUAAAUAUGCUCGCCAAGGAUUCGAAUCCUCGUGCCUACGUAUUCUCACUAUGAAAUGAGAAAGUCGGAGCUCCGUAGUUCGGGGAUCUAAUGCGGAACAAAGAAAGAAAGAGAUGAUUAGGUUGUCAAAAGGUGAAGGAUUGCCUAAACACAAGAGGAUUUAUAAGGCAAAAGAGAUCGAAUAGAUUCGUCUAGGCACGAGAGGACUUAUAAGGCAAACAAUGAAUGAGAAAUGAUUUGCCUACACACGAGAGGAUUUACAAGGAAAAAGAGCUCGAAAGGGUUUGUCUAAGCAUGAGAGGAUUGACAAGAUGAACAAUGAAUGAGAGAUGAUUUUCCUACACAUGAGAGGAUUUACCAGGCAAAAAAAGCUCGAAGGGGUUCGUUUAAGCACAAGAGGAUUGGUAAGACGAACAAUGAAUGUGAGAUGAUUUGAUUACACACAAGAGGAUUUACAAGGCAAAAGAGCUCGAAAAGGUUCGUCUAAGCACGAGAGGAUUGAAAAGACAAACAAUGAAUGAGAGAUGAUUUGCCUACAUAUGAGAGGAUUUACACGGCAAAAAAAGCUCGAAAGGGUUCGUCUAAGCACAAGGUCUUAUGACACGAAAAAUGAAUGAGAGAUGAUUUUCCUACACACGAGAAGAUUUACAAGGCAAAAGAGCUCGAAAGGGUUUGUCUAAGCACUAAAGGUCUUAUGAGACGAGCAAUAAAUGAGAGAUGAUUUUCCUACAGAUGAGAGGAUUUAUAAGGCAAAAAAGCUCGAAAGGGUUCGUCUAAGCACGAGAGGUCUUACAAGACAAACAAUGAAUAAGAGAUGAUUUUCCUACACACGAGAGGAUUUAUAAGGCAAAAAAUCUCGAAAGGGUUUGUCUAAGCACAAGAGGUCUUAUAAGACAAACAAUAAAUGAGAGAUGAUUUUCCUACACACGAGAGGAUUUAUAAGGAAAAAAAGCUCGAAAGAGUUUGUCUAAGUAAGAGAGGUCUUAUAAGACAAACAAUGAAUGAGAGAUAGUUUUCUUACAUACAAGAGGAAUUAUAAGGAAAACAUGAAUGUUAGGGUUCGUCUAAGCAUGAGAGGUUUGACAAGACGAACAAAGACUAAGAGAGUUUUCCUAAGCAUAAGGGGACUGAUAAGGCAAACAUGAAUAGGAUAUUAAUUGGGAUUCCAAGACGGGUAUUUGAUAAUGAGGUGAUUAACCCAAAGGAUGCAUGCGUAACAAAGACGAUUGUUAUGUUUGAUCAUUCAUGAUGAAGAUUGUUGAAAAUAUUGAAUGAUGAAGAGUUUGAAUGUUGAAAGAUUUGGAUGUUGCCUUAAGGAAGAAGAAUAUAUUUGAUUGUUUAUGAUUAUGAAAUUUGUUGGGUGAGUUUAAUUGUUGGUACUUAGAGGGAGACAAGCGUCUAACCACUGGCUAAGUACGACCAGCAAUUAGAAUACUUGGAAGUUGAGAGGAUAGUUUCAUCCUAACCACUCUUUUUCACUCUUAGAGCAUCAGAUUAGACUCAUUUUAUUUGUUAAGUGUUUUGUAAGAAUGUCAAGUAUCGGGCCACAAGCUAGGUACGACCGACAACCCAAGUACUUGAGAAUGUUAUGCACAAGUACGUACACCCCAUCUUUUUCAUCCAAUUUAUUAUGAAAAUGAUUUGAUGAAUAUAAAUGGAUAAAGAUAUGAAGUUGAAUAGGAUGAGAUGAAGAAUUGGAUGAGAUAGAAUGGAAAUGGAAAUGCAAAUGGAUGAGAUACUUGACAUUGGAUCAAGAACUCGUGUUGCUUUUGAUCUAACUUGACUUUGAAAAGCACUUGACGUUGAAUCAAGUGGGUCUUUAUUCUUUUGAAAAGUAUUCUUUUUAUCGUUUGAUUUUAUCUUGUUAAUUACAUGCAAAGUAAACAAUAAGGAAAUAAAAUUCUAAGUUAUUACAUGAUCAUGGGAAUGGGGGACAUAUUACCCACAAUGGGGGGAUGAAUCAUCAACCAUACAAAAAUGGGAAUAAAGGAUCCAUACAAACAUAUAAUGAUACCAUGCCCUAAAAUCAAUCAAGGGGAAAUGGUACCCUAAUAACUCCACAACUAUGAUUAUGUACCAUGCGUCAAAAUACAAUCAAAUGGAUACAAAUUGGUAUGCUAAUCUAAAUAAUUAAAAUUAGGGAUCGAGUCCUAAAUCUAAACAUGAAUCAAAAGUGGCUAAACAAUUAUGUAUCACAUUGAAUUACUAACCACAUUUAGCUAAAAAGUCAACAUACAAUGAGGGGUUGAAAAUACGAUGAAUCAUUACCUUUAAAAAUGACCUAAGGAUCUAAACUAAUUAGAAUCAAAUCAUGUUCUAAAGCAUUAAUCCAUUGAUUUAACAAAAUAGUUCAAAGUGAUUAACAAAACCUAAUUAAAAUUCUAACCAUUUAAUCAUGUAUUUUUGUAAAUAAUGUGAUCAAUCAUCAUGCAUUAAAAUGUGGCAAAAUGAUAGAAAAAUCAAUAAUAAAAUAAAAUAAAAUAAGAAGAGAAAAAAUAAGAAAAAGAAGCAUGGGGUGCAAACUGAAAUAUGGUGCAAAUAGGAAAUGGAAGUAGGGCCCAUGUGCAGAAAGCCCAUAUUUUCCUAACUUCUGAUCAGGGGUGCAUGAUGAAUUCAUGGUGCCAAAAGGAAAAUGUAUGGGCCUAACAGGUUAAGUCCAAGUACACUUGUGGGAGAGGGAGUUGAAAAUUUCAGAUGAAGUUCAAACUUGAGCAAAAAUGUGCGCUCCAUGACAACACAUAAUUCAAACAUAUGGCCUGAGCCACCCUCACAUCCGUCGCACUGGAGGUCGCCGACGACGGAGGAUGAGAGUUAUCUACUGAGAAAAAUACACCAUCUAAAUCGUCUCCUCCUUCUUCAUUCAUAUCUAUCAUUAAUUUUACAUUACUUCUAACCUAAAGCCUUAACCGGAAUGGGAUUAAUUAAGAACCCUAGGUGUUCAAACAUAAAUUAAAUCAUAAUCAUGCAUGGAAUUGAUCCACAACCAUGGGGCUUACAAUCUACUACCUUCAACCUACCAUCUGGUAACAAGAAUUUGGAGAAAUUGAGUGAAAAAGGAGAGCUUACCUGAGCGAUAUUGGAGUUCAACAUGCACCAUAACAGGUAAGGUAAUUCUUAUUCUCGUAUCAAUUCCUCUUUCUUCUUCUUCUUCUUGGUUCUGUGGAUGUGAAUGAUUGGUGAGAGUGAGUUUUUUUUACUCGAGUGAUUUGAGAUGAGUGAGUAUGAUGAACUGCACUGAGUGUUGAUGAACAAUCCUUUGGAACAGAGUGAUGAUGAUGUCAAUCAGGGUUGAUGAAGAAAUUGGUGAAAAUUUAUGAAUCCAAUGUUAAGUGAAGAUGAUGAAAAAAAUUGUGAUUGAUGAUUAUGAUCUGAAUAUGUGUCAAUGUUGAUGAUUGAUUUCUGUUGAGUGAAUAGGUGAAUAUGGUGAAUUGAUCUUAUGUGAAAAUUUGAUUCCCCUUGAAUGAGGAUUGACGUUAGCUUUUAAAGCCCUUAAAUCCUCUCAACCAAAUCAAUUAGAGGUGGUUAGUUAGUUGGCCUUGAAAAUGAGUGUGGAAGUUUGUUAGGAAAAACUGUUAAGGUUGUUGGAGAAUUGUUAUGACAGACUGAACUCAACCCUGUUAGUUAGUUAGGUGGUUUUUUUCUGUUAGAAAUUUUUGGUAGGUAGUUAGUUAGGUUAGGCAUGAGGUUAGUUAAGUUAGUUAGGGAUUAAGUGGUGAUGUAGCAAGAGGUUAGGAAUUUAGGAGGUGGAGUUGUGACAGCUAGAUUGAGUGAACUGAGGUUGCAGAAAUUAUGUUAUGAUGUGAGUGUCUUUGUGAUGUUCCAUUGCUGCUUGUUGUUGGUUAUGGUAGGUUUGAAUGGUUGUUGAGUUAGAUAUGUUGCAUUAUUUCCUGCUAUGAAUGAUGGUUGAUGCAACGUAGUAGGUCUGCAAUGCUACUUAGAUGUUAUGGCCUGCCAUGAUGUAUGAAUUACUGUUAAGUGAUGCUUGCAUUGUGGCUGCCUUGUUAUGCUUGCUUGCUGUUGUUGUUUCUUAUGUAUUGGUUAGUUGUGAUGUUUACAUGGAUGUUAUAAACAUAUGGAAAUGUGAAUUCAUAGCUUACUUAUACAUAAAUGCUUGUUAUUUCUGCUAUGAUGCAUUAUUGCUUGGAAUGUGGUAUGAGCUGCUAGCAUUUAUGCAUUAGUGUUGGAUCUGUCUUGAUAAUGUGCUAUGACUAAUUAGCCUACCAUGUUAUGUUGUAUUGGUACUAUUUAAUGCAUUAUUGGCUUUGGUUUGUACAAGAGAGAUAUGAACUGAUACAUGUUAUGUCUUAGCUUGUUAUAAAUCAAGGGUUGCAACUGUUAUCACUACGCCAAAAACUGGAAUAGACAGCGCACCUUAGAGGGCGCUUUCUUAAAGAAGCGCACUCUAAAGUGAAGAGAAAAAUAAGGAGGAAUAGACAACGCACUUUAGAGGGCGCUUUUGUAACAAAGCGCCCUUCUAAAGUGAAGCGAAAAAUAAUGAGGGAAUGGAGGGACACCAAUAGAGGGCGCAUUUAUGAAGCGCCCUCUAAGGGUACCCUUAGAGGGCGCUUUUAAAAAAGCGCUCUCAUAAGUCCAUGUACAUUUCCAGUUUAUAAAGCGCUUUUGGAAAGCCUUAGGAGCGCUUUAGAAGCGCCUCUUAGGCCCCUUUAGAGGGCGCUUUUUUUACACAAGCGCCUCUAAGUCCCUUAUUAACAUUAAAAUUAUAACAUAUAUACUGCAUGUCUCUUUAUUUUCCUCUCUAUAUGCUAUUUUCGUUUACGUAAUGGGUUUUCUCUCUACUGCGAUUACUUCUACUGUGAUUACUCUCGUCCUCCGUUCGUUCUCCCUCCCUACCGUCGUCGUCGCCGAGCCUUUUUCUGCUGCUGCAUUCACGUUCACUGUUAUCUGCGUCCACCGUCGCUGUUCACUUUUCUUCUCCAUCGUUACCGUCACCUUGAGGUAUCUUCUCUCUCCAUCGUACCGUUCACUUUCUUCAGGUGUUUGAUUGGCUUUUUCUAAACUGGUUUUCAUUUUGUGCAUUAUGGUUGAUAAUGUUGUUUAGGGCAAACGAGCAUUAUAUGGUGUCAUGGCACCCUUGUUAUAAGGUUUUUUAUUUCUGCAUUGAAAACUUGAUGUCAUUGGAGUGUGUUUGAGCUUGUGCUUGGAAGUUUGAUGAUUAUGGAUGCAGUUUGUUCAUGUUCAACACCAUAGUUUGCAUUGGUCUUUGUAUGCAGUAGUGUGUGUGAUGGUAUUCUAAUGAUGAAAAAAGAGAGAGUUUAGUAUUGUUGUAACAUUGAAGGAAAUGGAAGGUAUAUGAAUGUGUGUUUUUGUGUGUAGCUUCACGAAUAUGGUCAUUGUCUUACUUGGGGUCUUAUUGAAUCUUUCUAUUUAUACAGAUAAAAAUGGCUAACCAAGACGAUACCCAUUGACGCGAGUGGAUCACGUAACAAUGUUUGAAAAAAGAAAUCAAAUGAGGAUUGAUGUUAUGAAGUCAAUCAUUCGUGCAAGAGACAAGGGUGAAAAAUUCGAAAGUACAUUGGAGUGCUGAAGACCAACUAAUUGAGCCUAACGGUUCAAUGUUGACAAGUUACAUUGGUUCCCUUGUUCGACAAAUAUUCCGAUACAUGUCAUAAUUGGAGAAGUCCGGAAUUGAGGUUGGCAAAGAAAAAUAUGGUCCGAGAUACAGGUACUUACCAUAUAUUAUUAUAUGUUUUUUUUGUUGACUAUUUGUUGACCAUAUAUUGUUAUAAUAUUACUUAUAAUAACACACUCCUUUGUAUGUUUUUUAGAGAUCCUUUCACCAUCGAUGAAAGCGGCAAAAUAUUGUAUUCAAUUGGCCGGAAAAAGACUCCGAGGAUUUCGAUCCUUUUUGUCAACAAAUUUCUCAAGGAUGAGGAAGGAAACUUUGUUGAAGCAGAACGGCCAAUGAAGUAUGCGGAGAUUAUUUCAGCGAAGAAUGGGAUAACUUUGUCGCCAAACGAAGAAACGAAAAAUUCCAUGUAUGUCUAUUAAUUUUGGUAUUAUACAAUUGUUAGUUACUUGGUUCUAAUAUGCCUUAAACUUUUUUAUCCAGGAAGUAAGCGACAAAAUCGGAAAGGGCAUCAAAACCGCGUAUCCGUACAAAAAGGCGUACGGGAUAUGCACGGUUACAACAAAGAAUUGUGAGUAUAUUCAAAUGCUAUGACUUAUACAUUGUCACAAUAUGUUAUAAUUGAUGAUCUUAUAAAUAUUCAAUUUGUAGCUAGCCGAGGAGAAAGUGACACAACAUCUCUUCCGGAGCACGUAUGUGGAAGGCUGCUCGGCGUUGGGAAGGAUGGGGCUGUCGUUGAAACGUUUCAAAAUGUUUAUGACGAAUGUGUAAGUAUAUGUAACAUUAUUUUCUUAAUUAUAUCGAAAUUUUGUUAGACAUUAAUUCAUUUUUAAUCUCCUCUAAUAAUAUUUCAGGAGACUCUUAUCCCAAACCUUACCUUCAACCGAGGUCCAGGAUUGCAGAGCGUACUUAGUCGAGUACUAAAUGUUCCUGAGUAUUCGGUCGUGUGAGGGGUAAGGGUUUUUGUGUGACUCCGUCGUCAUUUUAUUAAAAAAAACCAAAACAAAAAUCCUUACAACAAAGAGGUGAUGGAGACCUUGGCGGUUUAAGGGCACAAAGUACUCGAACUGCAAAAGGAGAAUGCAGGUAUAGAGAGGAAAGGUGCGGUUCCGAGGCAAAGAUACUACGUGACCGAGCUAGUAUCAAUUGUCAACCGAAAAUUUCCCGAGGUAAUUAUAUAUGUUAUUAUGAAAUUAAAAUAGCACUUUUUUACUGACCACAUAUACACGUUAACAAUAACAUUUUAUUAUUGGUUUAGGGCAUACACCUUGUCAGCUGUAUCUAUCGUCACAACUUAUCGCAUAGUUGGCAAGGAAAAGUGCACAACAUUCGGGUGAAUUACUUCACCAUAAUCCCCUCCCGGUGGGAUAUAUAAAGUUUCGGUUGACCUUGUAUUAGAUACCGACCGGCUUCUACCAUUACCUGACGUUUUUCAGAGACAACGUUGAGCGAGAUGCAGUCGGAUCCUUUGUUGGAUGGCCGUCAGAUCUAAUUUUCCCAGAUGCCGAGGUAUAUAUGUUUCUAAAUGAUUAUGAAUAUUUAGUAUUCACAUUUCAAUUCAGCUACAAUUAUGAUAUUUAAUCAAUCCUUAUUACAUGGUAAUGUUAGACUCCUACAAGACCCACACAUAAAGCUGGUAAAGGGAAUUCAAGACGCAUCGAGUCGGUUGCAUCUACAAAAAGGUACAAAAUAUAUAUACCAUUGAAUUAUAUACGCAACGAUCUGUUGCAUCACAAAAAGUCAGGAUUUAAUUUAUAUGAAUUUUUAGGUUCCCGGUCGAAAGUUGAAAAAAGCUGGUAACGAUAUUCCAACGACGUCCGGGACAAAAUCUCAAAUUAUGAUGCGUCUUGAGAAAAUGGUGGAAGAGGCGAUAUUAUGCACGGCGCCAUCCGUUAGUGUAGAUUUUGAUGAAGGUGUUUUCGGAAUUGCUCAUUCGAAAUAAUUGCAAAGGAGGACAUGCAACAACUUUUUGAACACGAAAAUUGGGCAUCGCUGUCAUUCAUACAUACAUAUGGUACUCCGAUCAAUCUAUUACUUACUUAGUUGAACAAUUUAUUUACACAUUUUCAAUGAGUAGUCUAAUGUUUAUUAUGUUUCUAUUAGGUAUAUUAUGUAACAUUGAUGCGGGGAACUGAAUUGUGUACGAUUCAAUUUUAUUGCUGCUUCCCGUAUCAACACAAUGUUUUAUAACGAAAAAUCCAACAUCCGUAAGAAUGAACUAGUCGAUAGAUUCAUGGAGGCCGGCGAUAUACUACACCAGUUGUAUUUUUUACCGUUUAUUCUGGCAACGGUUAGAUUUUCUUUCUAAUAAUUUAUUUUAAUCUAUGUAUAUCUUUUACGUAGAAAAUUUUCAUGGACUAAAUUUUUGUUUUAUUUUACAGUGCGUCACUGGGUGUUGGUUGCUAUGGAUCUUUCGAGACUAAUGGUUGUAUUAUCUCGAUUCGUUAUCAGGUGAUGGAGUAAAUAUCCGAGUAUGAAGAAGACGGUUGACGCGUAAGUGAAAUUCCCCUAAAUAUUCGUGUGUAUUGUAUAUUUUAAUUAUGUCUGUCAGAUUGAUCUCAAUAUACGUUUUAUUUUGUUAAGGGCAAUACUAAAAUUUAGAUCGAAAAAUAAUUACCGUAAUAGGAAGACAUUACCUGGGUCAGAGUUCAGGUAUAUAUUAAGUAUCUUAUUUUGCUUAUAAUAGUGUUUGUUUUUUUUGCUUAUAAUAUGUUUGUAGAAAUUAACUAAUAUAUAUUAUUGUUUGUUUUUUUUCUUGUGUAGUGUCCUUCACAAAACAUUCGGUCGAUUGCGGAUUUUUUGUAUUGAGAUUUAUGAGAGAUAUCAUUGCGUUGAAUCGUAUGACAUCCCAAAAUGGUAUGGAAUAAUAACUUUAGGGUUUAUUUUAAUAUAUCGGAUAUUUCAUCUAAUUUGUUUACAAAUCAUGAUAUGUUUUAUUCUCUUAAUUGUAGUACUUUGAGGAAUACAAAUCUUACUCAAGAAGCUCAUUUUGGAUGUAAAUGAAGGAUGAAUUGUGUCAAUUCAUUUGUUGAUCAAGAAUCAUUAGCUAGGUUGUAUAUUGUUGUACAUAUAUGUAUGGAAUGUUUGUUGUUGUAGCUGUUGUUGUAUAUAUGUUGUAUAUUGUUGUUGUACUUUUACUAAAUCAUGAAUAUGUUGUUGUAUAUUGUUGAUCAAAAACAUAUAUUAAUGUGUAUAUAUGGGAGGAUUAAUGUUGUAUAUAAAUGGAUUCAUGUUGUAUAUAUCAAUGGAUUAAUGUGUAUAACAUUGGAUUAAAGGAUGAAAUCAAUAUGAAUUUUACACUUUUGCAGCAUGCGAACAGGUUACCAAUUAAAUAUCCACUGUUUUCAAAUAAAUUUUUUAAAUAACUAACACUUUAGAGGCGCUUUCUGUAGGAAGCGCCCUCUAAACACUUUACAUUGACAACUUUAGAGGGCGCUUUGUCCAGAAAGCGCCCUCUAAACACUUUACAUUGACAACUUUAGAGGGCGCUUUUCCAAAAGCGCCCUUAAGGUGUCCCUUAUGGACCACUCCAGAGGGCACUUUUUUCUGAAAGCACUAUAAUGUGGCCCUUAAAGGGACCUUUAGACAACGCUUUCUCCAGGAAAACAAAGCGCUGUCUUUACCUAUGCCAGCGCCACUUUAGAGGGCGCUUAAAAGCGCUGUUAUAGGCCAAAAUAAGCGCCCUCUUUUCCCUUAUUUGGCGUAGUGUAUACUUGAAUGAAUACCAAUCAUGUGCUUGUAUGUAGGCUUUACCAUGCAUUUGAUGAAUAUGGAUUAUCUUUAUCUUAUGGUAUGUUAUGCAAUGUUGCAAUUAAUUCAAUGAUUGUAUGCACGACUGAAACAAUCUUAGAGACAUGGUCAUGAUUGAAGCUUGGCAUGGAGGUUCAUGGUGAGAACUUGAAGAAAUCCAAGGCUUACUUGCUCAUAAAGAAAGGUUUUACCAUGGAAUCAAAUGGAAUGAAUGCAAGGAAUGACGACACAAUGGAUCAUUAGGAUUAGGAAUGUGUAAUUUUAGGUCAGUUGACUUUGGUCAACUGGUUGACAAAAAAGUCAACAGUUGAACAAAAGUUAAUUGUAGGUCAAAUUUGUUUUUUUUUUGUAUUUUUAUAUGGACCUUGUAAAAUGAUACUUGUAUGGUUAAAUGAGCAAAUUUGAAUGGAAAUACCCCUUCGAUUCAAUGAAACAUGCCUUUGAUUCAAAUUAUGACUUUUCCCCAAAAUCCAUAUUUAGAUCAUAGUUUGAAAUGAAUGAACCAUGAUCUUUAAAAAACUUGACCAAUAUGGACUAUGAAUGCAUGAUAACACAUGAACCAAUGGACUAUGAAUAUUUACCAUGAAUCAGGAACAAGUGGACUUAGAAUACACCAUGAAUCAAAGAUCAAUAGACUAGGAAACAAGAACCAAUUCACUAUGGAACAUGGACUAAUGCACAAUGAAUGCUCCACGAAGCAUGAAGUCAAUGGAAUAGGAAUGCAUAAUGGAACAAGACCCAAUGGACCAAAAAUGAAACAUGAAACAUGAAACAAUGAAUGCACCAAUAACUUGAAUCAAUGGACUAUGACAUUUGAAUGAAACAUGCCAUUUAUGAGGACCUUGAAUGUAUUAAGAAUCAUGAGCCAAUGGACUAUGAAGCAUGGAUCAAUAGACUGAAUGCACCAUAGACCUAGAAUUAAUGGACUUGAAUGGAAACUAGAAUGCAACAUGACUUGAAUGAAAGCUUGAACAAUGCCUUGGAUUAGAUGGAUCAUCAAGCAUGUAGGUAUGUAAAUCCAAUGGUCAACUUGAUGAAUUAUUCCCAAGAAUAAUAGUACACUUGAUGAUUGAUGAUGCAUACCAUAAUGAUCAAGAACCACACUCCAAUGAAUUAGGUUUUUAGUCAAUCAUAAGACCAUAUUAUCCACCAAUACCAAAUAUCCAUGAUUAGGGUUUCAUGAUGCAAACCAUCUAAUCAAAGAACUCAAACAAACAAGAAGCUCCACAAUCAAAUCUCCAACAAAUGGCCCCAAGAUUAGGGUUUCAAGAUCAAACCCAAGCUCAAAAGGCAAACCACAUAAUCCAUGAGUAGCAAAGACCAAGAACUAGGGUUUUAUGCAUAAGUAAAUACCAUGAUUGCAAUUUUCAUGAACAAAGGUCCCAAGAAAUAAGAAUUAGGGUUUUACCCCUUGAUUCCAUAUUGAUUGUACCACCACAAUCUCUAAGGCUUGAUCCUCAAGUAAACCCUAGCUUUUGUAAAGUAUAAUUAACCACAACCUUUGAAUCUAUGAUGUAUGUUUAAGAGUGCUAACAUGAAUAAAUGAUGCACUUGUAUUUGGUAUAAAUAAGUGCAGAUGAAUCUCAAACCAUAAGUCAGAUGAAAAGUGAAAAGGGGAGGGAAAAUUUUUGGGGUAUGACAACAAGAAGAAAAAAGAGACUGAUUUUUGCUUCGUCUUCAUCGUCCAAUUCAUGCUAAUUAUGUUACCGCAUUGUGGUUCAUUGUCCGUGGAUCCAAACCCCUAGGGUUUGGACUCCAAAUUGCUUCAGUUCAACGUUUGAUUUCUGAUUUUAGUAGUUUAUGGCUCAUAAGUGUUUUGCUUUGGUUUAAGGGAUGAGAGAAGAAUCAUGGAAACGAAUUGUGGAUUAUGGAAGAGGGGACUAGGAAGAUUGAUUUGAUGGUUGAUUAAAGGUUUUGGACCUCCGCCGCCGCCAGAGGUGAUUUCCGGCGCGACUGAGUUUUUAACUCUUGUCUCACAUUCUGAUAACGCGUUUUCAAACAAGAAACAUGAUUGAGAUAUCCAGACAUCUCCCCACUCUAUUGGCCUCCUUGAUAUAGGCUUAGGGCCCUUGGGCCCAUUGAAGUUCCUUCAUAAGCCCACUAUUUCUUGCGUAUACCCCCUCCUGGAUUGACACUGCCUUGUGUUGGGCUUUGCUUUGUCAAGCUCAAUCCAAAUGAUUCAUACAUCCUACUGAUGACAACACACCCCUUGCCUAUUCUUUAUUAUUAUUAUUAUUAAUUGGUUUUUUCAAUAUUCUUUUUAAUAAAAUCUUUUAUCACAUAUUACAUGGAAAAUACUUCGAAUAAUAAUGUUAACACUUAGAUUUUUAGAUUUUAUAUUUUCUUACGAUUUAAAAUACGUUUAGAAUUUUAGAAAUAAUAAUUAGAAUGCACUCUAGUUUAGAGAAUUACCCAUUAAUUUUUUAGAAUAAUCUUCAAUUAGAUUGUAGAAGUUAAAUAACAUGUUCAUUGGAUUUUUGGUUAAAACUUAAUUGUGUAGUUGUGAACUAAUGUUAACCUUAGAGGUUGAAAUACAUGAUUAUUACCUUUUAAUCCCUUUUUUACUUUGGUGCAUGUUAAUGCUUGAUGCUAAAAAUUAAUCAUGAUUAGUCUUAGGAAUUAAUUUUUAAGUAGAAUACAUUAUAAUUUAUUUCCUUUUCUUUUGCUUUUGUUUGUAUGCAUGGGUCAUGGUUGUGAAUGUUGCUUGAUUUCUUCUUACCAUUUGAUUUAUUCUCAUGUGCAUGAUUUAAUUUUAUGUACGGUGUAUGAUUAUCCCCCAUAUUUGGACAAAAUGUACCCCACUCCCAUGAACAUAUAACACUUUUAUCACUUUCCAUUUUAUUCCUCUCAUCACUUGUUAACUAAGAAAUAAUCAAAAGCGAUCUAAAAAGAACAUUUUUCAAAAGAACAUAAAUAAACUCGAUUAAACGUCAAGUGUUUUUAAAAAUCAAAUUCAAUUGAAUAUAACGCAUGUGCUUGAUCCAACGUCAAGUACAUCAUCCAUUUAAUUCACAAUCUUCAUAUUCAACUAGAAACACUUGAUCCAAAAUCAAGUCAUUUUCAAAGUUUUACAAUAAACCAGAUGGAAAAGAAUGGGGUGUACGUACUUGUGCACACCAUUUCUUAAGUACUUGGGUUGUCGACUGUACUUAACUUGUGGCCCAAUGUUUAUCUUCCAUUCAAAACACUUAACAAUAAAUGGCCUUUCCAUUUCACAGUUCCUACGAAAAUACUUAAAUGAAAAUUAGUAAUACAUAAAGACAUACACAAAUAUGGACGCAAACAGAAUCGGACCACAUAAACAUAGUUGCUCACAAACAUCAAAAUAACAAUUUCACAUAACAAAUUAAAAAAAAUCAAACAUAGUUGCUCACAAAACAUCAAUAUAACAACAACCAGAAGAGAAUCAGAGUAGCUCACAAACAUCAAAAUAUGAAGAAGAAAAAAAUGAACACGAACACAAAAGCGAACACAUACUGAAAUAUAAAGUUUCAAACUUUUAUCGGGUAUACCAAUAAGCAUUGCGUUAUAGGCUCAAAAUUAAUAACCUAGAAAAUGAACAAAUACAUGAAUAAUGAAGAAGACGGGACACUUGUUGGUAAAAUCAUUUGCAAAGUUCAUUUUGUUCAACCGGGAUGUUGAGUUUAUUAGUAUCAAAAUGAAAAAAAAUACAAAACAACGAUGAAGUGGAAGAACAAAUAAGAUCGAAAUCAGGCUGGUGCGAAACUAUCAAACGUCACCUUAAGAUUGAGUGGAUGGUGAAGGAGAGAGAAAGUAGUUUAAUAUUUUUGGGAGAAAGUACAAAUUUUUAUUUUAAAGGGAUAUAUGAAAAGGUUGAACUUUGGUUUAUGUGAUAAAGUUGAAUCAGAUAGUGUCUUUGUAACCAACCAAACCAAACCAAGUUGCAAUAUAAGGUAAGAUGGAAGUAAAUAGAAUAACUAGUAACCUAACAAUGCAAAUUAUGGUAGUUUGUUUGCAAAAAGUAAAUUUGGGACACAAAUUAACCUCAAAUUGGUGACAUGGCAUUAUUAUAGACGGGGGAAAGUUGUAUUUUCCACAACAUCUUCUUUUCUUAUAUUAUAGAUGUUUCAUUAUUAAUUUUUAAUAUUCAUGAUGCUUUUAUAAUAUUUUUAGGUUUCAUGCGAAUCACUAAUGGAAGUGUCUUGAGCGUUGAUACUCAUUAAAUAGACCACAAAGAUUUGUUUAAGGACGGAGAAAGGAAUAAAUAAACACGCUUAUAUUUUCCCUUGAUUAUUACUCAAAACCGAGGUAAAACGUGUUUCUUUUUAAAUAAAAAAUACAAAAAAAUAUAUGUUUCAUCCCAAACGCCACAUACCUCUCGAUUUCUAUAAAAAAAAUAAGGGAUGUAAGCUUUUUUAAAAAAUAAAUAAAUUAUUUACACAGAAUAUUAAAAUAAAUUGUUUAAACAAAUCUAGAUUUUAACAAUGGAUUCUUGGAGAACAACAAAUAUUUUCAAGUUAUUCUUGGAGGAUAACAAAUCUUUGUUAUUAUCCAGAUUUUGUUGUCUAUCAUUUGUGUGCAUUCUUUUCAAGUUCAAUGGAUUGUAUGCAUUGUUGAUUGUAAUUUUAAGUGUCGGGUUUUUGUUAUCGUCUCCACGGGGAUUGUGAGAUAUCGCCGCCUUUCGACAGUUGUUUUAAUUCUUAGCUUAAGGUAACAAUGGUUUUUGGUUUUAGUCACGGUANGGUCACAAAAUGGGUAUACCGAGUCGUGUUGAGUCAUGCAUGGGUGUGUGCAUUGCAAUUGAUGUGUUGUUUUGUUGAUGUUCAUGAGUUGUGAUUAUAAUGAUGAUGAUUGAUGAUGAACUGUGUUGACAUGUGUGCAAUAUGUUUAUAUUAUAUUCUGUCGUUAUAUUAUUGUUUAAUAAUGAAAUUCUCACCCCUUCUGCAUGUGUUUAUGUUCAUCUAUGAUGAGCAAUGUGCAGAUAAUGAAGAGUAGCUUUUGUUGAGGUUUGAAGAAUAAGUGUAGAGUUAUUCUACAGAGUCGAGUCAAAUGCUCUGGUCAUGUGACACCGGGGUUAUGGGAUUCGAUAGAUAAACGAGUUAUGAUUUACGUUGUCUAUGAUAUUUAAAUGUUAAGAUAUUUUAUGAAUUGUCAUAUGAUGCAUGACAUAUUCCUGAUGUUGUCCGCUGCGAAAUUUUAGCAAAAUAAAUAAUAAUUUUAUUCUCUGAUGUGAUAAGUAUUAUAUGAUGUGAAAUGUAAACUCUUCUACAUGUUGUACUCUGAUAAAUUAAUUAAAUAUGUCGUUUGGGUAGAAGGGUGUUACAAAAGCUGCACACUAAACCAAACAAAUUACAAGCACAAGUCAAAAAUUUAAAAAUUAAGCAACUAUUGUGAUGCUCGCAAUAUCAAUUCACAAUCCCCGGCAACAGCGCCAUUUUGUUGAUUGUAAUUUUAAGUGUCGGGUUUUUGUUAUCGUCUCCACAGGGAUUGUGAGAUAUCGCCGCCUUUCGACAGUUAUUUUAAUUCUUAGCUUAAGGUAACAAUGGUUUUUGGUUUUAGUCACGGUAUCUUGCAUAAAAGUGUAAGAAAAUGAGGUAAAAGAUUUGGUUUUAAUAUUUGAGAAAUAUUGCCAAAGUUAGGGUUCGACAAUCACUUUGCAUGCAUAUGUUCGAUCAACAAUACUUAUAAACUCCUUUAGAUGAUAAACUAUUUCACAAAGUCCUCCCAAUGUGUUUAUCUCUAACACACAUUGUGGGUUUUCCCAUUUUGAUCCAUUGUUUAUCUCUAACACAAUCUAUCAAAAUGACAACUUUUUGGUUUCAAACUUUAUGGUGAACAAAAUCAUUCAUUACUAUCUCUGCUAACAAAUAAGAUUGGAUGAAAACCUAGGUAAAGAGUGGUUAAACAUCUCUCGAUCUAAACCAACACAAAGAGUUAUCGAUAAAACAAAUUUUUCACCAUAUAUCAUCAUUAAAGAGUUUACAAAUGAAGAUCAUCCCAUUUACAACAAAGCUAAUUGAUAUCUACAUCUAACCUUGACAAAUGAAGAACUUAGCUACUCAUUUUUCAUGGUAGUUUGGCUCACAAAGUUUCGGAAGAAGGUUGAUCAACAUCCGAGUCGAAUAAUCGAGAUGGAUGGGAAUCCACCUUCUUUUUGUGAAAGAUGUUAAGAGAUGAAGAGAAAUGAUAAAAUGGGUUUCUAGGUCACAAAAUGAUCCAAAAGCAAUGCAGGAAAAUAUCUAGAAAAUCUAAGGUGUUGUCCAAAAAGUAGCCCUUGCUACUUAAUACUAUGGUCUGAGCUGUCAUGCUCGCUAGGCGAGCAGAAUGGCUCGCCUAGCGAGCCCCUAAAAUAGGCACCAGAGGCACCUGCGCCCAGAAAUAUCUAACUUCAGACUUCACAUGUUCGCUAGGCGAACAAAACCUUCGCUAGGCGAACAAAACCUUCGCUAGGCGAAGCCCACGCUUCCACCUUCGCUCCAGCGAGCUUAGGAGGUUUUGCUACUGGAAUUGCUCGCUGGGAGGUCGCUAAUGGCUCGCCUAGCGAGUGAGUGCUGGUUGCGCUUUUGACUAAGUCUGAACGUGUUCGCUACCACGUUCGCUGGCUGCUCGCCUAGCGAGCAUGCUGAUGAAUGCUUUCUUUUUCUUGGUCCCUUGCCAUUUUCUUAUGCCUUCAUUUUCAAUUAUUUCAUGCCUAAUUCCUGCGCAGUAACACACAAAUCAAAGGUACCAAGAUCAUUUAACAUUGUAUUGCGAUUCAUCUAAAACAAAGGCGGUUUCGAACGCUUUAGCAACAAAAAGGAGUGGAAAAUGCCCACAUUUGAUAGCUCAAAUAAGCACUUUUGGGCAUCUAACAUGCAUCCAAUUUUUGAUAAGUUAUUUGUUCCUACCAUGAUAAUUUAUUUUUAAACUUGCAAUCCAUCCUAGAGAUCUGUUCAAAGAUUUCAUUAUCUUGAGCAAAUGUUUUCAUGACAAAUGCUUUCACAAGAAAGAUAACAAGAUACACGUACCUGCAAUUUACAACAUGUUUAAGAAUAAAUUCCUCAAUAUUGUCAACCGAGAAAAACAAUAAAUCUUGGAGUGUUUUCUUUGAUUGACAACAUAGGAAGGUUAUUCCAAAAAUAAAAACAACAACAUUAACACCAUUAUAUUAUGAUGGAUGUAAGAGCAGAAAAAAUAUUGACAAAAUACCCUUUUUGGUCCCUUAACUAUGCCCUUAGGUUUAGAUUAGUCCCUUAAUUUUUUUCGUGUCAGAUUGGUCCCUUAACUCUUUAAAACUUAUCAUGUUAGUCCUUUUCGUCUAAUUGGCGACAGAAAAAUUCAAAAAUCGGUCGCUAAAUCCGCCGCUAAUUAGGCAAAAAGGACUAACUUAACACAUUUUAAAGAGUUAAGGGAUCAAUCUAACACAAAAAAAAAAUUAAGGGAUCAAUCUGAACCGAAGGGUAUAGUUAAGGAAUCAAAAAGGGUAUUUUACCAAAAAUAUUUUAUUCAAGAUAGAAGAACAUCAAAGAUUUUUCCUGUCUUGCAAUCCAUCCCAAAGCCUGAUGCAUACAAGUUUGGAGUGACUACAUAUAAGUUAGGUUUAUGAUAAAAUCUGAUUAGCGAAUGCUUUUAUAUUAAAAUUUGAUUAUGUAAUCCCUCAAUUAUUAAAGAUAAUUAAAGGAUUAGAUCAUUAAUUUAUAAAAAAAGAAAGAAAGACACCACUUUUAAAGAAAUAAAAAUAUAAACUGCUAUUGUUGGGAUUCGAAGCAUGUCCGGUCUGUAAUUAUUUUCCCUUCAAUUAUAUUUAGAAACCGAGGAAUUAUGUGGUAUUUAAUUUUUUUAAAAAUAAAACAUAGCGCGUCUUGGUUAUGUCGAUUUUUUGUUGGGUGGGUGAAAGCUUUGUCAUAAAAUAUAUUAUUUGUAGUAGUGUUCUUGUGGAAGUCCAAUAGUUUAAUUACCCCGUAGGGUGACAAGGAUCUUCUUGUGGAAUUUCAACAAUUUCAUUACCCCAUAGAACGACCAGGAUGUUCCUAUCGAAGUCCAACAAUUUAAUUAUCCCGUAUGACGGCAAGGAUCUUCAUAUAGAAGUUUAACAAUUUAAUUACUCUAUAUGGCAGGAAGGAUCUUCCCAUGAAAGUUCAAUAGUUUUAUUACCCCAUAGGGUGGCAGGGAUCUUCUUGUGGAAGUCGAACAAUUUAAUUACCACCGUAAGGCAAAAAGGAUAUACUUUUGGAAGUCUAUCAAUUUAAUUAAGGCGACAAGGAUCUUCCUGUGAAAAUUCAGCAAAUUAGUUUCGACAGUCAAACCAUAAUAACUUGUUAAAAAUAUCUUAAUCUUUUACAAGAGUUUUCAUACAUAGGCUUUGUUGCACGAUACUCUUUGAGUUCCUAAUAGAAGAUUCAAGGUAUCUCUUCUCUUGGUGAACUUGACAAGUGUCUUUUGAAGAUCGAAAAUUUCAUUUUUCAAAGUAUCACAUUCAUUAUACUUGUCAAGUUCAAUUUGUCUUUUUGUAAGGAUUUAUAUUUAUUUCUCAAGGUUUUUAUUUUUAAGUUCAAGAGAGGAAAUAAUAUCCUUGGAUGUGGAGACAAUUUGUUCCAAUUUGUUUGUUUCUUUUGUUAGUUUCUUACAAAUGCAAAAAACAUUAUGAUAAGAAAAGUAUGAGGUUACCUCAUAAUCUUGAUGAUUUACCAUGAGAUAGAUAUUGGCUUCUUCUUCAUUGUAUGAGGUUUCCAUAUCACUGUCUUCCCAUGAAGCAUAAUCUUUCUUUCCAUUUUUAUGAGUUUUCUUAUAUUUGUUUUUAUUUUUAGUUUUUUGCUAAGGGAAAUUUUGGCCCGAUUUGUCUUUUGUUUCCACAUAAGUAACAUGUUGGGAUGAAUGAGGCUUUCUCCCUAUCAUUGUCUUGUUCCUCUCUUUGUUUCUUUUCAUGCCUCAAGAAUCUUUUGAAGUUCUUUACUAUAAGGGACAUGUCACUGUUAGAGUCAGAUUCCUCUACUUUGAGUGCUAGACUUUUGUUUUUCUUUUCUCGUUUAUCAUCUAUGACAAGUUUUUUAAGUUCCAUCUCGUGUACAUGUCAUUUAAAAAAAAUAUUUGUGUGUCCAUAGUUGCUAAAUCCUUAAUGAUUAUUGGGUUUCCAACUACGGUUUAGGCAUCUAAGAAUUUUUACAACUAGUUCCUCGUUUGAAAGUGUUAUUUCCAGAGUUCUCAUAUGACAUAUGAUAUGGGUAAAUUGCCACUACUACGUAAAUGCUCUUUCACCACUGUGGAAAAAGAGAUACGAUCAUAUGACCGUGAUGACAAACUAUGUCGCACGCUACAUAUCACAAAGGUUAUCUCAAACAACCGUGGUGAAAUAUAUUAAGGUCGUGGACUUGAUUCCCAACCAUAAUAUGAUAUAUAAUAAUUGACAUUCUAGCUAUCACCAUAGUGUCUUAUUAUCUGUGGUAAAAUACUUUUUUUAAAAAUAUUCUUUUUAAUUAUUCCAUUUAUGUCCCCCUUUUUAGUACUUAUACGCUAUAUUUUACCACAAUAAAACCAACAAAUAUGCAUAUUUUUGUAACCAAAAUAUGACUAUAAAAUAUUUCCAUCAAACUCAAAAAUACAACAAAUAUAUAAUUAUAAAAUAUAGCUAUACCAAAAUGUAACCCGCCUAAAUAUUAUUUACAUUCAACAUAAAAAAAUAAUAAACUUAUAUUACAAACUUAUGUAUGAUCAACCUUACCUAUAAAACGUAUUGAAAAAAAAUAUCAAACAUGCAUAAACAUCUUUAACGUCUUUUUCUGAUAAUGAUGUAGUGUUACUAAAAAAUACAAUAAAAAAUACACAACUAAUAUUUGUUAUUAGUAAAAAGACACAACAAAUACUAUAAUUUUGUUGAUUAAUAUAAAAAAUAUUAAUACGACACAAAUAUUUAUCAUUGAAGCAUAAAAAAAACACAAGAUAAAUAUUUGAAUGACAAAAUAAAUCCGCUUCAAAUCAAAUACAAAUAUAAAUCAAAUAAAUUUUUCAUAAAAUAAUAACAAGAAAAUUUGCACAAAAAUAAUUAGAGGAUGAUGUCAUAGAACUAGAUCCAGAAUCCAUUAUGAUAUAAGAAAUAUAAUAUUUUAUUAAUAUGAUAAUAAGGCAUACAUGAGAACAAUGCUACAACAACACAACAUAAGCCAUAUAUAAUAAUUCAAACACGUUUAAAGGAAGUGAGAUUCCUUAAGUGUUUCAAUGGCUGAUCCGACACAGCAGCUUCAUAAUUGUUAGAAGAUGAACCGUCUUUGGCAGAAAGAGUGAGGUGGUAGUUGGUCCCAGCAACAACCUGUGAUUCACCUUUGAUAAGUUUCUCAAACUCCAAUGUUGCUCCUUUUUGUUUGUUGUACUCGACAACUGCGAAACGGGCUAUUUCAAUCACAUAUGGAUCAAUGAUGUUCUUUAUGGGAGUCCAACCGCCUAGUAUAGCUUGAUUCAGAGUGGCCGAAGCAAACAAAAUAAGGAAGAGGAGACUUAGGGAUUGAAAUCUCAUGAUGUCUGUUAACUUGAGAAAUCAAGAUGGUGUGAGUAAAACUCUGUGGUGUGGAGUAGUUAUAUAUAAUGUACAAAAGUUAUGCCAUUUUUGGUGAUAUUCUCUUUUAUUCGUUGAAUUAAAUCAAAAUUUUCAUUUAAUUUUAUUUCAUAAAAAUAAAUUAAAUUUAUUUUUUAACCAAAUAUAUAAAGUUUUUUUAAUAAUAUAUAAUAUUUAAUAAACCUACAAUUAGUUUAAUAGAAAAGCAUAGUCAAAAGUAUUAUAUUUAAUGUCAUUCAAGCUUUUUUAUAUAUUUUAAUUUGUAUUAAUGAUAAAAUGAUGGUGUGAAUUUAUUAUUAUUAUUUUUAUUUAAAAAUCCAUGUGAUUUUCUUUUCUUUUAUUAAUUUUGAAAUUAGAAAAGGUGAAAAUAUUUUUAAAAUGAAAUUAUAAUUUAUUUAACUUAUCUUUAAUACUUAUCUAUAUUUUAAAAUAAUAUAUACUUAUUUAUAUAUUAACUUUAAAUUAAUUAACAUUAAAAUAAUUUAUUUUAAAUUUAUAUAUUACAAAACUAUCAUAUAGAUAAGUACAUAGUUUUGUAAUCUUAUAUUUAAUAAUAUGAUAUUAUUCUAUAAAUAUUAUUUAAUAUUUAAUAAAUUAUUUAUUUCUGAAUUUAAAUGUAAUAUUGUUUAAACUUAUGUAUUUUUUCUAAUGUUAUUAAAAAUUAAUAUUAAUUUUGUUUAAAUAUGAAUAUAUGUUAUUCAAAAAAAAUGAAUGCAAGUUAUUAAAAUGUGUUUAAAUAUGAAUAUGAAUUUAAAUAUGUUCCAAAAUUAUUUCGAAUUAUUUAUAAUUUAAGUGUAUUUAAAGGAAAGUUAUUACACGUGGAAAGUUAUUUCUAAUUAUAAUUUCUUAUUCAAUGUGUUUAAAUGUAUGAAUUUUUAGGAAUAUUUUUUUCUGAUUUAUAAGGGUCAUUAUUUCUAAUUUAUAAGUUCAAUAUUUUUAAAUAAUGUUACAUUUAAAUUCAGAAAUAAUAAGAAAAUAUAUUCAUAAGUAUUAAAUUUGUUAACCUUAAGAAUUAAAGCACCUUGCUCCAGUUGGAAAUUAACUCGUGCCAUGAGGAUUUUAAUAGUUGUUAAAAUUAAAAUAAUUAAAAAAGAAAAUUAAUAAAAAAUUAAAAUUAAUUUUUAAUAACAUUAAAAAAAUUAUGCAUUUAAAUUCCAAAAUAUAUAAUUUAUUAUUAAAUAUAAAAUAGUUUUAAAAAAUGAUAUAAUGAAAUAUGAAAUAUGACAAAACAUUAUGUAAUAUACUCAUUUUUGUAGCAAAGCUAAUCACAACAUACAAGUUGACUUAGGGGUAGGUGCCUCUAGUAUUAAAUAUGAAGGUCAUUGGAUCAAGUCCUCUUGUCCUCCAAAUUUUGCAAUUUUUAAAAUUUUCAAACUUAAAAUAAUAAUAAAUAAAAUGUCACGCAAAUAUGACAUUUAAAAUAAUUUAAAAAAAAAUCAUAUAGGCACCUGUGUCAUUUCCCAUCCAGAUUUAAAAAAACAAAAUAUUUAUACGUCAAGGUUAGUUUUAUAAAAAAAAUUACAUCGCCUAUAUGACAGCGGUAAAAUGGCAUUAAUCCAUAAGUAAAUAAGAGACAAAAGAUACAUUCAUAUAUAAAAAAGUGAAAGACAAUCAUUGUCUGUUAAUAUAAAAAAACACGACACAAAAAUUUAUUGUUGAUGCAUAAACAAAUACGAGACAAAAAAUUUUCUUCGAUACAAAAUUAAUUAAUGAAAUGUAAGUUCAAGAAAAUGAAACAUAUUUUUAAUCUAGAGGUAAAAGUUGAAGGCCAUGUCAUUAUAUAAAUAACCAGAUUUAAAUUUAAUUGGCCCAUAAAAAAAUAAUGGAAAAAUAGAAAGGGAUAUAAACCACUGAAUUCAAGAUGGGUGUGACUGAAAUGGAGGAGGGUCUCCUUACCUUUUUACUUUAAUUUUUAGUGUACUCACAUAAUACAUUAAAAGGGUAGCACCAACAUGUAUGCUUUUUCCAUAUGAUAUAGUUUACUUAGAGACUCAAAUGAGGAUUUAAAUGGGAGGUUGGAGUUUUUGAGACGAGCCUUAGAAACGCAUGGCUUCUACCUAAGCAGAAGUAAUAUAGAGUAUAUGGAAUGUAAGUUCAGCAAAAGAAGAGAAAAGAGAUAGAUGGAAGCAAAUUUUCAUUCAUUCACUUGAUCAAGUUAGUUACAACUAGUGGUUAUAUAGAAGUUUAGAAUCUAACAACCUCUAACUAACUCUAAUUAAUUGUACAAACUUUAGCUUAAGUGGAAUAUAACAUGGCAAGACUACACAAACCUAUGGUGUUCAACUUUUGAAUGUAGCUUCUGAAAGCAGCUUCUCAAUGCAACAUUUGAAUGCAUCUUCUGAAGGCUUCAACUUCUUAAAGCUUGUGCAGCUUCUGAAGGCCUCAAUGAAUGCCUUAGCCUUUGAAGGCUUCAUCCUCUAAAAACUUCACCUUCUCAAAGCUUUAGCCUCUGAGAGAUUCAGAUUUUGAAAGCUUCAGCCUCUGAGAGCUUUAGCUUCUGAAAGUUGUAGCCUCUGAGAGCUUUUGCUUCUGAAAGCUUCAGCCUAUGAGAGCUUCAGCUUCAACAUCCUCCAUUAAGCUUAGCAUGAUACAAGUCAAGCAUGUUAAGCUUGGAAAUAAAAUGAUUGAAUUUUUUGGGUGGUUUUGGAUUUGUGAAGAAGUCAGUAAGUUGGGCUUGAGAUUUUACAAGUAGCAAUUUUCAUACUCCUUGCAGUAACUUGUCUCUCACGAAAAAAAAAUCAAUCUCAAAAUGCUUUGUGCGCUAGUGAAAAACAAGAUUAGCUGCAAUAUUAAUUUCACUUUGGUUAGCACAAUAUAUUACAUGUGGCUUACUACAUUGGACUCCUAGAUUAUGUAAAAAAUAGAGAAGAAAUUGAAGUUCACAAUUUUCAAAACAUAGAGCCUAAUAUUCAACUUCAGAAGAUCUACGAGAAAUAUUUUGUUAUUUCUUAGCCCUCCAAGAAAUUAAGGAAGAACUAAUGAAGAAACAAUAGCAUGAAGUAGAUAUCCUAGUAUCCAAACAUUCGGCCCAAUCAGCAUUUGUAAAUCCAAUAAGCAAUAUAUAUUUGAAUCUUUUCUGAAAAAUAAUCCUCUUCCAAGUGAAACUUUCAAGUAUCUCACAACUCUAAAAGAUAUGUCAUAGUGUGUAAUGGUUGGUGAUGAAAGGAAUUGAAUAAACUAAUGUGUCACGAAAGCAAUGUCAGUUCGGUUGGUUGUGAGAUAGAGCAAUUUCCCAACCAAUCUUCUAUAACUGAGUAUGUCUUCAAAAGGUGCACUUGAGUUUUGAUGUAAUUUAAUAUAUGGAUCAAGAGGAGUUUUGGCAGUCUUGGAGCCAAGAAGAUAUGUGUCUUUUAACAAAUCCAAACAAUACUUUCUUUGACAUAUGCUAAUUCCAACUUUAGAAUGUGCAACUUCUACGCCUAGAAAAUAUUUCAGUUUUUUAAGAUAUUUGAUUGUAAAUUUAGUGUCAAGUGUGAUAUUCACCUUACUUAUUUCAUCCAUAGAAUUUCAAUCUAGGAUUAUAUCACCCACAUACACUAACAAGGUAGUGAAAUGUGAAUUUGUGUGACAAGUGAAAAGAGAAUGAUCAGAAUUUGAUUGUUUGUAGCCUUGAGUAAUAAGGAAACCAAUCAGCUUCUCAUAACAUUUUUUGCUAUCUUGUCUUAAGCCAUUCAAGGUCUUUAGCAAUUUGCACACUUGGUUUGGUUUGGGACUUGUAACACCAUGUGGCACUGACAUGUAUACAUCCUCAUAUAACUCUCUAUGUAGAAAGGAAUUAUUUACAUCUAGUUGAUGUAGAUGCCAUUAAUUUAUCGAUGCUAAUUCCAACAAGGUCCCGACAGUAUUGAUCUUUGUCAAAGGUGAAAAUGUCUCAAAGAAAUCAAGUCCCUCAAUUUGAUUAUAAACUUUGGAUAAAAUCCUUUCUUUGUAUCCUUCUAUGGAGCCAUCAGCUUUAUGUUUCACUUUGUAAACCCAUUUGCUUCCAAUAUGUUUGACAUGUGGUGGAGGAUCAACAAAAAUCCAACUUUUGUUAUGCUUCAAAGCCUCUGGCUCAGAGUUCAUUAAUUUGACCCAACAUUUAUGCUUGCUUGCCUCUUUGCAACUAUCUGGCUCACUUGACACAAGGAUAGACAAAGCAAAAUGUUGUUGUGUAGUAGACAAAUUAUUUAAUGAAUGAAAGUUUUCAAUAGGAUAUAGUAUACCUAAAGAAUGAUGAUCAACUAAUUUCUUUGAAAGAUUUCAUAUGAAAUCUGAUAAAUGGCUAGGCUUUUGAGUAUGUCUAUUGGAUCUACUCAAAAUAUGUGGCUCGGGAAUGGUUUCAGGUUGAAGUGUGUUUAUGUUGAUGGGAUAAGGAGAAGCAUCACUAGAGAUAAUGUCUUGUUGAGAUGUAUGAAAAUCAAGUAUUAAUGUAUGGUCAAUAGGAAUUUUAUCUUGGUGAUUAGUAACGGUAGGAAUUAUGACUGGGUCAGUAUGACCAUUAUGAUCAUGGUGAUAUGUCUAAUUGAAGAAGAGGUUUGAGUCAUAAUAAGGAAGACCAUGAUCAUGGUAGAUAACAUGUCGAGAGACAAAAAUGUAUUUUGUGUUUAAGUCAAGAAUUACAACACCUUUGAAAUUUUUCUUGUAUCCCAAAAAAACAACCUUUCUAUCUCUAAAAUCCAGUUUAGUUCUAUUAUUUUGUAAGGUAGUAGCAUAACAGAGGGAUCCAGAAUCUUUUAACUCAAUCAAGUGAGGUUCAUAUCCAAAUUUAUGAAAUAAGGGUGAUUUGUCAUGAAGUAAAGGACUAGUUGUGUGAUUUAUGAUGUAGUUAGCAUGACGAAUGGAAUAAGACCAAAAAUGUUUAGGUAACUUAGACUGAAAAAGUAAGGUUCUUCCUACAUUUAAAAUGUGUUGAUGUUUUCUCUCAACUCUCCCAUUUUGUUGGAGAGUUUCAACACAACUAGUUUGAUGUUUAAUGCCUUUAGAAGAAUAAAAUUCAAGCAUGAGAAACCCAAGACCAUUAUUUUUCCUAACAAUUUUAACUUUGCAGUUAUAUUGUUUUUCAAUCAUAAAUAAGAAUCUUUGGACAAGAAGAGUAACUUCAGAUUUUGUUUUACAAAGAAUAACCCAAGUAAAUCUGUUGUAAUCGUCAAGAGAAAUUAUGAAAUAUUUUUGGCCAUGUAUAAAGGGAAUAGACAAAGGACCAUAAAUGUCAAAAUGGAUCAACACAUAACAUUGAGUAGCUUUAUUUUCACUAAGUUGAAAAUGAAUUUUUGUAUGUUUUGCAUAAUGGCAUAUAUCACAAACAUAGUUCUUAUUUAUAGUUACAAAAGGCAUGUAUUUAUGUAAACUACUAAGUCUUCUAUAUGAUAAAUGGCCUAGUCAUAAAUGUCAUAGAGUUGUCUUGGGAACGAAAGUAGAGUGAGGUGAAACUUGGGAUGCGGUGAUGUUGGCUUGAUGUGAGGCUUGUGUGAUGGCAAGAUAAUCAAUCCUUUAACUAAAUCAGACGAACCAGUCAUCUUUAAGCUCUUUUUUUCCUGAAUUGAGAACUUUGCAUUAUUAAAAUUCACUACAUAAUUUAUAUCAAAGCAUAAUUUUGGAACUGACAAUAAAUUAAGGUUAAACUCAAGUACAAACAGAACAUUGUGCACUGUGAAAGCUAGUGAGAAAAAAAUUCCAUAACAUUUUCCACUUCUAUAUUACCAUUAGGUAAUCUAAUGUUAACAAGUGCUAUAUGUGAAGGUAAUAGAAAUACAAGAAAGCGGGGAUUUGAAUUGGGUUUCAAGAAGUUAAGCUUUUGCAACCCAAGGAAACAGACAGAAAACUAAGAACAAAAAUAAUAAACACAAUUAUUUUUAUCCUGGUUCACUGUUAACAAAGAUACCUCCAUUCCACCCGCUAAGGUGAUUUCGCCUUAUCAUAAUGACUUAAUCCAUUAUAAUCAAACUUGAUUACAACACAAAGACCAACUGUCAAUGUCUUCUUGGGUAAUGAUAACACCAAAACACACUGCAUAUUUGACUCGACUCACACAUGUUUUAUUAUCAUUUUACCUUUAUUUUUAUUAUUAUGCUGGUGUUUUGGCUGUGUUUCAUGUACCUAGUCAAGUAACAGCCAUUACAAGAAUAAACGAGACGAAACAGAUGAAAAACAGGCAAAGAAGCAUGUUUUGCACACAUGGCGUUCAACAUGGUAUUCUGCACGGUGUUCAGCAUGGCAUUCGCCACAGAGGUGGCCAUGACGUGGAUGAAGUAUCCCACGUCUAAGAAGAUGGCAAGACCAAGUAUGCAUGUUUUAAGCCUGUGGCGUUCGCCACACCCUGUAAAUCCGGAUAUGCGUCGGCCGUUGAGGAAUUUCAGCCACUCCUCCCUACUUUCUCUUACACGAAUUUAGAAGUUUGACCUGAUUUUUCUAUGUUAUUGGAGCACUAUAUAUUCAAGUUAGGACUCAUAUUUUAGUCAUCCAUGCUUAGUGCAACAUAAGCCAUAUAAUUCACUAUUUGAAAGCUCUAACUCUUCACAUCGGGGAGUUAUUGCACUUGUUCUUGUAUUAAGUUUGGAGCAUUUACUUUGUAACAGUUAAUCUUACCGGCUUUAUUUUCGUAUUCAUGUUUUUCGUUGAUUUAUUUUUGUACCAAAUUCAAGUCUCCAUUGGAGCAUGUUUUUAUAACUAAGCAAUUUUAUCAUAUCGUUUGCUCCUUUAUAUGCAGUUUUAUUUGUCUUGCUUUGCAAAAUUUAUCUAUUUCAAACUUUACUUUCUGCAUUGAGUCAUUAUAUUUUUAUUAAUUGCAAGCUCUUAUAUAACUUUAAUUUACAAGUUUAAUUUACCUAUUGCACGCUUUAAUCUUAAUUUCUAUGCCUAAUAUGUUUAAUUCCAAGUUUCAACUGCAUAUUUCUUUGUUUACCAUGAAUAUGUUUGACUAAAUUAAUAGUGUUGGAAUGUGAGGACCGUUGAUUCAACGGUACUCUAUAUGCUACCCCUUUAGAAAUACUUUUGGGACUGUUUUGGUUUUAUUUCAAUUUUCCGUUAUAAAUUUUGAUUCGGUUACUAUGAAAGUAGGACCGUAAAUACACCAAGUAAGAUCGAAAGUCGUCUGAUACUCAAGAUUAAAUUGUUAAGUUUUUAAUUAAUAAAUAAUGUGAGAUCACUUUAUUGAUUAAUUAGGAAGGUUUUAUAUUUAUAUAAAUGAUUUUAAAACUAUUUUUGGAUGCACUUAUAGAUUUAGGAUCCGGUUGGCCGAGUGAAAGUCAGGAACCCUUUAAAGUCAAGUUUUCAAACCAAAACCACUUUUUAAAUAAGUAAAAGAAUAUAAUUUCCAAGAAAAGGUUUUGCUUCUUUAAAGCAAAUGCAUCGGGUACGCGAGAGCGAAUGGUAUAAAUUCGAGGGUAAAAUUCGGUUCCGAAUACGCUAGAGCGACGAUUCCCUUUUAAUUAAUUCUUUUUCAAGGAAGAAAAUAUUAUCCCGAAGGUAGUUUAGUUUAGGAGUGAUAAGAGGAUCAUUGGUCAAUUAGAGUCGCAUUCCAGUAUUACAUAUCUGAAUUCAUUCAAGUUUAUUAUUUUAUUUUUCUUACUUAAAUAUUUGUUCAGAUCGCCUUAGAUAAACACCGUAACAAUAGAAAAUGAUAGAUCGAUUGUUAGGUCUCUAUGGGUUCGAUAACCUUUUGUAUUACUCUAAUAGACUUCGUAUACUUGCGGAUACAACCCAUCAAGUUUUUGGCAUCGUUGCCAGGGACCAAUUACAUAAAAUAUCAUAACCCUGUUGUUACAGCGUCUAGAUUAAGGCACCCUUUUUUUGGUCAAUGCAAAGAACUCGCAGUAUCAGAACUUUAGAAGAUCCAAUAGCUAAACCAGAGAGAUACGUACGUGCACGACUUUUGCUCCAACGAAUCAAAAGAGAAAUGGAAGAUGAUCAAAACUAUAGGCCACUCAAGGAUUUUGCCUUACCCUCUAACGAAGGACCUCAUUCAAGUAUUGUUAACCCUGCAAUCAUAGGUAACAACUUUGAAUUGAAACCCGCUUUGUUGUAAAUCAUACAACAAAACCAGUUUUCUGGUCUCCCAAUAGAGAACCCAAACUAGGACCUAAAAGUGUUCAUUCAAGUAGCUGACACACUAAAAUCCAAUAGCGCUGCUCCAGAGGCGAUGUGUUUACAUUUAUUCCCUUUUUCCCUCAGAGCAGAGUGUGAUCAUUGUCAAACUCCCUCCCAGCCAAUUCAAUAACUACUUGGAAUGACCUGAAGAAAUUAGAGAAGAAAGAAAUGAAAGGAGGUAUAUACGAAGUUAACAACCUAUACCAUAUGAGUGCCAAGAUGGAAGCCCUAGCCCAAAAGCUCGAAAGCUUAGUCAUAAACCCUACAAAUACCAUAGUUGCAAUACAAACCGGAUGCAAAAUCUAUGGAACCCCAGGGCAUGUCCUUGCCGAAUUUCAUCUACUAGCUGAACCAAGCCCAGAUCAGGUCAACUAUGCCUAAGGAAGUCCUUAUUCAAACACUUACAACCUUGGAUGGAGGAAUCAUCCAAACUAAUCUUACAAGAACAAUAACUCUACUUUUCCUCAAAAUAAUGCACCUCAAAGACCACCAGGUUUCCAAGCCCAAAGAGCGGCUCAUCCUAUACAAGCUACCCCUCAGAAGCGGCUCAUCCUAUACAAGUUACCCCUCAGAAGUCAAACCUUGAAAAGAUCAUGGAAAACUUCAUUUCAGCUCAGACUCAACAGGAUAAAGAAUUUAUGAAUCAAAACAUUCAUAUUAAUGAGUUGAUUACACAACUAGGUAACAAAGUCGAUUUUGUGGUAAUCUACAAUAAGAUGCUGGAAACCCAAAUCUCUAAAGUAGCGCAACAAUAAGCUGCUCAGGCUACACCAGGUGGAUCAUCUUCUGGGAAACCUCAACCUAACCCUAAAGUCCAUGCUAAUGCUAUUUCGCUGCAAAGGGGAACUACAUAUGAUGGGCCUGUAGAUCCUAGGUUGAAUAACAAGCCAGAGCCACCAAAAGGAAACAUUGCAACUACACCAGAAAAACAAGCAGUAGAGGAACUUGUAGAACCAGAGAAACAAAUAGAGGAAGAAAUUAAAGAUAAGGGAGAAGUAAACGAUAACCAAGAGAAUCAUAUAGAUGUGCCACCUCCUCCUAAUAAACUCCCAAUUCCCAUAUCCGCAAAGACUUAAACAAACCAAACAAGACACCCAAUAUAAGAAGUUUGUGAAGGUAAUUGAAAAAUUCACGUCGAAAUACCUUUCACUGAGGCUAUUACCUAAAUACCAUCGUAUGCUAAAUUCCUAAAAGACAUUUUAACAAACGAGCACAAGCUUGAUGAUCCUAAACCAUUAUAAUGCAACGCAUUUGCUGAUAAUAAAUUAGCCAAGAAGCAGAAAGAUCUUGGAAGCUUUUCUAUACCAUGUGUUCUAGGAAGACAUGUUAUUGAAAAAGAACAUCUAGAUUUGGGCGCAAGUGUAAGUUUGAUGCCUUUAGCCGUCUGCAAUAGAUUAAACCUAGGAGAUAUGCAACCAACUAGAAUGUACCUUCAACUGGAUGAUCGAUCAGUUAAGUACCCAAUCGGUAUAUUAAAAGAUAUUCCAAUUAGGAUUGGUCAACUUUAUAUUCCAACAGACUUUGUCGUAAUGGACAUCAAAGAAGACGAAGAUCUCCCUGUUCUUAUAGGUAGACCUUUCCUAUCAACUGCUGGAGCCAUGAUAGAUGCCAAAAGAGGAUAAAUGACUUACGAAGUAGGUGAUGAGAAGGUUGAGUUUAUCCUAUCCAAAUUUCUGUAAACACCCACCAUAGAUGACUCAUGUUGCGCCAUUGACAUUAUUGAUGAGUAUAUAAGAGAGUUGGAUAAGGAAGAACCUAUCAAAACAAUAAAGCUUCCCUUGACACCCAUAAUGGAAGACGGUGUAUUUAAGGUAGCUACACCAUAUAUGGAUGACAACCUUUAUAAAUGCCUAACACUUACCCCUGACCAUAUACCAGGUCCUAAGAAACCCUCAAUAGAGCUUAAGGAAUUACCUAAGAAUAUGAGAUGUGAGAAUCUUGAUAAAGAUAGUAAAUGCAAAUCUAAAUAGUGACGAAACUAAUUAACUCUUAGAUAUCUUACGAAAAUACCCUGCAACUCUAGGCUAUACCAUAUUUGACCUAAAAGAAAUAAGUCCAUAUGUGUGCAUGCACCAGAUUAUGCUAGAGAAUGACUCUAAACCCUCUAGAGAACACCAAAGAAGGAUAAACCCUAUAAUGAGUGACGUGGUCAAGAAGGAAGUGUUAAAAUUACUCGAUGCUGGAAUAAUUUAUCAAAUCUCGGAUAGUAAAUGGGUUCGCCCUGUACAUGUCGCACCAAAGAAGGGAGGUGUCACAGUCGUACAAAAAAAAAGGAGAAUCAGUAGCAAAACGUAUAAAAAGCGGAUGAUGCAUGUGUAUAGACUAUAUGAAGCUAAACAAAGUGACCAGGAAGGACCAUUUUCACCUUCCGUUCAUUGAUCAAAUGCUUGAACAUUUAGCUAGACACUCUUAUUUCUUCUAUUUAGAUGGAUAUUCAGGAUUUUUCCAAAUUCCUAUUCACCCGGAUGACCAUGAGAAAACAACCUUCAUGUGACCUUAUGGAACAUUUACCUACUGACGAAUGUCAUUCAGGCUAUGUAAUGCCCCUACAACUUUCCAACAAUUUAUGAUGGUAAUAUUCGCAGAUUUCCUUGACGAUAUCAUGGAAGUUUUCAUGGAUGAUUUCUCAGUAUACGAAUCUAGUUUUAAAAACUGCCUUGCUAACCUAGAGAGAAUUCUGGAAAGAUGCGUACAAGUAAACCUCGUAUUAAACUGAGAAAAUGCCACUUCAUGGUUACGGAAGGUAUAGUCCUGAGACACAUAGUGUUGGAAAAAGGCGUUGAGGUUGAAAAGGCUAAUAUUGAAGUAAUAGAAGGACUCCAACCACCCAAGAUAGUUAGGGGAGUCCGAAUUUUUCUUGGACACGCCAAAUUUUACCGACGCUUUAUCAAGGACUUAUCUAAAAUAACAAAACCUUUGACUGGUCUCCUGAUGAAAGACGUCGAAUUACUCUUUAACAAAAAAUGUAUAUAAGCAUUCAAUAUUCUUCAAAGUGCACUAAUCUUUGCACCUAUGCUACAACCACCUGAUUAGAACCAACCAUUCGAGAUUAUGUGUGAUGCUAGUGAUUUCGCUGUAGGCAAUGUUUUAGGAGAGUAAUAAGAUAAGGGAUUGCAGGUGAUAUACUAUUCCAGCAGAACUUUAGAUGCAACCCAACUAAACUAUGCCACUACUAAAAAAGAACUCCUAAUUGUAAUGUUUGCAAUAGACAAAUUGUGUUCCUAUUUAGUUGGAGCUAAAAUUAUCAUAUACACCGACCAUGCUGCGACACGAUACCUACUGAGCAAAAAGGACAUAAAACCUAGAUUACUUCGCUGGAUCCUGUUGUUACAAGAGUUUGACUUAGAGAUCCACGAUAAGAAAGGAACAAAAAAUGUGGUAGCUUGCCACCUCUCGAGACUUGAGUACCUAAAACCCGACCAUAUUCCCAUAAAUAAUGACUUUACAUAUGACAAGUUGAUAGCGUCAGUCGAAAAUUAGACAUGUCACGACAAAUACUUAGAUGCGGUGGAGUUGAAUGUCGAAGUUGCCCUAAUAGUAACCAGUGUACCUUAGUACGCUGACUUUGUUAACUAUCUCGCAACAAAUAUAUUACCUCCGAUUUGACCUACCAACAAAAGAAAAAAUUCUUCCAUGAUGUAAAACAUUUCUACUGGGACGAACCCCUCCUCUUUAAGAGAGGAGCAAACAACAUAUUUCGUCGUUGUAUUCUUGAAGAGGAGAUACCAAAUAUCAUUACUCAUUGCCACUCCACUCCUUAUGGUAGACAUGCGGUCUCAUCCAAGAUUUGUGCUAAGAUCCUUCAAGCAAGCCUUUACUAGCCAACUUCAUGGCACGAUGUGCAUGCUUUCAUAAUCAAAUGUGACUGGUGCCAACACACUGGAAACAUUUCAAGAUGCAAUGACAUGCCCAUAAAGAAUAUUCAAGAAGCAGAAGUUUUUGAUGUUUGGGGAAUUGACUUCAUGGGUCAAUUUCCUUCAUCCAUGGGAAAUAAGUAUAUACUUGUUGCUGUCAACUAUGUGCCUAAAUGGAUCGAGGCUAUAGCCUCACCUAUGAAAGAUGAACGAGUGGUUAUUAGAAUGUCCAAAAACUAUAUAUUCCCCAGGUUUGGAGUCCCUCGCUUAGUUAUAAGCGGUGGAGGAUCCCAUAUUAUUUCAAUAAUUUUUUAGAAACUCCUAAACAAGUAUGGUGUUAAACAUAGAGUAGAAACACCCUAUCAUCCACAAACUAAUGGACAAGUAGAAGUGUCAAACAGAGAAAUAAAAUAGAUUUUAGAAAAGACUAUUUCUAUUUCUAGAAAAGAUUGAUCCUCUAGGCUACAAGACACAUUGAGGGCUUAUAGAACUGCCUAUAAGAUCCCUAUAGGGACAACCCCCUUCAAUUUAGUCUAUAGGAAAUCUUGUCACCUACCUUUUGAAUUAGAACACAAAUCCUAUUGUGCUAUUAAUGCCCUGAUAUUGAUUAUUUAAUAGUUGGCAACAAACGCAUGUUAGAUAUCCAUGAACUGGAUGAGCUCAAACGUGAUGCCUACUAAAAUGCUAUAAUCUACAAGGAACGAACCAAAGCAUGGCAUGAUAAGUGAUUUUCGAGAAAACAGUUUAAUGUGGGUGACAUAGUACUUCUAUUUAACUCCAUAUUGCGCCUCUGUCUAGGUAAAUUACGUUCUAUAUGGUCUGGAUCGUUCGAAGUCACAAAUGUCAUGCAAUCUGGUGUCGUCGAAAUUCAAAACCAAUCAACUUGUCCUUUCAUUAUGAAUGGGAAAAUAUUGAAACAUUACACCAGAGGUGAUAUGACUACUUACUAUUCGCGCCAUACCUUAAUCGAACCACCCUUUGUUGCACCAACCACCUGAUUAAAACAAUUGUCGAGCUACCGACAUUAAACAAAGCGUUGCGUGGGAGGCAAACCACGAUCUUUUUUUUUUAUUAUUUUUCAUAUUUCCUUUUUAUAUAAUAGUGAUUUAUUACUAACAAAUCUAACUUGUAUGAUUUCUUACAUUUCAGGUCUCAGCAUUCUACAUUCCUACUAACCAUAUUUUCAAAAUGCAGAACUUUGAUGACAUGCAUAUUUAGUUCAAAGAUGACGUCCGGAGGAAGCGUUAUGUGGCCUUAUCUGAGAGACCCAUGUUACCUACCAGAUACCCUAAUUCUCACUGCUUAGAGGCCCUAUGUAUUGAACCUAGCAUCAGAUACAUGUGUAACCAGCUUGAAUGGAUGAGUACACAAAGCCCAAAAAUGUCACUUACCGGAACCUUACCCUUGAGCUCCUUAGCUCACUUACCUACCUACCAUAUUGUGGUCGUGGAUUUAACAAAAUACUAAUUACCUUUAGACUAUUUGGGCACGAGUAUACUUUUAACCAUCGGGAAUUUGCAAACCUUUUAGGAUUCCAGUUCGGGCCAGUCGCCGUAGUUGAAGUUCCUUAUGAUUGGCCCAUGCAGGACGCGAUGGAUACUUUCUGGGGAGUUAUUACCACUGAGGGAAACCCCGGACCAACCACCUAGUUCUCAACUUGUAUCUAUAACCCAACACUCAGGUACUUCCAGAUGCUUUUAGCCUAGACUUUCUUUGGUAGGAGUGAGCACAACGAGCCUAUAAGUGUAGAAGAAUUAUUCUUUCUCUUUUGCAUUACCUAGUUUCGUCCGGUUGAAUUUGGAACUUUCCUCAUAGCUAACUUAUAGGGUAUUUCCUUAUCUAUAGAAGGACCUAUGCAUGUUGGAGGUACGAUUACACACAUUGCUUAUACCUUAGGACUCCUGAACCAGCUUUCUCACCUAGUUCAUUACUACAGUUUCACCCUUAUUGACAUAGACCAUAUACUAGACCACAACCUAGUACGAUGAUCCUACUUUAAGAUUAAUGAGUACAAAAUUCUCAUUAAUAAUGAAGUCGUUCACCACUUUACCUUACCAAACCUAGAGAGGACUAGCAUCUAUAAUAUGGAGAGUUGGAAAUAUGCUUUAGAGGACCAAGGAGAAACACCAGUUAAACAUGUCAACGCUCCAACUCUUGAGUAUCACCAUUUACCUUUCUCAUAUAGGCACACCGUGUUUUCCUCUACAUGUCCCACAUAUAGGCGUGCCAUUAACAAUGAGCUCAAUGUCAUGCGCUAAGAGAUUGUUUCCCUUCGCAAAGAAGUUGCCGACCUUACUUGGUAGAGGGAAGUGGCUAAUGCCACUCAUGCAAAAGAGACAGAUUUUCUCUUCCAGGAGCUACAUAGCCUUCGACGCCAGAUCACUGAUGCUCGUGUGUCCCGUCCACAUCAGAUCCUGAGGCGCUCCUUCACAUACAUCUUAAGCAUUAAGGAUAAUGCUUAGUUCAUGUGUGGGGGACGAUUUAUUUUCAUUGUUAUUUUUACCAUUAUUAGACUUAUUCUUUUCCCUUACGCACUUUACUCAUUUCCAUUAUGCACUUUUAAAUUAUUAUUUUUGGGAUUAUUUUUCAUUUUUAUGCAUUCUUUGAUAAUUUUCUUUGUUAUUUCUCAUUUUCACUAUCAUUAUAUUUUUAUUUUUUCUAACCAUUAUUAAUAUGUCCAAUUCAAGUUUCAUUGUCCAAAAUAUUUACUUAAUCAACACACUCUCAAACAAAAAGGCAAGACCCCAUCAAAAAGACCCAAAAACAUACCAAAAACACACCCACAACCCAACUACUGAACCGACACCCGUGGACAUUCCUCAGAAUGUCAAUGCUGGCGGUGAUACAGAUAAUCAGUAUGACCAUAUAGAGAGAGAGGCUCUCCUACACACCACUCACCUCACAUUCAUGUUUCACUUGCACACACCAUAUCAUAUUAUUUUGACCAUUUUGCAGGCACCUCCUCCGGAUAACAGUCCCGUGAGGAGUAUGAUUGUGUUGUUCUCUGAAUAUGAGGAGGAAGAUCCUAGGGGAAUGGUCCAAGAAACUAAAUCAGUUACUCACUUUGUUGUCACUAUUGGGGAAACAAGAACUAAAGACAAAUAUAAAGUCCUAAAAGAAAGACUGAAGGUGAUUGAAUGUUUCGGUAUCUUUGGAGUUGAUGCCAUGGGGAUGUGCUUGGUACCAGGCGUUGCUAUACCUCCAAAGUUCAAAACUCCUGAUUUCAAGAAAUACAAGGGUGUUAGUUUCCCUAGGAACCAUCUUAGGAUGUUCGUUAGAAAAAUGGCUGCUUACGCAGCAAAUGAGAAACUAAUGAUGCUUAGUUUCCAGGACAGUCUAAGUGGGGCAUCCCUAGACUGGUACAUGCAACUGGAAAGAACCCAUGUCAAAACAUGGGAAGACCUAGCUAAUGAUUUCUUAAGGCAAUACAAAUAUAACCUGGAUAUGGCUCCCAGUUACAUGUAACUUUAGAACCUGUCCCAAAAUGGCAGUGAAUCCUUCAAGGAGUAUGCCCAAAGGUGGAGAGAACUGGCUUCCUGCAUACAACCUCCACUCUUGGAGAAGGAGUUAGUCGACAUGUUUAUGGGCACCCUGAAAGACCUUUACUACAAAAAGAUGAUCGAUUUAGUAUCUACCAGAUUUACUGACUUGGUAAUAAUUGGGGAAAGAAUUGAGAAUGGCUUGAAAAAUGGUAAGAUUGGAAAACGAUCCUCGAAUCAAAAUAAUAACAAAUGGUACUCCAAUAAUAACAAUUCGAAGAAAGGUGAGACUAACGUGGUCGCAGUCGAAAGGAGUUCUCAGGCGCCUUACAAUUCUUACAUAGUUGCAGUAGUUCCUAUCAGUAUCCAUAAUAGGAUAGAACACCUUUUCAACAAAAUCAACAUAAUGGGUACGUUCAGAGGGAUCAACAAAUACCACGGAAGGAAUUUGACCCCAUACCUACAACAUAUACUCAGGUCUUGCCAUACUUAAUUCAAAAGGGAUUGGUAGAGAUUAAACCUCUAGCACCUCCGCCAAAUCCGCCUCCCCGUGGUUAUGAUGCUAACGACAGGUGUGACUUCCAUGAUGGGUCAUCAGGACAUACUAAGUGUUUGGCACUCAAGUUAAAGGUACAAGAAUUAUUGGAUCACAAGAUUAUCUCUUUCGCUCCAGAGGGUCCAAAUGUGAAGGGAAAUCCAAUGUCAGGACACAUUGGUCCAACUAUCAAUGUGGUAGAAGGACUAGACAAUACCAUUCUGACCCAAAAGAUAGACCAAGUGAAGACUCCCAUAUCAAAAAUACGUGAAAAAUUGAUCGGUUACAAGGCAUUCAAAGAGUUACAUGCUAACUGUAAAAUUUGCCUCUUCAAUCCAGACACAUGUGGAAAGAUGAAAGAGUGUCUUCAACAAAUGAUGAAUGAAGGUUUGGUUCAAAUUGGGUAUAUCAGGAAGUUAGAAGAUGUAUCAUUCAUAGAGUCUCAGGGGAACACACCUUUUGAGAUCCCUUACCAGCAAAUGAAAGCUCCCGCACUGUUUCAAAUAUUGUUUCUAGCAUCUUCCCAAACAUCGGUGCAAAUACCAGUUCUAAUUCCAUCUCAAGUUCCAUUUCAAAUACCAGUAAUGUCAAAAUACCCUAUUGUCUUCCAUGUUCCUGCACCGUUCCCAUUCGAAAGCACUAAGUAAGUACCUUGGAAUUAUAACUCUACAUCAUAUGUAGGAGACAAACCUAUAAUGCUAGAACCAGCGGUCACUAAUAUUGCUGGAAUUCGGGGAAUGAUCCGGAGCGUAAGAGUGUUUGCUCCUGAGCUACAAUCAAAAUAAAAGACACCUAAAAGUUCAGAAGAGAAGGAAAUUGAAUCUUCCAGGAAGACCAUACCUCAAGGAGAAGCCGAUGAAUUCUUAAGGUUGAUCAAAAAGAGAAACUACAAGGUGGUAGAGCAAUUAAGCCAGACACCAUCCAACAUAUCCAUACUAUCUCUAUUGUUAAGCUCUGAAGCCCAUAGAGAAUCCUUGUUGAAAAUAUUAAAUGAAGUCCAUGUUACUCAAGACAUAACAGUAAAUCAAUUCGAUGAUGUGGUGGCUAAUAUCACCGCUAGCAGUUGUUUGGGGUUUAACAAUGAUGAAUUACCACCAGAGAGACAUGCUCAUAAUAAAGCUUUACACAUAUCCGUAAAACGCCAAGAUAGUCUCCUAUAUAGGGUAUUGGUGGACACGAGAUCAUCUCUAAAUGUCAUGCCUAAAAAUACUUUGGGAAAGUUGAACAAUGUAAGAACUUCCACGAAAGCUAGUAUUUUGGUGGUUAAGGCUUUUAAUGGUUCGCAGAGGAUGGUAAUUGGAGAAGUUGAUUUACCAAUAAUUGUGGGACCUCAUACCUUUAUGGUCACUUUUCAAGUAAUGGACAUAAACCCAUUCUAUAGUUGUCUCAUAGGACGACCUUGGAUCCAUGCCACAUGAGCUGUAACUUCAACCUUACACCAGAGGUUGAAAUUCAUAAUCGAUGAUAAGCUAAUAAUCAUCGAAGGGGAGGAGGAUAUGUUCGUUAGCAACCUUUCAUCCUUCAGAUACAUAGAAGCGGAUGGAGAAACAUUGUAAAUACCUUUUAAAUCCUUGAAGAUUGCAGCAGUCAGUCGAAGAAAAGAAAAAUCAAUAUCCCCAUUGGAAAAGAUGUCAAAAUUUAUCAAGGGUAGAGAUACCCAGGGUUGGGGCAAGCUAUUAGAGAUACCAGAGAAAAAGGAUCGGAUUGGGAUGGGUUACAGACCAUCUAAUGAAGGAUUUCAAAAGACAUACCAGAAUAAGCUUUGUACACUUCAAGAAACCUUCCACGGUGCGGGAUAUAUGGAUGAAGAUCAAGUGGUUGCGGUUGAAGAAGAAGAAAAAGGGAUACCCAACUUGGUGUGUCACCGUUCACCAAAUAUACCUCUCAACAAUUGGAAGGCCAUCGAGAUCCUGGAGAUGAUUUCCAAUUCGAAGUAAUUUAAUUUUUUUAAUAAUAAGUCCUUUGCUAAGCCCAAGGAAAAUGGACAAGCUUUGUAGGGCCCCUUUCGUUUCAACUACUUACAUAUGAAUGGAGUUGCAUAUUUGUUUUCAAUCAAGAUCCUUUCUUUCAUUUUAAAUCUUCUUUUCAAAAAUGGAAAUACCCUUCCAUACUCUUUCAUUUCUAUCAAAUCAUCCAAAAAAUAAUAAUAUAUAAAAAUCUUCCUCAUGCAGAUUAAUGAAUGAACCUAUUGAAAAUGACACUGCUAUAAUCCCUUAUAACUUCGAAGUCCCAAUUAACCAAGCGGAAGAAGGUGAUGAGGACGGUUGUGAACAGCCAGAAGAGUUAGCAGGACUGCUGAAGCGAGAAGACAAAUAAAUUCAACCUCAUCAGGAACUAGUGGAUAUGAUCAAUCUAGGGACUAAAGAAAACAAGAAGGAGGUUAAUGUCGGUGCUUCCUUGAAAGAUGAAGUCAAGAAAAGGUGAUCGAGCUCUUACAUGAAUACUCAGAUGUGUUUGCUUGGUCAUACCAGGAUAUGCCAGGGUUAGACACAGACAUUGUCGUACACAAACUAUCGCUCAAACUUGAAUGUCCGUCAGUCAAGCAAAAAUUAAGAAGAACCAGGCCAUACAUGUCUCUCAAAAUCAAGGAAGAUGUCAAAAAAUAACUCGAUGUUGGGUUCUUAGUUGUUGCCAAAUAUCCAGAGUGGGUGGCUAACAUUGUUCUCGUUCCAAAGAAAGACGACAACGUCAAAAUGUGUGUAGAUUAUCGAGAUUUGAAUAGAGCCAGUCCUACAACUUUCCACUACCACACGUCGAUGUACUGGUAGAUAACAUCGCACAAUUCUCACUCUUCUCUUUCAUGGAUGGAUUCUAUGGUUAUAACCAGAUAAAAAUGGAUCUUUCAUACAUAGAUAAAACCAUGUUUAUCACUCCAUGGGGCACCUUUUGUUAUAAGGUAAUGCCUUUCGGAUUGAAAGUUUUGGGGGCAACAUAUCAAAGGGCCAAGGUAACUCUAUUACACGAUAUGAUCCAUAAAGAAAUAGAGGUAUAUGUUAACGAUAUGAUUGUUAAAUCAAAGACCAAAGAGGAUCACAUAGUCAACCAACAAAAACUAUUUGGUCGUCUAAGAAAGUUCAAGUUAUGUCUGAAUCCAGCGAAAUGUACUUUUGGAGUUAGAUUAGGAAAGUUAUUACGGUUCAUAGUCAUCCAGAGGGGAAUUAAAGUCGGUUCCGAUAAAGUGAAAGCUAUCAAAGAGAUGCCAGCUCCAUGGACAGAAAAAGAGGUCUGAGGAUUUAUGGGGGACUUAAUUACAUUGCUAGGUUCAUCUCACAUCUUACGGCUACGUGUGAAUCAGUCUUCAAGUUUCUCAAGAAAAAUUGAGCCAUUGAGUGGAAUGAAGGUUGUCAAAAGGCCUUUGACAAAAUCAAAGAAUAUCUACAAGAGCCACCUAUCUUGGUACCACCAGUCCCUAGGAGACCACUUAUAGUGUACCUAACAGUAUUUGACAACUCUGUGGGAUGUGUAUUGUGGCAACAAGAUGAGACCAGAAGAAAGGAACACGCCAUUUAUUACCUAAGCAAGAAGUUUACCGAUUGUGAAUCCCGAUAUUCACUCUUGGAGAAGACUUGUUGUGCCCUAGUUUGGGCUGCUCGGCGGCUCAGACAAUAUAUGGUGUGUCAUAUCACUCUAUUGAUAUCCCGAAUGGAUCCUAUCAAGUAUAUCUUCGAGAAGCCUGCAGUAACUGGGAGGAUAGCCCGAUGCAAAAUGUUACUAAUAGAAUACGACAUCCAGUAUGUCACAUAAAAAGCCAUAAAAGGGAGUGUGCUAGCGGAUUAUCUCACUCAUCAGCCAACAAAAGAUUAUCACCCUAUACAGUUUGACUUUCUUGACAAAUAUAUUAUGGGAAUAAGGGAUUUCGAGACCCCAGGUCCCGACGAAGGACCUGAACCGGGAUCAUGAUAGAAAUUGGUAUUCGAUGGAGCCUCAAACGCAAUCGGACAUGGAAUUGGAGCCGUCAUAACCUCCCCUACGGGGUACCAUAUUCCAUUCACGGCUAGGUUAUGCCUUACUUAUACAAAUAACAUGGAAGAAUAUGAGGUGUGUAUCCUAGGGAUUGACGAAUCCAUCAACUUAAGAAUCAAGAUCCUAGAGUAUAUGGAGAUUCAACUCUUGUCAUCAAUCAAAUCAAGGGAGAGUGGGGGACCCAUAAUGCUAAGCUUAUCCGGUACCGAGACCACAUCCGGAAGUUGAUCACUUACUUUGAUGAGGUUACCUUCCAAUAUAUUCCUCGGGAGGAGAAUCAACUAGCGGACGCCUUGGCCACUCUAUCAUCCAUCUUCAAGGUCAAGUGGUACAACAAAGCACCAACUAUAAGAAUUCACCGUUUGGAUGAGCAUGCCUAUUGCGUAGCCGUAGAGGUAGAAGUGGAUAAUAAACCUUGGUUUCAUGACGUCAAACAAUUUCUUCAGAAACAGGAAUAUCAUGAAAAUGCCUCGAGUGGGGAUAAGAAGACACUCAGAAGAUCGACUUCCAAUUAUUCCUUAAUGAGGAGGUGCUUUAUAAGAGGAAUCAUGACAUGGUCUUGCUCAGAUGCUUGGAUGGGUAUGAGAAAUACACGCUUAUCAAAGAAGUUCACGAAGGAUCCUAUGGCACCCAUGCCAAUGGGAAUUCCAUGGCUAAGAAAAUUCUCCGGACGGGAUAUUACUGGUUGACUAUGGAGACCGACUGUUUCAAAUACGUCAAGAAGUGUCACAAGUGCCAAAUCUAUGCAGAUAAGGUAAGUGUACCACCUACUCCCUUAAAUGUCAUGACUUCUCCAUGGUCGUUCUCCAUGUGGGGUAUAAACAUAAUCGGGAUGAUUGAGCCCAAAGCAGCAAAUGGACACUGAUUCAUUCUGGUUGCUAUCGAUUACUUCACCAAGUGGGUAGAAGCUACUUCUUACACCAAUGUGACAAGACAACUGAUCACACGAUUCAUCAAGAAAUAGAUCAUUUGUCGACACGGGGUUCCUAACAAGAUUAUCAUGGAUAAUGGGUUGAAUCUAAAUAAUAAAAUGAUGGAUGAGUUAUGCGAGAGUUUUAAAAUUGAACACCAUAACUUAUCACCCUAUCGACCAAAGAUGAAUGACGCAGUAGAAAUGGCUAAUAAGAAUAUCAAAAAGAUUAUCCAGAAGCUGGUGAAAACCUAUAAAGACUGGCAUGAGAUGCUCCCUUUUGCACUACACGGAUACAGAACUUCCAUUCGCACCUCAACAUGAGAAACUCCUAUGGUAUAUGGUACUGAAGUCGUACUCCUUAUCGAAGUUGAAAUCCCGUCUUUAAGAGUCAUGAUGGAGACCAAGUUAGAUGAGGCAGAACGGGUACAAACCAGGUUCGAUCAAUUAAACCUCAUAGAAGAGAAGUGCAUGGUUGCGCUGUGUCACAAGCAACUAUAUCAGUGAAGGCUCAAGAAAGCAUUCGAUAAGAAAGUUCGUCCUCGGCACUUCGAAGAAGGUGAUCUAGUGCUCAGGAAAAUCCUACCCAUCCAUAAAGAUUCCCAUGGAAAAUGGACCCCGAAAUACGAGGGAUCAUAUGCCGUGAAGAAGGCCUUCUCUGGCGGAGCUCUGAUUCUCACAACCAUGGAUGGAGCUGAGUUACCACGGCCUAUAAACACAGAUGCAGUCAAGAAAUACUAUGCAUAGAAAAAGAGGAUAAAAAACCCGCUAAGUCGAAAAUCCUAAAAGGCGACUUAGGCAAAAAUUAGGGCAUCCAGGUGGAUUGAAAACUUGAAAAAGAAAUCCAAGCAAAAAUUAGGGACUAGUAUAAAAAAAUAUAAAAUCCGAUAAGUCGAAGACCCAAAAGGGCGGCUUAGGAAAAAUAGGGUAUAUCAUCCUAGUGGACUAAGACUCAAAAAUAGAGGUACAUGAAAAAAUUAGGGAUAUCCAAAAUGCAUGUGACCGCAUCAUUUAUUUCAUCCUACAACAAGAAUUCAGAUGGGAGUAAUCAAUUCAAUCAUCACCGUCGGAAGCAAAGUGUUGUGACCUCGAGGACACAAGGAUAAUAACAUGUGUUGGGUUCAAUAUGGACAUGAAUAAAUAUGUCUUUCAUUUUACAUUUUACAUCUUCUUAGACUUUCGGUAAUCUCUCCUUACGGGAAUUACUUCCUUAUUUAAUAUUUCCCAUUUACGGGCCAAAUCUCAAUUAAUAAAAUUUGUUUUUCGAAUCUCUUUCUUCACUUCUCAAUUUUUCCGCUUGAUAAAAAAAUUUCAAUUAUUUGUGAAUAAUGCAUUGAAACGUGGAGCAUAAUAAAAAUAUUUCAAGAUAAAACAAAUCUUACUUCAACUACGAAAAUGUUAAAGGGAUCAUAUUCUUCCAACAUUGCCUCUCAAGCAAAAUGCAGGGUCCAUAAAUCAACACUCACGAUCUAACUAGUAUAAAAGUUUCUUCCUUUUCAAAAAAAGGCAUAUUGCAUAUUCUCGGAUUUCAAGAACAUCAAGACAAGUUCCAUAUCAAAAUCUCAAGGGGUCAGGGAGUCAAAAUGUCACGAAAACACCGGUUCCCACAAAGUCAUGCAUCACAUACACAUAUCAUAAAAGAGGCGUUAGCCCAAACACCGCAUCAUGCAUAAGACAUGCAUUAAUUCAAAACAUGCAUGUCCAUAAGCAUGCAUGCAUAAUACAUGGCAUAUGAUUUAUGACCACUCUUAAAGGUUCAAUCCCCAGCUAUACCAAUACAUUUCCCCGAGUGGGAACACUUAUUGGCCUUCCCCAGUAAGUAGCGAUCCCAUAAACACCUUUUUAGUAAAGAACUUCCCCAGCAAGCUCAUUCACGGUGAGUUUUUCAGAGUCUAUCCAAUUGGCGAUCAUCCCAAAAUGGUCGUUGUUAACUAGUGAACAUGGUUUCACCUCUCACAUCCCUAGCUUAUCAACCUAUCUCACAUACGUGAUACGUUCCAUCAAGAACACCAGGGAUUAUAUCAAGGGAUUUUAUCAAGGGUUUGCAUCAAGAGAAUUUAUCAUAAGGGUUCAUCAAGGGUAUCAUGGGGUUCUAUAAAUCUUUUUUUUAGCGAGGGGUUUCACCAGGGGUUUUGUCAAAGGAAUUUCACCGGGAUUACAUCAAGAUUUUCUUCACCAACAUAAGGGAUUAUAUCAAAGGAUUGCACCAAUGGGUUUCAUCAAAUAAUUCUAUCAAGGGCAUUCUACCGUAAGUCGAUCAAGGGGUUCUAUAGGAAUUUUAUCAAGGGAUUCAUCCAGAUCAAGGGGGUUUCAACAUAAUUUUAUAGAGGGUUUACCACAGGAUUUCAUCAGGGUUUUUGUCAUAAGGGCUUCUAUCAUGAGAAGGUUGAGAAGCCAACAAAGUGUCAUGGAUUGUCCAAUCUUCGAUCAUCCCCAAGAUCUACUAACUUCGCGGUCAAAAUUAGGGCUUACUCUUUAUAUUUAACCAUCCCCCUUGGAGAAGAUGAAGGCUCAUCGUCAUCAUCAUCUCAGUCUAGAGCCGAUUAAAUAGGGUCAUCUGUCGUAACCCAAAUUUUGACCACCUAAUCUUUCUAGUUUCACCGGGUCAACCCCAAUAAUCAAAAGUCAAAGGGGGACCUUUGUGACUUUUUAUGAGAAUAUUUAGUUUUAUAUUUGUCCGUUUAGGAUUAAAUCAGGUUUUAAGGAUAACAUUAGGGCUAAGAUUGAACUCGAUUAUUGAUAAGUUUUUAAAUAUUAAUUGAAUUUAUUUUGAUAUUAGAAAAUUCUUUUAGAAUAUUAAGUUGUUUUAGAUGGGCUUGGGUUGAUGUUGAUAUUUUAAUUGGAUCUUUUUAAAAUUAAUAAGUUUUGAUCAAUUUAAGUUAUUCAAAUUUAAUAGCUAUAUUGUUUAAGUUAUUAGUUAUUAACAUUAUUAUUUAUUAACAUUAUUAUUUAUUAACAUUAUUAUUAUUAUCAACAUUAUUAUUUAUUAGUUAUUAAAAUUAUUUCUCAUUAUUAUAAUAUUAACAUUAUUAUUGUUAUUAUCAACAUUAUUAUUUAUUAGUUGUUAUAAUUAUUUCUCAUUAUUUAACAUUAUUAAUUAAUGAAUAUUAGAAUUAAUAUUUAAUUAGGUUUUAUUCUUUUUAUUUUUUUAUUAUCUUGGGGUAUUAUUAUUGGGCUUUAUUUACGUAUGUUAUUUGAACUAGCCCAAAUCGGGCCCUUUCCAUGUGGGUCAAGUAUGACCCAAUCUAACUGGGUCAGGCGUGGCCCAAAUCCAUCCCCCAACUGGGUCAGGAUAAUGACCUGAAUCCGAGUUCAUCAUCUUCAACCUCUAAACCCUAAGGCGCGCAGAAUUGAAAAUAGAAAUAACUAAAAAAACUGCAAUUUUCAAUUCCAUCCAAACGUUCAACUUACAUUGAAAUCACGAAUCAAAUAUGGACCAAAUACACCACAUUGCAGUUACAAUUCAAACCUAAUUUCUAUUUCUAAACAAAAUCAAAAUUACAAUCAAAUCUAAUUCAAUCAUAUCCCAAUCAAAUCUAAACUUCCUAAAUCAGAUAAUCUAAUUAACUUCUAAACCUAAAAAAUUAAUCUAUAUAAACCUAGUUCUAAAACACGAAAAGAAAAAAAACAACUCUAAGAAAGGAAUCUUCAUUGCUGCAAACCAAACCCGCACAUAAAGCUUGAAUUAAUUUGAGAUUUAGGGUUUCACAUUGAAACCCUAAUUCUUCUAAGCUAGACCCCAACUUUUGUACCUCACAUCAAAAGACAGAAAUAAGAGGUUAAAGGGAGAAGAAGAGACAGUCAGAUCGGAAAAGAAAAGCAAGGAGUCAAAAUUUACCUCUUAACCAGAAUAAUUCUCCAUUCAGAAGGUUGGUUGUGAGCUCUUGAGUACUUUGUUUACUUGUUUCGUAUACAUAUCAAUGUUUUUACAGGAAUAUGUUUGCAUUGAAUUGUGAAAUAUGGGGGUUGUUAUUGUUCGAUUUAUCUUCAAAAAGGGUAAAUCGGUGGUUCAAGGUUUGAUCUAGGGAAAAUUAGGGAUUUCUGGGCAGCAACUAGGGUUAGGGUUCUUCGUAGGUUAGGGUUCUUAAGGUUCAUGAUAAACCUAAGUUAUGGUUCCCAGGGAUGGAGGUUAGCGUUCUUUAGUUUGGGGUUUCUGGAUUGAAGAUUUAAUUAGGGUUCAUCAUAUGAACCCUAGGGUUCAUUCGGGGAACCCGUGUAUAAAGGUAAGUGUAGUUUUUUUGGGAAAGGGUUUGAAGGUUUGAAGGUUCCGGUUGAAGAUCAACCAGAAACCUGGGUUUGAGAGUGGUUCUGGGAGGUCGGAGAAGUGUUCGGGGUGGUCGGAGAAGUUAGAGAGAUCCCAGAGUGAAGAGAGAGAAAGGAAAGGAGAAAAUACGAGUUUAUAAAGGGAGUUCAUUCAUAUACCUCCAUCAUAAUCUCUCGGAUUCGUGCCAAGUGGCGCUCCAACGAGAUCUAGAUCGGUUGACCACCCCGGUCUACCAAGGAUCAUGUAUAUGCAUAUACAUUGUGUUCCCCUAUUUACCUUAAAUAUGGACUUCUUAACCUGCGUACUUUGACCAGUCAACAUGAUCAAAGGCAGGUGUUACGCAUCACCAUCCCCCCUCAGGUCAUGAUCAGAUGGUGCAGAGAGAGUCAACAUUUGACUCUCCCUCAUCAUAGGCUCUGUCUCAUGAAUGGGCCUUAGAGUCUUGGUGGACUCUUCCCCUUAUUUUUCACACCCCUUCCUAAUAUCCCAUUACUAACCCAAUGUAAAAUACACCCUCCUCAUUUUAUUAAUUUUAGUUAAUUAUUUACUUAAUUAAUUAUUAAUUAGGAUCUAUCUAUUUAAUAUUUAAGAUUAAUUCAAAUAAAAAUUAGUUUUUUUUGUUAUUUAUUCAUGAUAUUUAUUUAUUUAAUUUUAAUUAAUUAUAAUAGUAAUAUUUUAAUUAAUUAUGGUUAUAUCAUUAUUAGGGUUAAUUAAAUCAGGAAUUAUGGGAUAUGAUCGAGGAUAAUUAUUAGGGUUUUAAGGGACCUAAAAAUGGGACAAAUGGGGAUAUGUCUUAUGACAUCUAAUUUAAUUACCUUUAAUCGGAUAUAUUUUGUAAUAUAUUAUUAUAUCAUAUUUAUAUUUUUCUAUUAAUUAAAUUAAAUAAUAUUUUCAACUCUAACGGGAUAAAGACAUGGGAUACAAUUUGAGAUAAAACUAAGGGGUUAUUAAAGGCUAAAUCGGGACUAAAAUUGGGAUAAAUGGGUAAUGUCUAACACAUAAUUAUGAUUCCUAAUCUAUUUUCUUAAAUAAAUUAAAACAAUAUUUUUGCAAGAGAUAAAGGGAUAAAAUCAAUUCAAAUUCACUUCAAACCGUAAGACUUCUACCCUAGUGUAUUGAGACAUUUUCUAAAAUCACUUCUCCGCCCCCAAUGCGUGAGAACUUUCAAGGGAUAAAAAUAACCAACCAACCAAUCUUUUUCAAAAAGAACUACGAUACUCGGAUCCUUCGUCUAAUGCGGAGGUACGUAGGCAUAAGUUGUAAACUCUAGCGAGUAUAAUUAUGAAAAACCUUUUUGGGUCUCUCGUCCAUUUAAAUAUAAUACCUUGUGUAAAUAAAUAAAUAAUCAAAUAAUCAAUCAGUAAUCAAGCAAAUACAUUAGGAACACACAUUAGCCCUAGAAUUGUAGGAGGAUCCCAUUGAAUACAAUGGAGGUAAGGGGUGCCUAACACCUUCCCCUUACUUAACCGACUCCCGAACCUAGUCUCUCCCCUUAACUAUUAGGUUUUAUCAUUAUUUCUCUGUUCCUUAUGAACGAAUAAAGGAUGGUGGCGACUAUUAGGCUUUGGUGAAGUAACAUGAAUGAAUGCCUAGAAGGUUAUGCUUGAUGAGUGUUGUUGUUUGUUGUUGUUUAUUGAUGUUGUAACAUCGAUUAAUUGUUGUAUAUGAUGAAUAAUUUUGUGCAUAAAUGGUGAGAUGUCUAUAUGGUGAUUCUUUUGGUGAACCUUUUUGUGAUAAUGCAUGUUGUUGAGAGUCAUGUAUCGCGGUGUAAGAGCUUUGGUCCAGUUUUGGCAUGAUAUGUUCCGGUGGUAUGGAUCGGGAGUGAGUAGCCGAUUCGAUGUGGAAAUUGGUGAAGUGUUACCUAUGGUGAUGGUAACAAACUUUGGUGUGCUCUGGUCCUAUGGUGGAGAUCGGUAGCGAGUAGCUAAUUUCAGGCAGGAAUCAGUGAAGUGUUACCUAUGGUGAUGGUAACGAUUUGGUGUGCUCUUGUCCUAUGGUGGGGAUUAGGAGCGAGAUGAACCUGAGUGUUUCUGAAUGGUACCACAUGCAUAAUGAGUCAGUUGUGGAGUAUAUUUGUAUAUAUGAUUGUAUAUGUUGUUAAUUAUUCAUGAUGUUUAUGAUUAGAAUUAAUUAUGUAAUUAUUGUCAUGAAUUUUAUGUGAGAAUAUGUUGUUGAUGGUUGUGUAAUAAAUGUGUGCUUCAUGUGUACUCUCUACCUUAGCAUUCUUUACACUAUUUAUAUUGGUUUGUUGUUUCUCACCCCCUUUUGCUUUGAUAUUGUCCUCCAUAGACAUUUUGUAGAUACUCAGGAGUAGAGUUUGUUACUGUAAGUGGAAAUUAGUUCUUGGAGUUAUUCAUUUAGUUUCAUUGUUGUUUUAGAAGUCUUACUCUGAUCCUAUAACAUCGGGGUUGAGAAUGUUUGUUUGCUUAUUAUGUUUGUUGGAGUUUAUUUGUUUAUUCAGUUUAUCUUGGAGUUAUUCAAAGAGUUGAAUAUGAUAACUUUUUACUUUGAUUUGAAGAUUAAGACUAAAAGUCUAACUUGCAAUGUUUUGUUAUUUGAAAUAAAUCGAUACCGCCACAAUGACGUCCUAAGUGAAGGUGAGCGUGUGAUGACAGGUGUUGUAUGACGUUAAUAUUUUCCGCUAUGUGUUUUUUAAAUGUUGGAUUUCUUAAAGGUUUUGUUGGUGGUGACACCUUAGAUUGGUAUGUAAAGCUUAAUAUAUAAGUUUUCGGAUUUAGGGUGUUACAAUCAACAACAUUAAUGAGAAUCUUAGCAUCGUCAUAAAUCAAGACUUUGAUUUGUUGUUCAUGUUGCUUAACCAUAGAAAAAAUAUUGUUGAUGUUAGAUAAAUGAUUCAUCAACCAAACCUGAGAGCGAACUAUAUCAAACGAGUCAUUCAAGCCAGUAAGAAAUCGAAUUGAGUGUGUAACUUCAUGUUGUUACUUAAAAUUACUCAAGCUUGUGUUGCAUGCAUAAUGAUGCAGACACAAGAAUAUAAGAGUAGGAAAGUAAGCUUCAAGUUCUUUCCAAAGAACCUUCAAAGCUGUAAAAUAAUCAUAAACCAAUAGUGAAUCAUGCUUCAAAGCAAAGAUUUCACAUUGUAAUUCAGAGAUACGAAUGUAAUCACCUGGUGAAAAAUCCUUGAGUUUAUUCCAUACAUCAAUGGAGUUUUCAAGAAAGAUGAUACUUUGUGCCAUGGAUUCUUCAACUGAGUUCAUAAUCCACGUGUGUACUAACAUGUUGCAGCGAUUCCAAGAUUUAAAACAUGGACUAAAUUCCUCUGGAACUAGAAUGGAACCAUCAACAAAAUCAAAUUUGUUCUUUCCUCCUAGAGCUCGUCGCAUGGAUCUCGCCAAUGCAUGAAAAUUCGAAUGUGUUAACACUAGUUUAACAUAAACAUAAGAAGGUUCACAUGAAGAAUGAACAUGGUACACGUUUCCAGUUUGUUGUGGAAGAUCUUGAAUCAGAGCACCAGCGACGAUGUUGCCGCCUAUAUUGGCACCACCACAAAACAUUGGAAGAAAAUGAUGCGUAGCAGAGCUCAAAAGAGCCCUGAUAUCAUGUUAAGAAAUACGGUUAGGCCCAACUCACCCAUAAAAAACCGAAUUUUAUGGUGGGAAUUGCCCCUACUUAUAAGGACAUGUUCAUGCCAUAUAUUAUUCGAUUUGGUACUCUUAACACACCAACUCACGCCUAAGACUGAACAUUUCGAGCGUGGAAAUAAAUGGUGGAUGAACCGAUAGCAGAAUCCUAAUAGUAGGUGGCCACCAGAUCUUAAACCAAACUCUUAUACCAUCAUGAAAUUUUCACAAAUCAUGAUAAAUAUGAAUGAAAACAGAGAAAAGAGAUAGAUGGAAGCAAAUUUUCAUUCAUUCACUAAAUCAAGGUAAUUACAAGCCGUGGUUAUUUAGAAGUUUAUAAUCGGAUAACCUCUAACUAAGUCUAACCUCUAGCAAAUUAUAUAAGGAAUAAGUUUCUCAAUGUUGUCAUAUAAGAAAAUAAUGAAUUAAUUGAUAUUUACUCUGGUUGACAACAUUGAGAAAUUAUUCCCGAAUAUAACAAUGGAUUGUAAGAGAUGGAUUCAACAACAACAUCAUUUUAUGAGAUAAAUUAUAGAAUAGAAAAAUAUUUUGUUCAAGAUUGAUAAAAUUAAUCUCUUUAAUAAAUGAAUGUAACAACAACGACAACAACAAUAAGCUUAUUGCUAUUGGUGGUGCAACUUCACAACUUCACCACUAGCAUCUUUUGUUUUAGUUUAUGGCAAUUGGUGGUUCAACUUCACAACAUCUUAAAAUAUCCCCUCUUAUUUUAAUAAAACAAGUAUGUAUAAUAAUUAGAAUACGAGGGAGUAGUUUUUUAUGUUUUAGAAAGUUGAAGAGAUUUUAGUUGACGUGUGUGGCUUUGGGAAAUAGCAGCAUUUAACUAUCCUACAAGCAACAUAAUUGCGUGCAUAAUGCAAUUAAUACAUGAAAUAUGAAGAGGCACAUUCAAAAACUGAAGCAGCCAAACAGUUGCUAAGGUCUGAUUAAUAUUGUUCCAUUUUUUAAUUUUAAUAUAUAAAGAAUGGGAAAUGAGUGGGAGUUUUAAAGUUUGCUGCUAUGGCUUUUCAACAACCAGGAGCAGAGUCUAAAACGAUUCCACUGAAAAUAUUGGUGGACAAACAAAGAAACAAAGUUGUUUUUGUGGAAACAACUAAAGACUUUGUUGACACCCUUUUCAGCUUCCUUUCUCUUCCUCUUGCUACCAUUGUUCGUCUUUUAGAAACAAAUAACAAAGGCAAACAACAAUCAGAGUCUUCACCAUUCCUUGACAACAUAAAAAAUCUCUACCAAUCUGUCCAAAACCUCGACUCAGACGAUGUUUGGAACAACCCUGUCUGCAAACAAAUAUUGUUGCGUCCCAGAAAUCCAUGUGAAUCUCUUUGCAUGAAAUUGUUUAUGGAUAUCGAAGAAACUGAAUUAUCAACUAAGUUUUUUGUUUGCGAUUUUUGUUACAAGUUCACUACUUAUCCAAAUAUUCAUUGUACAUGUGGAAAAUCCCCUACUAAAAAGCCUCGCAAUUUGGAUAUUCAGACUCGGGAGAGUGCUCAAGAUGGUGUAUUUGUCAGAGAUAAAGGAUCAAUGUUUCUGAUUUCAGAUGAUUUGAAGAUUGUGUCGAGUUCUAUGUUGAGUUCAUUAGAUAUGAUGAUCAAAUUGGGCUGUUCAGACUUUACUCAAUUAGAGGAAAUCACACACAACAUUGGCAAGCAUGAGGUAAUACAUGUUUUUACUUUCUUUCACGCCUAUGGUUUUAAAUUGCGUUUUGCAACCACCAUUGCAUUUGUUCGAAAUUGUUUAUACAGACACAAGUUGUAUCUGCAAAUCAAACAUUUUAUGUAUUAUGGUUACAAUGCUGUUUUAGAGACCUUUAAAAUUUUAAUCUAUGCUUCACCCUUUAGGAACCAGGCAACCAUUCUUAGGGAUUUAUUUUAUACAAGCAAAAGACUAAAAAAGGGUACAUCAAUAAAGACAUACUCAAGAUUUUAAUUAACAGAUGUGGUUACGUAAAAGUUUUCACGAUUUUGAUGGGUACAAGUGUUACAAUGUUGGUUGCAGUCAGGGUAUAAAUUAAUGAAAAAACUAUUUUUCAUCGUAAAAAUAGUGAAUAACGGUAUGAAUAUCGUUAUCAGCCCCUUGUGAAAUUCUUUAAAACUGAAGCGUCAAUUAAAUCAUGUUACAUCACUUAAUAUUUGAUGCAGCUUUUCAAAAUCUUGUGUCUAUUAACUCAUUCAUCUUAUGUUAGUUUCUACCUCCUAGCUUAGUCAUUUCAAUAUUGCAUACGCUUUAUUUUGUUAUAUACUCUAAUCAAACUCAUGCAUAGCACAAGUUUUUUAUACUAGAUUCUUACCAUUUCCGUUUUAACAUUUUUUAUAGGUGUUAAACCUUCUCAUGUAUACAUUAACCUCUCACGAGCCUCUCACAAAUACAAUCUUGGCAAGUAGCUCUAAAAACAAAGACUACAGCCAACCUAACCUAUUUGCGUCCGCAGUUAGAAUAACUCCUUUUGCCAGUGACAACACCCGGAAAAUAGAUGUUAAAGUAAUGCAAAGUAAAUCUCAAAAAAAUAUAAUCUAUGCCGAAACCAAUGGAGAUUUUGUUGACUUCAUUUUUAGCUUUCUUACCAUGCCAUUAGGGUCCAUUGUAAAACGUUUGGGAGUUAAAUCUUUUUCUGGAUGUGUUGGUAAUUUGUACGAGAGUAUGAUGAGAUUUGAUCCCACAUCAGUGUUACUUGAUCCUGGCAUAGUACAACAAUUUAGUUGUCCCAACUAUCCUCUCAAAAUUCCCCAUGUAUUUCCACUUCCCACUACAUAUUAUUAUGGUAUGUACGAGAAGGGAAAAGACCAUGAAUAUAGGGGAUUGAUUUCUAAGUCACGGGAAUCUAUUAAUCGCCCAACAUCGUUGAUUUCACUUGACAUUUUAAAAGACGGUGUUGUGGGAUUUGUGAAGAAAGAUGCAUUGUAUGGUGUUGGAGACGAUCUAAAAGUAAAACCAGUUUCUGCUAAUUUUUGCUUUUCGUAUCUGAAAGAAUUGAAUCUUUCUCUUGAUGAUCUUGAAGUGAAGGUGAUAAGCAUCGGUGAAGUCGAGGUAAUGUGGCUAUUAAAUUAUUGAUAAUUUGUUCUUUCUCUUUUCUUUUGUUAUUUUAACAAUUUGAUAUUCCCUUGACUUGUUAAUUGUGGUGCAGGCUUUGAGCCUCCUUGGAGCUUGUGUGACAUCAAACUUUACCUUGACUAGUGGACUCAAACACUUCUUGAAUGUCCCAAAACAAGAAUCAACUUUGACAUGAGCAACCUAGUAGGUUAAUUUGAUUAUUUUUCAAAUGAGGCUGAGUUAUCAAUUGGUUGUAGUUUCAGUUUUUUUUAACCAUAACUAGAAGAUCUUGGACCUCGUUUUCUAAUUUUAGUAAUUUGUUGGUUUUUUAUGAUUUUAAUAAUUAAUUCGAUUGUAGUUUCUUCUAUUGGUUUUGAUAUACCAGUUCUAUUACUUUAUAGUUUGUUAUCCUAAUCCUAUCUUGUUCAAUGUUAUAAACUGCAAACUGUUUUUUCUGUAACCAGUUAGGUCUUAUGGAAGCCAAAAAACCUUAUUAAUACAGUUUGUUAAAAAAAUGGUCCAUUGUUUGUGGUUUCUCAUAUUCUUAAAGCCAUCCAUAUGAUUCAACCUGUGUUGUUUUUGUUUGUUUCUUUAUCUAUCUCACAAUUUUCUAAUGAGUCUUUUUUACAAUGUUGUUCUUCUUACUAUUUCUAUUUUAACAUUUUGUAUAGAUAUUGAACCUUCUCAAGUAUACAUUAAACCUCAUGAGCCUCUCACAAAUACAAUUUUCUCUCUUUCAUUUAUUAUAUUUAUUAUUUAUUAUCUAUUAUAAUAUAUUAAAAGUGUGUCUCAAACUAUUCUAUUAACAACUCAUUCUUUUAUUGGACACAUCUUAAAAAAUCUGAUGUGACACUCUUCGAAAUAUAAUAUUUCAAAAAAUUUAUUAUUCAUUUGAGGAAUAUGUGUAACAUUUCAUUUAUAAUUUUUUUUAAUUUAAAACACUUAUAUUUUCAUAUUUCAUUAGUCAUCUCUUCAUAUUCCUCUAAUUAAAAAAGUUAUGGUUACUCCAUUCCUUAUAUAAAAUUACAUACUUAUGCAAUUUGUACAUCCACAAUACAUCGGAACAAAUAUUAUUAUAGAAUACAUGCAAGUACAAAUUAUAUAUUCAUCAUAUAUCAAAACUCGAACUAUUAAAUUUUCAUUCUAUUUUCUAUUACUCAAACUUAUUCCGUAUAAAAAAACUAAAUUAUUUUAAAUACCUCGAUAUAAAAUUAUGAGACAUAAUUUAUUUUCUAAUAAAAUUAAAUUAGUCAAUUUUCAAAUAUCUUGAUAAAAAAAUUAUGAUAACUAAUUUAAUUUCUAUAAAAAUUAAAAUAACUUUUAGUUUCUUGAUAAAAGUGAUAACAUUAUCACUUCUUAAACCCAAAAAAAAGAGAUACUAGUAACAAUUAUUUAGCAACAAUUAUAACACUAUUAUUAUUAUUAUUUUAAAAAAUUAAAUCUAAUUACAAUUCUAAAAAUAUUAUCAAAUAAUUCUUUCAUAUUUAACUUAUAAUUUUCAAAUAGACAAACAAAUGCUUCAAAUUAUUUUCUAAAAUAUUAUUUUGAAUCAUAAUUGCAGAUAUAUAUAUAUAACAAAAUUAAACCAUUACAAAUUUAACUCAAAAUAGUGAGUUUUGUUUAUGAUUUUAAUGUUGAUCUUAUGAAUGAUAGAGUAAUUUGAAUGUGAAACGUCUUUUAUCUAUCAAAUAAUGAAGAAUAAAUAUUCUUAUAGAUGUUAAAGAAAAAAUAAAUAUACAAAUAAAAUUAUUGAAAUUUACACUUAUUUCAUAUUUUAAAAUUAAAUUGUGAUGUCUUAUUUGCAUUUCUAUGAUUCAAAUAUUAUUUUUUCACUUAAACUUUUACUCUCUUUUUAUCAUCUUCAUCAUUUCGUCUCAAUUACAAAGUUUUUUAUAAUAAAAAAUAUCUAUGUUUUAUAAUAUUACUUAAAAAUUCAUCUUAUCAUCACGCAUCGCGCGAGUCUCAAUCUAGUUUUCUUAAUUCGUGUGAAAAUGUAACUAUGCCACUUAUUUUGGGAUGGCGAGAAUAGUUUGUUAAAGUUCUAUUCUGUUCUUGUUGAAAUGCUACUACCGUUCUAAAAUAAGUGUCGUAUUUAUAAAUUAUUUGUCUCAAAAUACUUAUCAGUUUAGAUUAGCAAUGAAAUUUUUAUUUUUAUCUUCCAAUUAUACUCUUUAAGUAAUACUCUUAAUUUAUUGUUUUCUCAUUUUGUAUUAAUUCUAAUUUAUAUACACCAAUUAUUGAUAAGAAUAAUUUGAUAAAAUAAUUAUUCUCUCUCUUUUAUUCUUUACAUUUUCUUAAUUUGUUUGAAAGUGUAUGACACUUAUUUUUGGACGGAGAAUGUGAAGUUGAACAUGUAAUGUCUCAUGAUCAAGUUGUCGAUAUUUUUACCAAGCCAUCAAAGUUCGAAACUUUUGCGAAGCUAAGGAGCACUACAACAAAUAAUACAUUUUACGAUGAAGCUUUCACUUCGGACAUUUAAAAAUCGGGGGGAUUUAUCUUAGGAGUGUCAUGUUCUAUUUAAAAAAAUGUGCAAUCUAUUCCCUCGAAUAUAGCUCUAAGGGAAAUCAUUUCGAAUCUCAGUUACUGUAUUUUAUAUUUUUUUUCAAUGAUUUAAUCUUUUUUUUAAUUGACACCUUUUCAGCUUCCCUUUUUUUCAUUGUUAAUCUUUUUUGUCUUCCGUUUUUAUUAGUAUUAACCUCAAUUACAUGUCCAAAUGAGAGGUAAUAUAUUUUGCAUUAAUAUUUUCAAAUCAAUUUUUUCAAAAGUCUUUUUUAAUUUUUUAUUUUAUAUAAUCAAAUCCCUCAUAUUUUUUAAUAAAACCAAUGUGAUAUAUAGUUUAAAUAUAUUCCUAAAAUAUAGUGUUAUGGUUCUUUUAUAUAUUUUUUAUUUUUAAAUAAAACAAACACGUCGAUUUUUUUUAAAAACCGACGUGAUUUCUCUUUUGCAUGAAAUACUUCAAAGAACUAAGCUUAACUUUUCAUUACCUAUCAAUGCUCUAACUUCAUAUCAUCAUUCUCUUUGCAAAAAUCUAGACGACUUUCAUCAUAACUCUCAUCAAAACUUUUCCAACAAUAGGUUUAUAUCAAAAGGCAUUCAUCAACACUCGAACAUCAAAAUUUAUCACGUUUGAGGUACGUGUGUUCUUGUUUAUCAAGUUUGUUCUUCUUCCAACAAUAGGUUUAUAUCACUGAAGUGGCUUAUAUCAUUGAAAUGGUUUGUCUUGAUCAUUUGUUUUUCCAUUUUGAUCGCUGGAAUGAUUUAUAUCAAUGAAAUGACUUUAGUAUCACUGGAAUAACUUAUAUAACUGAAAUGGUUUCUCUUGAUCAUUUAUUUUUCCAUUUUGAUCAUUGAAAUGUUGUUAGUUAGUAUGUUUCUGUGAGUAGUUCUUCUUCUAUGAGUUGUUUUUCACUUGCACUUAUUUAACUAAAAUGACGUUAGUAUCACUGAAAGUGCUUUAGGAUCACUUGCAUUUGCUUCUACGUGUUAUUUUUCACUGAAAUGAUGUUAGUAUGUUUCUUUAUUUAGAUAGUCAUAGCCGUUUCGACAAGCAUCUCCCAUACAACAUCUGCUGCAACCUCUAUUGAUACAAAACAUUAAAGAAAAACUAGAUGUGUCACGAUGUAUACUAAGGUGAAAAAUGAGAACACAACUUAGCGAAGCGCAAUCACACGGUCACAUGAUGGACUGAACAGAGUUGCCACCGAACUUUAUUUAUUCCUAAAAACGAAUGGGGAAAUAUCGAUAAAACCCAAGAAAGAAUGACAAUGAUUAUGAUCGUCGCAACCAAAUCAGGGUUCGAGAGUCGACUAUGCAAGGGGAAGGUAUUAGCACCCCUCACGUCCGUUAUAAUCAAUGGGAACCAUUAGGUUAGUUAUACGUGUUAGUGUUAUCUUCAAAUGUUAGGCUUCUCAAGUUAUUAUGAGGGAAAGAAAGAAUAGAAGAGAGAAUAAUAUUUUUGGAUUUUGCAAUGAAGGGGACUAAACCUAAGUUUUUUAUUAAUGGGCCUGACAAGAUUUACAAAUCCUGCUCCUACGUAUCUCUACGUGCAAUAGAGAACUCAAGGCUUACGUAGUUCUGGGUAGAAAAAUAUUUGUUUGUUGGUCGAUUUUAGCGAAAGCUAUAUUAUAUUAAUCGACGAAAACAUUGUUUUACCCAAAAUAGAUGAGGAGCAGACAUAUACUACACAUCGAAUGGAUUUACAAAUCAACAUUCAGAAAAACGUCACUUAUCUCAACUCAACAAUUAUGGCCGAAGCAUUGCUUUACAUCAUCUUAAGACAAGGUUUCUUUCGUUUAUGAACAGGUUUUUCUAAUCAAUCGCGCGGCGGCGAAGAAAAGAGUUUGAUUGGUUGGAUGUAUAUUUGGGCUUGAAAGACGAGUAUUUAUGACUCGCAAGCUCUUACAACUUGGGCCUAAUACUCGAGAUUACGUCUGGACCUUUCACCCAGGUAAUCUUUUUCUUUCAAUUUUAUUGAGAAAAGACAUUUGAAUAUUUACAAAUAUUUUGAAGAGAAGACGAAAACAUAGGGCUUACAAGCUCUUACAACUUGGGUCUCAUAUUUGGGAUUACGACUGAAUAUUUCAUCUAGGUAAUCUUUUCUUCCAACUUACUUAUGAAAAUGAUUUGAAUAUUGGAGCGCUUUGAAGAGAAGACGAAUACAUAAGGCUUACAAGCUCUUACAGCUUGGGCCUAAUAUUCGGGAUUACGACUGGAUAUUUCAUCCAGGUAAUCUUUUUCUUCAGAUUUUAUUGAGAAAAGAUUUAAAAGAAUAGGUUAAUAUGAAGGUUUGAGAUUAAAAUGAUCAAAGUAUGGAAGUUCGAAAUCAAAGGAAGUUGAAUGGAUACACUCAAAAAGACUUGAUAUAAAAGGACCCCAAAAUAAUUCGAGUAUAAAUAAAUAAAUCAGUAAAUAAGUUUAUUUAUUUUUGACCCACUUAAAAAUAAAAAUAAAAAAUAAAAAUGAAAUAAAAUUAACAAAUGUUUUAAAAUAGUUUGAAUUAAAUAGGGGAUACAAAAAUGAUUAAGCUAAAUCAAUAAGUUAUGAAAAUAAAAUAAAAUAAAGAAUGAUAAUUAUAUGAAAAUAGAACUAAUGAAUUAAAAAUUGCCAAGGCUAAGGAUCAAACCUAAAGGCCUAGUGGGAAAUAGUGGGUGAAUCAACCACUAAGCCACGAGCGCCUAGCUAACAUAAAUUCACACUCAUAAGUAUAUAUAAAUUAAAUUAUCCACGAAAACCUUAAAAAAAAAUAGUAUGGAUUGGGCCCAGAGGCGGGAGGAUAUGAAUCUCGGGUUGGGUCAACCUAACCCAGUGCCUUAUAACAUGAAGGGAGGAAACAAGCGAGCCCUAAUUCGGCUGCUACAUUUCCUUCCUGCAGAUAUAUUAUUUUCUUCAACUAUGGCUUGGUUCAACGUAGCAGCAGGAUGAAAAAAACACGUUCCACUUUUCCUCACCAACAUUCGUUCCCACUCAAACUACUCUUUCUCGCUGCACUCAUCCAUAAACCCCAUCUCUCGCCGUUCUCGCUCAAACUCUCUCUCUCUCUCUCUCUCUCUCUCUCNCUCUCUCUCUCUCUCUCUCUCUCUCUCUCUCUCUCUCUCUCUCUCUCUCUCCGUUCUCGCUCAAAUCCGGUUGUGAAGAGACAACAAUCAAGCCAACAACAAGAAAACGGGAACGGAAAAUACCAUAAAGUAAAGAUAAGUACCUACCUUGGAUCCAAACACAAUUUGAGAAAACUAAAGUCGACCUCAGGUACUUGGAAUUUUUUGCUUAUGUGAUAAUGAGAAUCUUUCGGUGAGGCUUUGUUGUUUGUGGGCUUUUGGUCUGAUGAAUAUUUUAAAGAUGUUUGGCUACUGAUCUUUUUGAUUUUUCGAUUCUGGUUUUCUUCUAUCUCUAUGAUUUUUAUGUCAUUCCCCCUUGGUGUUGUUUGUUUUUGAUCAUUUUAUAUGGAGAAUUUUAGGGUUUCAAAUAGAUGUAUAUUGAUGGAAAGGGAAGGAAUCAAAUAUGUUUUAACUUACUGCAAAAUAGUCUGCCUAUUUUUGUGAAACAAUUGUUUUCUAGUGUUGAAAUUUUUAUUGAUGCAGUAGUAUGUCAAUCCUCUUGCUUUUGCCUGUUAUUUUGUAUCACUAUAGCAUGUUAAUUCUGCUAUUCUGCACAUACAAGUGUACAGGACAAAACUUGUGCUCAAAGAAUCAAAUGUUUUGUUAUGUUGGUUUUAGUUACUAUAACAUGAAAAAUGAACUUGUAACUAAAAUACUUUUUUUUUGCUUAAUUAUUUUGUUUUUUCCUUAUGAUGUAGCCAAAAGUAACAUAAAAACUAUUUUUUUUUUUAAUUUUUUAAAAAUAAAAUAAAAUAAAAAUAAUAUAAUUAUAAAUGUUACAAAAUAUUCAAAUAAAUUCAAAUGAAAUGAAUAAAUUGUAAAACCAAGUUAAAAUUGUGAAACAAAAUGUAAAACAAAUUAUAAAACAAAUUGUAGAACAAAAAUAAUUAUCAUUAUCAUUUUUUUAAAAUUCAUAUCUUAAUUUGUGAAACAAAAAUUAAUUUGUCAAUACCUAUUUAAACGUAACAUAAAAAACUUUCUUGUUAGAAAUUUAAAAAAUAAUACCAAGGCAAACCAAAAAGAACCUAAUUUUUGAGAAUGCAAAGAUAUAAUUCUAAAUAAUUGAAGUUAAAUCUUUUAUGAUAAAAAUCUCUAAACCUACAAGCACUCAAUGUAAUGCAACAAGUGUCGAUUAUGGACAUGUAGUGUACGAUAGAAAACUUAUGGAAAAACAAAUGUAUGAAUGACAUGGUAAAUGAAGAAAAAAAAUCUAAUGAAAAUUUAAAUAAAUGCCAUUAAAAUGAAAUUAAAAAAAUGAAAUAAUUUAUAAAUAUGAAUAUUUAUGAAUGAAGAUCAUGGUUUUUUGAUGUGAAUUGGUAAAUAGAAAGAAUUCUAAUGAAAAUUAAAUUAAUGCCAUUAAAACGAAAUUUUAAAAAAAUGGAAUAAUUUAUGUGAAUGAGUGGAUGCAAAUUGAUAAAUACAAAUGCUUGAAAUGUAAAUGAAUGCCUUUAGGCGGGACAAAAUAUAGGGUAUGACAGAAGUAAAGUGAUUCUUUUGAUAGAUAGUUGACACAAAGUUGAAUAUGAUUUGAAAAACAACAUAUGGACCGAUAUUACGGUAUUUAUUUUGAAUUUGAUGAUUUACAAGUAUAUAUGAUCAUUUAUUUUUUUGUUUAAUACUAAUAACAAUUAAAUUAUGUAAACAUAUGAGGUGUUUGAUGUUAGUCUAGAUGAUAGUAUGGUGAAAAAGAAAUCGCUUAUAUAUGAUGGUGAACAUUGGAGGGGCUUUAAGACACAACUCACAUGAGAUUAUAUUACUAAUCCAAGAGAUGAAGAUGACCCAUAAUAUAAUCCUCCAUACUUUAUGUAUUCAUUUAAUGAUCAGGAUGUUUCAAAGAAAUUUGUAAAGUUUCGCACCACUCCUGAAUUUUUGGCCAAGAGCCAAAAAGGAAAGUAUAAUAGAUAUAAAAAUAUCUAUCCACAUAGAUUAUCUCAUGGAGGAUAUGAAAAACUUGAAAGAAGAUAAUUGAAGAAAAAAGAAAACAAGGGGAAUUGGAGCUGGGAGAUUCUAUAAGUCUUAAUCGCGCUUAAUCUCCCCCAUCACGCCAUGAGAAAUGGAAAAGGGCACAUAAAAGAAAAGGCGGCGAGUUCACAUCAGAGGCUACGCGCGAAGUUGCUGAAAUGAUUGUAAGUAGUUACUUUUUUCAACAAUAUUUAUUUUAGUUAAAUCAAUUUGGUAGAUAUGAAAUUUUAUAUGUGUUAUAGGAUGUAUUGGUUGAACAAUCCAAAGUAGGCCUCUUCAUUCCACAAGAUUAUCAUGACAACUUGGUAAAAGCGAUUGGAAUCGAGAAGCAUAUUCGGCGUGUUCGUGGUCUUGGAAGAGAUGUUGGCUUCAAGUCACAUUUUGGACCAUAUAAAUCAUAUAAACAAGUAAACUUUAGGAGAGAGAUUGAAGAUAUAGUUGUUGUACAUGUGGAGAUGUAAGGGAGAAAUAGAUUCGAGAGGAGACGGAGAGUUUGGUGCAACAGGUGCGGGAGAUUGUCCAGAAGGAGAAAGAGGAGCGAGAGAGGUUCGCCGAUUAGGAGCAAAAGAAGUCGAAGGAGGAAGAUCUUGAGAGGAUGUCUGAGAAGUGUAUCCAUGAUGUACUUGAGGUAUACGUAUAAGUAAAACUAUUUGUGUUGUAUGUUGUUGUUUUUAUUGUUUGCUUCUUUUAAUUUUUGUAUUGUAUUUCUAUUAUUUUUAUGAUGCAGAAACUAAAUUCAUUGGGACUACUCAACCAAUCAAUUUCAAAUACUUAGUUGUGCAUUCAUGAUAAAGUUAUGGAUGGUACAAGUACAAUAGAAAGUUGUUCUGCCCACCAGGACAAUAUUGAAAUGACACAAUCAUAACUAGAUAAUACUAAGAGAUUUUCAAUGAUAUUACAUAGUAUUCCACACAUCUGCCAAGAUAUUAAAUUAAGUCAUGAUUCAAAUAAGUAUUCCAUACUUCCUAAGACUUCAAUUAUGGAAUUUUUAAAGGGGGAUGAAUGGAUAUAAAAUACCAUAUUACAAUUGGCGUGCUCAUAAGUAUAAUUUUUACGUUGGUUUUUAUUUAUAUUCAAACAUUCUCGUACGUUAACAUAAAUAUUUGACUCUUGCAGGUUCUUGUAUUAGAUGUGUGUUGAAAGGGAUUUAAAAAGGAAUCGUUUCAUAGAUCUAGGGCACAUUAGCCUUCAUGGUGGUAUGGUAGCAAACAAUAUCACGAUUUACGUACAAGAAAAGUUGUUGAACGAGAACAAAGAAUGUUAUUUAACCCCAUUUUUUCUCCCAUAAGUAUUAGUUUGGAUUUUCGUUUAUAAAUCAAUUUUAUACAUAUUAUUAAUUAUUUUAAAUGUAUAUGCCGUAGUCAUUGACAAGUAUAUGCAAUAGUCAUUGGCAGAUGGAUGUAGCAAUAAGCCAAAUAGCAAAAAUGGGGGAGGGAAAAUUUAGAUUAUGAUAGUCACCAUGGAGAACAUUGAUACAAUGAAAACACUCGCAAACAAUUUUCUUUUCCUUUUUAGAUAGAGUGUGACAUGCCAAAGGAAAAUAACUUAUUUUUCCUCUAUCUUCUAGGGCUAAUUAUUGUCGUAUACCUGUCUACACCAUAUCUAAACGAGAAAUCUUAUUAUCUUUAGUCUUGUCUGGAAUGUUUAGGAGUACUCUAAUCAAACUAUCACACACAUUUUUCUCCACAUGCAUUACAUUAAGACAAUGUCUUACAUCGAAGGUAGAUUAAUAUGGAAAAUUAAAGAACACCAAUCUCUUUUUCCAAAUAUUUCUUUAAACUUGACCUUUUUUAUUCUUUCCAAAGACAAGAAUAAAGUGUUCUUGUCAUUGAUAAACUUCAUCGCCAAUUAAAUGUUUAUGAGCAAUUUCAAACUCUCGUUCUCCAUUAUAAGCCUUCCGCAAUCUACAAUAAGGAUGAUUGGGUUUUAGUAAUUUCUUAUACUCAAGGUAAAUGGUAUUUUUUUUCCAAACUCAAAUCGGUUAACACGCUUUAUGUCCUUUGACAUUGUAUCCAACCAAAUUACCAUAUGCAGGAAAGUCGUUGAUUGUGCAAAAUAACAUAGCACACAUCUUAAACUUUUCACCAAAAUAUGCAUCCUUAACGUUAACGCAUUCCUUCCAUAUAAGUAUUAAAUAUUCAAUUAAUGGACUUAGAUAAACAUCUAUGUAGUUUCCAUAUUAUUUUGUUCCAUAAAUUAUCAUACUUAACAACAUAUAAUUGUGCUUCAUGCACAAUCAAGGAGAUAGGUUGUAAAUUGUGAGAAUAACGGGAUACGAAGAACAAUUAGUACUCAGAUUAUCAAAGAGGUUCAUUUCGUCCGUGGCAAGUCCAUGUCUAAGGUUUCUUGGCUCAAGUCCAAAAUCUGGAAACAACAAACCAAUUUUAUUCCAUUGCAAAGAAUCAACUAUAUGGUGAAUGUUUCCAUAAUAUUUCCUUUCAUCUGCAUGUCAUCUAAUAUUCUUUGCAUCAUUCAAAUUAGCAAAAAGUCUUUUGAACCUUGAAAUUAUGGUCAAGUACCAUGACACUUUAGCAGAAGGACGCUUAUUACUAACAUUGUAAUUAUUAUCACCAUUGUUGUCCAUCACCUUGUAGCAUGACAUGCCACAUUCCGAAUAUUUAUCCAAAUUUUCAUCUUUUUCCUGUAUAAUAUGCAAUCAUUAGGGCAUGCAUGUAUUUUGAUAUACUCCAAACCAAUUAGACACAGUAUCUUCUUGGCCUCAUAACAAUGAUCUAACAAAUUUUUAAUCUUUGUAUAGCAUUUGUUUCAACAAAUCAAGCAAUUUCGUGAAACUUUUAUCUGACCAUCCACUUUUUUCUUCAAAUUAAGCAUUUUUAACAACACAGACAAUCAUGUAAAGCUUGUGCACCCCUUAUAUAAAAGAGCAUACUUACCACUACUUAAAGUAUCAUAAAUAUGGGCUUUCAUAAAAAUCGAUUCUCCAAUAUCACAAAUCAUAUCUUCUAGUCGAUCAUCCAUAUCUUCAUCAACUUCAUGCAUUUGUGACAUUGCUUUUCGAUUUUUAUCCAUUUCUCCAUGCCAUAUCCAUAUUUUAUAAUUUUGACAUAUUCCACCACAACAUAUGUGAUGUAAUAUUUAUUCCUUUCAACGUUUUUUUAUAUUCCCGCAAUUAACACAAGAACAAUAAAAGAGACCAUUAUUUCCAGGAAUAUUUUGUUCCGCGAAUUCAAGGAAUUCGAGAACUCCUCUCUCAUACACCAAGACUAAUCUAUAAGUUGUCAUCCAACUACGAUCCAUAAUAAAUUCUGAAAUUUAUAUCAAAAGACUAAUGUGAAUGACUCACUAAUGCUACACCCAUAACAUACUAAUAUGGUUAUAUGCAUAUGCAUAUCCAUCACAAUAAUAUAACAUUUAACAACACCAAGAUCUAUAGCAUAUUCAUAACCACAAAUAUAAUUCAUGACAUCAAUCAACAACCCAACAAUUUCAUUUGCAACUGCACAAAGUCAUAGUCACAAAAUCUGAAUAAAACAUGAACAAAGCAACAUGAACAAUACACAUCACAAUGUCAAUGCUCAAACGGCUGAUUUAGGAAAUGCAACAAAAGCCAACAUCAUUGAUGUGUUAAAUAAAGAAAUCAGUACCCUAGUGAAGGACAUAAACAUUCAGAAAGUUUUACUACAACUAACCACAGUUCGAGAGACAGACCAAGAAAUGUACUGUACUUUGAAGAGGAGGAAGAGACCAAGAAACGAUUUUUGUUCCAAGAAAUGAAUGAAGAGGGUGAAGAUUGGACGUUCCAAAUGAAUGAAGAUGGUGAAGAUAAAGAUUUCGCUAUCUCCGUCGGCUGGUUCACUAGGUCAUGUUUUAUGCAGGAAAUAAAGAACUUGUUAUGUUUUAAUUUUGCAGUAAAGAAUUUUACCACAGUUGUCAAUACCAACCGUAGUGAAAUAUGGCAUAUGUAAUAACAGUUGAUAAAAACAAUCAUAGGUAACUGUUUUUCAAUUUUUAUUUAACAAUAUAAGUUAUGGGAUAAACUUUUUUUAUAGAAGAAAUGGAAAAAUGUUAAUGUUGGGAUUCAAAGCUUGUAACCCUUAAACUAUCACCACAAUUAUUAUUAUUAUGAACCGUGAUGAAAAGUAUUUUAAUAAAAAAAAAAUCAGGCGAGUAAAAUUACUACGGUUGACACAAUGGUCGUAGUAUAAUAUGAUGUUACCAAAAAUAUAUUUCGUAGUAGUAGUUAUUUGACAAGUACAAGAUCAAAUAUUCUCCAUGUUAUAGGAUUCACAAGUCUCUAUAUGGAGGCUCCAACAACAACUCACUUCAAGGCAGAAAAGAGAAUCCUUCAAUACAUCAAAUGUAGAACAAACUUUUGCUUGCACUAUUACUCUUCUAAAUUUUUUGAGAUUGUUGGCUAUAGUGACAGCGAUUGGAGUAGAGACUUGAUGAUAGAAAAAAAAAACUAUUGAUUAUGUCUUCUUUAUGGGAGUUACCUCUCUCAAUUGGAUGUCAAAGAAACAAUAAAUCAUCACAUUGUCAACUUGUGAUGUCGAGUAUGUCGUCGCCGCAUCAUGUGUUUGUCAUGCAAUUUAGUUGAGAAACUUGUUGAAACAGUUAAAAAUGCCAUAAGAAGAUCCUAUGGAAAUAUGUGUUGACAAUAAAUCUGCAAUUGCCAAAGAAUCAUAUCUUUCAUAAAAGAAUUAAACACAUCGACACCCGUUACCAUUUCAUAAGAGAAUGCAUCGAGAAGAAGGAGGUGAAGUUGAAGUAUGUAAUGUCUCAAGAUCAAGCUCCCAACAUUCUCUCUUAGCCAUUCAAGUUGGAAACUUUUGUGAAGGUAAGGAGUAUGUUUGGAGUCACAAAUCAAGUUUAAGGGGGGUGUUGAAAUAUUAAACUUGAUUUGAGUCUAACCUUAUUAUUUUGAUUUUGAUUUUUGGGCUUAAUUAUUUUGGGCCUAGAUAAGUCAUGUAGUGUUUGGAGUGUUUAGAUAUUUUUUAUAAUUGUAAUAUUUUCUAGAAUCCUCUUGGAAUUUCUAGAGUGGAGAAAUCUAUAGAAUUAGUGUGUCUAGAAUCAAGUUGGAAACUUUUGUGAAGGUAAGGAGUAUGUUUGGAGUCACAAAUCAAGUUUAAGGGGGGUGUUGAAAUAUUAAACUUGAUUUGAGUCUAACCUUAUUAUUUUGAUUUUGAUUUUUUGGGCUUAAUUAUUUUGGGUCUAGAUAAGUCAUGUAGUGUUUGGAGUGUUUAAAUAUUUUUUAUAAUUGUAAUAUUUUCUAGAAUCCUCUUGGAAUUUCUAGAGUGGAGAAUUCUAUAGAAUUAGUGUGUCUAGAAUUCUCGUUAGAUUAUUAUAAAUAUGAAUCUAAUCUUACACUUUUGUAUCAAGUGAAAUACAAAAUCAUCUAUUCCAUAAAUAAUUCUCCAAUCUAUCAAGUUUUUAUUCAAGUCUCUAAUAUUCCUAAAUAAUUUCCUCAAACGUAAAAGAUCUUAUUUCCAACGAAGAUCUUAUAAACUGCAAACUAUUUUCUACUGCAACCAAUUAGGACUUAUGGAAGCCUAAAAAACAUGUUUCAUAAGUCUCAACAAGUUUUUUAUUUUGAUUUGGUUUCACAUUGUCUUGUAUUAGUGGCACAUGACUUUGCAAGGAGGGAGAACAAACCAUAAAGUUUCACAAAGGCCUUAGCCUCUUGUAAGAUAUUUAUAGUUAUAAACAAAAUGUACAAAUUAAUUUGCCUUGUCUUUUCUGCUCUUCUUGGUAUAAUUGAGAUCAUGAUAUUGAUUACAACUAGAUCAUGCUCACUUAUUUUACAAUGUGAAUCAUGUAGACAUUGAGAUCAUAUCAAUAUCAACGGAUGAAAUCAUAAACAAGAUUAUUUUAUUUAUAUGUAUCAACUUUUAGAUAUUCGAUGAUCCAUCACCCUUAGAUAAACUUCGAAGCAGUAUUGUUGGUGCGGCUGCGAGACUGAGAGCGAGGGAGCACAGUGGUAGUGGUUCGACUUCUUUUGAUCAUACAACAAAGGUAAUUAGUGCUUUCUCUAUCCUUUUCUAUUGAUACUUCCUUAAUACUUACAUCUAAGAUCAGCCACUGGGUUGAUUUUAAAAAAAAUAUAUAUCCAACGACGCAAAUGUAUCAUUGCAACAUCAUACACUUUUAUUUUAUUUUUUCUUAUUUUGCAGUAUGUAUUAUUUGUCGAAUACAUGCUCGGAGAAAUAUGAAUUUCUAGUAUAUUAUUUGUUGAAAUAGCGUAGCCAUAGCUUCUACGACUCUGGAAAAUCAAGAUGAAAUAUAUACUGCUCUAGAAAUAGCAUUGAAGCUUGAAAAUAGUAAGACUAGAUCUAAUUAUCAUAGCUAAUUAUUUUUAUGGUAAUUUUCAUAUGACAGUAAGCGCAUCUUUUAACUACAGAUUUACAAGUGAUUAUGUUAAGUAUGAAUCAUAUAGUAAGAACGUAGCAAUUUCCAAUAUCAAAUAUAUAUUAUAUAUAUAUAAUAUAUAUAUAUAUAUAUAUAUAUAUAAUAUAUAUUAUAUAUAUAUAUAUAUUAUUGCUUGUAAAAAUGUAACUUUAAUUAAUAACAAAAAUAGAAAGGAAUUGGAUGUACUCUAUAGUCGUAGAGGUAGACACCGUUAAUUAAACAACGUUAAGAAAAAUUAAUCAUGUUCAUUGUCUUUUACUUUCAUUUCUUUUUAAAAUUUUAUAUUUGGUUGUUGUUGUAACAAUUGGUAUCAGAUGACGAUUAACACUUAUGUGAAAUUCGAGGUGAGAAGGUUCGACAUGACGAGUAAUUACAGAUUAUGGGAAGACAUUGUGUGAGACAAAACCGAACGACAUAGAGAAUAUAGAUUGGGAAGAGAAGAAGGAGAAGGCCCCGUGAUUGAUUCUCUUAUGUGUUUCAGAUGAGGUGAUGACUUUAACAACAUAAUCAUUGAUCUGGUUGGGGUGAAGGUUGUGGACGAAGAUAAGGUAAUUAUAUGGUUGUGUUUACUGCUACAUUUUUUCUCAUUCUCAAAUGAGACAUGGUGUAGAGAAAGCAACUUAAUGCGACAGUCUGUAUGUGAUGGUGGUCAAGAGCGUGGGAGGAUUUAGGGUAAAGCGGGGAAUCAGCUGAGUGUUAUAAUUGCAAAUAAACUAGGCAUUAAAAGAGGGCUCAUCCAUUUUUAUAAAUAUGGUUCAGAUCGAUGAUUCUCGAAGUGAAGCAAUUAUAUUGAGUGCUUCAUCCCGCUAGUGCUUAAAUGCAAGAGUUUUUUAUUCUUGUUCUCCUUACCACUUGGCGUCGGGAAAAUCAUGGUUCACUACAUUCAGAUAAGGUUAUCUUGGAUUUAUUUAUUUUGAUAAUGACAAAGCUUGUACUAUCACUAGAAUAUCACUAGAAUGAGACAAAUUUAAAUUUCCAUAGAUGAUGGUUGCAUACGAACAUUAAACAAUGUUAGAUAUAUUUUAUAAUUGAGGAAGAAUUUGAUUUCCCUAAGUAUUUUACAUCAGUUGAGUUUAAUAAUAAUGCAACCAAACUCUGGAAUAUAUGUUUCAGUCAUAUCAAUGAGCGUGGGAUGAUGAAAAUUCAUUAGAUAAGUCUAUUGAAUGGUCUUUGUAGUUCCAAUAUGUAUUUGUUCAAGUAUUAUGUACUCGCAAGACAAUGUCUUUUUCGGUUUAUGACCGAAAAGCAUAAAACAAUGUGAAUUUUAUACUAUGUACAAUCAGAUGUGUGAGGCCUAUCAAAGAGCUUUCCAUUGCUUGUUCCGAAUAUUUUGGGACUUCCGAAGUAGAUUUAUUCGCAAGAUUUUGGUGUAUUUCUUGAAGAAGAAAUAUGAUCUUUUUACUAAAUUCAAGUUGUGGAAGGCAGAGGUAAAAAAUCAAACAUGUAGAAAAAUCAAGUAUUUGCAGUCAGAUAAUGGGAUAUAGUACAUUAAUUCAAGAUGCUUUGUGAAGAAGAAGGUAUCCAAAGGAAAUUCUCAGUUUGUAAGAAACCAUACCAAAUGAUGUGGCAAGAGGAUGAUAGGUCUCUAACUGAACGAUGAAAAUGUAUCUUUCUAAAUGUUGUGCUAUCAAAAGGUUUAUAUAGAGAGGCAGUAUAACAUGACAUUUUAUCUUAUCAAGAGUUCACCACUGGCUUCAUUUGAGGGGAAGGUUAUAUAGGAAGGAUUUACAUGUAAUCCUAUUGAUCUCGAUAAAUAAAGGAUUUUUGGGUGUCAACCUUAUAUGAAUAUAUCAAGUGAAGAUCAAUCCAAACUUGAUCCAAAGUUGAAGAAGUGUGUCUUCAUCAGUUACGCAAAAAUAAGAUGGUAAUAAGAAGAGAUGUUUCUUUUUAUGAGCAAACGCUAUUGAAGUAGUCAGUUGCAAUAUAUGCAUCGGAAUCUAAAGUAGAAAUUUCCAACAAAUAGGUGAUUUAGGUGGAUGUUGACCAGCCAUUAGUGAACAAUAUGCAUGUGGUUCCUGAACCACAAGUGGAACUUAACUCUAAUAUUGAAAUUGCAAACGGACAUGAUGUUUCAGGUGUAGUAUAAGAUUAUAUUCUUAUAUGUGACAGAGAACACCGUUUAACAAGGUCACCAUAAAUAUUUGUUGAUAACUUAUUUAAUGUGAGAUAUUUAAUCCCUUAAUAUUUGAAUUAUUAAGAAAAUUAUAUUUAUUUAGAAUUCAUUUUUUGUGUUUGUUUAUAUUUAGCUUAAUUAGUGAUUAGCACACCAGACGCUCUUUCAUUUACUUUGUAUAUUGUUUUUUUAUGCACAAGAGUAGCCUUGGUGACGAGUUAUGUCAUGCCAAAUAUCUAUGAUCAAUACUAACCCGGUUUAAAUCUAGUAGAAGGUUUGAAUUGCAACAUUAUGGCUAACAUGGAAGAGUUGAAAGAAAAAAAAUUAGGGUUGAGAUGUAAAGUCAAAAAUAUAAGGAUGAAUGUUAGAAGAUAAAGUCUGAAAACCUAUUUAGACCACUGUUACAUCUACCAACAUAAUUUCAAACCUGCUAUGAAAUGUGUUGAUGUGUACUACUAAUGCACCAGUAUUAGAAGACAAAAGGAAUAUGAAAUAUUCAUUAGGCCUGACCAUUGGAUAAUCAAAAGGCUGAGAACUGACUAUCAAAGGAUAUUCAUUAGGAUGAGAAAAAAAGGUUCUGAAUUUUAGAGAUAAAUUAUUCAUAACAAGGAAGGAAGGUUGAAUCAAAGUUUGAUGUGUCUCCCGCCCUACCAUUUUUGAAUAAUUUAGCACAAUCAUACGUGACACAAGACACCUCCUGCUGAUUGAUGAUUGCAAGUAGUUGAGGUGUCACUCUUAGGUUUAUCUUUCUUUUCUUUACUGAGUAGAAAUUUUAAGCUUAGGAACUUGUGCUAUUAUGAUUCUUUUUCUCACCAUGAGCUAAACUCUUUGUGUUGGUCCACGUGAAAUAUAGUUGAAAAGUAAUCUUUUAUACAGUCUAUUUAUAUAUAUUAAAUCCAGUGCAUCAAACUAUCUUGCGACACUUCAUCUUCAUGUAUGAUACAUCAUUUAUUUUCCUAUGUGACAUCUCUCAAAAUUCAUCUACAAUUUUUAAAAGGUCAAAACAUAUUGUUUCUCUCUAUAAAAGCUCAUCGGUUCGAAUCAAAACUAAUGCAAAAAUACAAUUACCUAAUAUUUGAUUAUUAACUUUAUUUAUUUUAAAAAAAUAUCAUACUAAUUUAUUCACAAUAAAUUUAUCAUUAGUCCAACUAAAUACAUUUAAAAAAAAAAUAAAAGAGAUGUUUAGAUCCACACACUUUAAAAUAUUUUUUGUUUUCUUAAAAUCAUAUCAACAAAAGAACCACUUGAAAAAUACUUUUAAUGUUAAAAUAUAUAUUCCACAAAAAAUUAUUUCAAUUGGUAAAAUAAAAUCUUGUAUGUCACUCUCAAGUUACAACUAUAUAUUUUUUUAUUUCGUAAUUAAUUCAUAUUAUUGUCUCACUUAUUUAUAAUAAAAUUAUAAUAUAAAUUUGUUGUUCAUAUUUACAAAAUUAAAAUUCUUAAUAUAUAUAAAACUCAAUAUAAAAUAAAUAAAAAUUAAUUAACAGCCGCGCAUCGCGCUGGUCUCAAUCUAGUAUGAAUUAAUUUUAGUGACUUAUUUUGUCAUAUGUAUUAAAGUUAUAUAUGUGUUUCUUUUCCUGAUCACCAAACAAAUACAUAUCAUUUAUUAUUAUUAUUAUUGAGGAAUUCGCUAAUAAAUGUACAUCAUGACAAAUAUGAAUAAAAAAUUAAAUAAGAAUACUUUUCCAUUUAGUUACUUUAGGGAUAAUGAACUAAAACUAUAGGGAAUGUAAAACUCAUUAAAGAUGUCCAUAAUUGAUAUUAUGAGACUUAAGAUUUUGUUCAAUAGUUAUUCACUACACAUACUUAGACGUUGUAGUCAUACACCACUAGGUCAUAUUCUAACCUCAAUUGUUAGGACAUAUCAUAUCUAAAGAAAUAUUACUGCCUGCCUUUCAUUGAUGUGAUAUCACAAAUAUAUACAAUUGUUACCAAAUCCCUCUGUUUAGGAAGGUAUUGAUGUUUCAUGAAUAUAAUUACAUAUAGAGAUAUUGACAAAUCAUUUUCUAUUAAUACGAGGCAUCAGUAGAAAUAGUAACAAAUCAUUUUCUAUUAAUAUGAUAUUCUAUUACUCCCCCGCAGUCGAAUUGGGAGGUUGACUGACGUUGAGAUUGUCCCGAAAGUCCUGAAAGAGUAUUAAUGGAAGGCCUUUGGUAAAAUUGUCUGCAAUUUGAUACCGUGAGGGGACGUGGAGGACCCGAACAUGGUCGCGAGCUACUUUCUCGCGAACGAAAUGUAUAUCCAUCUCAAUGUUUUUCGUUCGUUGAUGUUGAACUGGAUUACCAGAGAGAGAUAUUGCACUUACGUUGUCACAGUAAACUAAGGUGGCCUUAUGAAUAGAACAAUGUAACUCGAGAAGGAGAUUGCGGUAGCCAACAAGAUUCAGAAACCACGUUAGCAACACCACGGUAUUCGGCUUCAGCACUAGAUCGUGAUAAAGUGGGUUGAUGUUUUGAUGACCAAGAAAGCAAAUUAUCACCUAGAAACACACAGUAACCAGAAGUAGAGCGCCUAGUAUCAGGACACCCUCCCCAAUCGGCAUUUGUAUAAGAUUUUAGGAAGGUAGUACAUGAAGGAUAAAGAUUCAAACUGUAGUUUCGUGUGCCCUGAAUGUAGCAUAAGAUGCGUCGUAGGGCAUGCCUGUGAGCAUCCAUUGGAUUAUGCAUAAAGAGACAUAUUUGUUGAACGACAUAGGAGAUAUCGGGCCGAGUGAAGGUGAGAUACUAAAGAGCACCUGCAAGACUGUGAUAAAGUGAUGGAUCCUCAUAUGGAGUGCUAUGUGUGGCACUCAUCUUUGGCUUUGUGUCAACUGGGGUUGGACAAGACUUGCAGGUUGACAUGCCGACGCAUACUAGGAUGUCUUCGGCAUACUUUUUUUGGGAGAUAAAAAUACCUCUUUGAUGGCGAGUGACUGCAAUACCCAAAAAAUAGCUCAAGGGUCCCAAAUCUUUCAUAGCAAACUCUGAACUAAGAAGUGAAAUGAUAGAUUUUCGUAGAGCAUCAGAAGAAGUAGUAAGAAUAAUGUCAUCAACAUACAGUAAGAUGUAAGCCAUAUGAGUGUCUUUCUUGUAGAUGAAAAGAGAGUGAUCACACUUGCUUUGGGUGAAGCCAAUAGAAGAAACAUAAUCUGCAAAUCGCUUGUACCAAGCUCGAGGAGCUUGUUUAAGCCCAUAUAGUGAUUUACGGAGAAGACAGACAUGAUGAGGAUUCACUGGGUCCUUAAAUCCCAACGGUUGAUGCAUGUAGACCGUUUCUUUUAGUUCUCCAUGGAGAAACCCAUUCUUGACAUCCAAUUGAUGAAUUUGCCAAGAUUUUGAGAUAGCAAUACUAAGGACAGUGCAAAUAGUAGCUGGUUUGACCACAGGACUAAAAGUUUCUCCACAAUCGAUGCCAACCUGUUGACCUGCACCAUCACCUACAAGUCGGGCUUUAUGCCUCUCAAAAGAACAGUCAGAUUUUUCUUUAUGUCUAAAAAUCCACAUAGAUCGAAUAACAUUAACACCGGUGGGUCGUGGCACUAAAUCCCACGUCUUAUUUUUAAUUAGAGCGUUAUAUUCAUCAUCCAUGACCAUUUUCCAAUUUGAGUCUUUAAGUGCAUACACUGAGUUUUUAGGUAUAGGAGAUUUUGUGACAUGGGUGUGGAGGCCAUAAUAUUUUUGGUUUGGCAUAAAAAUUCCAUGUUGACUUCUAGUAAUAGGUUUUGUAUAUAUUUGUAAGGUGGGUUGGAAAAUUGCAGGAAUGGUAUUUUGACUUAUGGAUUAAAUAUCUGUUGUUGUGAGGUGUGGGGAGAGGGAGUUUGUAUUUGAUAAUGUGGUGGGUUGUUGUGGAGGAGGAAUAGGGAUGUGAGACCGAGUGGGUGAGGUUAUGGUUGUGGGUGGGUCCGUAUGGGAUGAGGUGGACCGGUUUGAUGGAUGAGGUGGGUCCGUAUGGUUGUGUGGGUUAUUUUGUGUUUGGGUAAUUAUGUGGUUUAUGUAGUAGGGGGACAACUCGUUUUCAAGGAAGUUAUAUGUAGUAGGUUGGGGGGUGUGGAACUUUGCAUAUGGAAAAUGAGUUUCGUCAAAUAGGACAUGGCGGCAAAUAAUAAUUUUAUUGGAUGUUAAAUCUAGACAUUUAUAUCCUCGAUGAUUUUUCGGAUACCCAAGAAAGACACAUGGAGUGGAUCGAGGUUGGAGCUUAUGUAUCGUAGUGGAAGAAAAUAGAGGAUAACAUAAACAACCAAACACUCGUAAAUGUGAGUAAGAGGGUUCUUUGUGAUAUAACAUUUUAAGUGGAGACUCAAAAUUUUAUGGUUUUGUUUGGAAAAAUGUUUAAGAGAUAUGUUGCCAUUUCAAGAGCAUGAUGUUAAAAAGUAGGUGGUAAAGACGCGUGAAUUAAUAAAGUUCGAAUAAUAUUAUUAACGGAGCGUAUUUUUUGUUUGGAUUUGCCAUUUUGAGAUGAUGUAUAAGCGCAAGACAAGCGAAACAACAUUCCAUUAAUAUCACACAUGUUUCGAAAAUUAUUAUUGACGUAUUCACUACCAUUGUCACAUUGAAUUGUUUUAAUUUCUCGUUGAAAUUGGGUGUUGAUGUAAGCCUUUAGUUUUUGAAAAUUUUUCACUACCAUUGUCACAUUGAAUUGUUUUAAUUUCUCGUUGAAAUUGGGUGUUGAUGUAAGCCUUUAGUUUUUGAAAAUUAGAAUAUACUUGAGAUUUGUUUGACAUUGGAAAAGUCCACAAAAAAUUUGAGUAAUUAUCCAAGAAAAGAACAUAAUAUUUGUGACCUAAAGAGCUUACAACAGGAGACGUCCAUACAUCGCUAUGUAAAAUAUCAAACGGCAAAAACUAGUAUUAUUUGAAUUCAUGAAAGGCAACUUGAUAUGUUUACCAAGAGGAGAAGAACGACAUAAACGAGAAUGUAUUUGUCUAGAUUUAUUACAUUCAAUAAAUUUAUUUUGUCUAAGAGAAUUUAAAAUGUGUUCUCCCGGAUGACCCAAGCAAUCAUGCCACAGAGAAGACGAUAAAGCUGCAAGAGAAAGAUUAGGCUUUGAUUUAUUUUUGGAGUUGGUUUUGGUUGUGAUGGGGUAUAGAUCACCUCGACUCUCACAUCUCAUUAGAGCGAUCCCCGUCUGAAAGUCCUUCACAGAAAAACCAAACGGGUCAAAUUCAAUUGAAACCUUAUUAUCUGUGGUAAAUUUAUGAACCGACACUAAGUUUUUAAUUAACUUUAGAGCAUGUAGUAUAUUGUUUAGGACAAAAGGGGGGUGUGGGGGGUUUUAUGUGUGCACUGCCAAGGCCAUAAAUUGGAAUAGAGUGGCCACUUCCGACAAUUAUAUUAUUAUUUUUGCUCAAUUUAAAAUAAGACGAAAGAUUACCUUGCGAGGAUGUCAUAUGAGAAGUGGCUUCGGUGUCCAUAUACCAAGAUUGAUCAGGCUGAGCAAGAUUGAGGGUGUGUAAAGCAGUUUCAAUAUCAGUUGGGCUGGGUGCAUUAACAUUGCAAGCAGCCUGUUGUGGUCUUGGCCCAAGGACUCCUCCUUGUUGAGUCUGUGCAGCAUUAGUGGGCCUACUCCAAUUGUAAGAUGGAUAAGGGCAAGGUGGUAUAUUCCAUGGAGCCCAUUGUUGCCAUGGCAUCCAUUGUUUCCAUUGUUGUUGACCUUGACCACGACCCCCGCCGUUGAAAUGAUUAGGACCUGUCCGACCGCCCCUCCCGUAGUUUCGGCCACUGUUGUUGUGGUUGUUCUUUUUGCCUCGGUUGCCGCGAGAGGUGUUAGAUGGUGGGUUACGGUUUUGAUAAGUGUAACCAGGAGAGGAAUGACGAGGGACAUCAUCAUUUGACAGUGAGACGCCACAUAAGUUACGAACUCGGCAUAAGCCUCAGUGAGACCGGAGAUCAUUUUUAAUACCAAACGAGUAUUUGUGACUGGAGAAUCAACGUUUGUGAGUUGAUCGGAGAGGAGCUUGAGACGGUUGCAAUAGGCUUUGGUGGAGGGAAAAUCUGCCAGAUUGGUAUUGCUAAACUGGUUUUCAAGUUGAACGGCCCGUGAGUGCUUGUUAUCAUUAAACAUAGCGGAGAUACGAUUCCAACUUAGUUCGGCGGUGUCGUUAAUCACAAGAACAUAAUGGAGUAUAUCUUGUGUGACAGUUGCAUACAUCCAUUACAACACAGCGGCAUCUAGACAAUUCCAAAGGUCGGGAUCAUUGGCUUUGACGGUGGCUGCCUCAGCACGAGCUUGCUCGUCAAUAGGUGGUAUGAUGUGAUCAAGCAUGUUGUGAACACGUGCUUGCACGGUGAAUAGAGCGGACCAAGAGAGAUGGAGAUCGGAGUCAUUAUCCAACGUCACUGGUAUGAUGUUUUUGACGUUGGUAAUGGCGAAAUCAGAAUGAAAGUUGGUUUUCGCCACAGGAGGGGAUUGGUUCAUCGUUGACGAAGUGUCGUCACCAUUGGAUGUGGGAGAAGAAGAGGUGUUGGUCAUGGUGGAAUAGAAGAGUUGCAGUGGUUAAGAGGGAUAUAUUUGGAUCGUGUAGUCUGAUACCAUAAAGAAAUAUUACUGCCUGCCUUUCAUUGAUGUGAUAUCACAAAUAUAUACAAUUGUUACCAAAUCCCUCUAUUUAGGAAGGUAUUGAUGUUUCAUGAAUAUAAUUACAUAUAGAGAUAUUGACAGAUCAUUUUCUAUUAAUAUGAGGCAUCAGUAGAAAUAGUAACAAAUUAUUUUCUAUUAAUAUGAUAUUCUAUUAAUAUCAUACUCACACACUAGGUGAAAUUAUUAAAUGGAUCAUUUCUUGACAUGCUUCUUUACUCUGUUAAACAAGCUUACUUCUUAGUUACUACUUCUUGUUUUAACCAAGUGACAACUAUCAAUUAUUAUUUAUCUUUAAUCAUAUUCUUUUCACAAAAUAUUUGACUGAAAACUCAACUUAACUUAAUACAAUAUCUAUGGAAUCGAUACGUUUUACUUUUAGCACCUACUACCAUUUUGAUUGUGUAUACAUGCACUUACAAAGAAGCCAAUAAGUAGUUGGCUCAGUUGCAGAGGAUUGUGUCAUUAACACUUUGAUUUUCAUUGAGAUUGUAAAAAGUAACAUUUGAGCUUUUGACACAUUUUUUUUAAUCUUUUGGUGUCACGACAAGUGUGUGGCUGCUGCAUGUGUAGAUUGUUAACUCUUGUUUGUAGAGGAAACAUUGAAUUAGAAAGAAAAUUUUAAACUUCUAAGAGAUGUCAUGUUUCUAAUCAUCUUCUUGGAAUCCCUAUUCUGGCUCCAAUUUCUAAAAAACUUGAAGAAGAUCUUGAGAAUCCUUAACAUGGAGAAGAUGAUAUCAUGACAAAAAGAGAUAUCAUUGGCAUUGCUAAUGAUAUGUAAAUAAGUAUCUGGAACUAUGUUGUUUUUGAUCUCGAGUAUUAGUAUUAUCAUA